UUACUUAUCCGGAUAUACAGCAACACUAAAGCAGAGCUACGUAAUCCUUGGCUUCAAUGUAAAUAUUAAGACAACGUCGUCUUUGGAUACACAGACGGACAAAUGAGUGAGUACCUUGCAGCGCUGUGCGACGUCUUGAGCAGCAAGCAUAGCAGCGUAAGGUGACGACUCGUCACGGUCAGCCUUCACCUUCAUGCCACCUACAGGGUUUAGGUUUAGCACAUCUCAGUUAAAACAAUAUACAUCUGCCACCUAGGUCGUGCAUGGCCCAAGGUUUUAGGAUGGUACCGGUGAUCCGAACCAGAGUUUCCCUCCCAGACAAAUCAGUGAUAUGCUGCAGAUAUUACAACAAGACACAGUUCAGUUAAACUUGGAGAAGUGAAUGAAAAGGUCUAACCACAGAUGGCGCAUAUGAUACUUACAAUGAAGGUGUCAUUGAAGGAUGCAAAGAUGUGAGCGACACCAAAGACAUACUCUCCUUCACGGACAGUGGGUCCAAGGGUGACGUUCUCCUCCUUGGGCUCCCUGGUCUUCCUCCUCGACUGCAAACACAUACAACUAUAAGAUGACACUGGGACAAGUUAGCCUGGAUUGCUAUGUUGUCGUGCUAACAACCUCCAGAAACUAUUCCACAGUACAAUUAAGCCUGAAUUGAUAUGUUGUCCCUGUAAGAGCCUAAGAGCUUCAAAAGGAUAGUAAUAGUAAUUGAGCACGAUCCACUAAUCAAGCUAACCACUUCAGGACCUCAAACAAAACUUGCAUUGCAUGAAAACUGAUAGUUGAUUUGCUCUAAUAAAAAGCUACUAAAAAUUGUACUGCAUGAAAACUGAUAGAUGACAUUCAGCAGCAAACCAGCUCGGUCCACUGAUCAAGCCAACCAUUUCAGGACCUCAAACAAGCCUUGCAUCACGAUGUAUAUGAAAUAAUUGAAAUUUUGCCACUUGAAACGUUGCCUCCUUGUUAUAAUUACCCAUGUGUCUAAGAAUUGUGGCUCCAUCUAUGUCUAUCAAUUGUAGGGUCCAUCUGUGUCUAUGAAAUAGAGAAUCUGAUAUUUGCCAUCACCACGAAACACGUUUGUAAAAUUGCCAUCAGACCCACACAUUUCAUAGACACAUAUGGACACACAAUUUAUAGACACAGUGGUAAUUAUAACAUGCCGGCAACGUUUUAUGUGGCAAAAUUCCAAUUAUUUCUGGUGGUAGCAGAACGUGUUUUGUUAUAAUGGCAAAUAUCAAAUUCUCUCGAUGUAUAUAGCCAACAGUUAUCCUAACAAAACAUAUACUUUCCAGCUCCGUGUGCAAAUCAACCCAAGCCAAAGGGCAAAGGCCCACAUAACCAGCAUUUCUCACUCUUAAUUUGUAAUAGUAGAUUCUAAUCAUAUCUAUGCUUCACCAAUUUAACAGCACAUCUCAAAUAUUUUGGCAGAUAAAAAAGGUUCAACAAGAAAACUCAUAAAUCGUGAUCAGAUUAGAAAAUAUGUUGCCACAGCAUCACUUCAAUCUUCAACUCAGGAGUAGGAGUAGCAGUCAACAAAUGUAACCAAGCACAGAUGUCAAAUUGCAAUUUAUCAGAUACAAUCCACCACGGGCAACCAGCCAAAACAACAGUAGCCCUAGUCAACAGCCAAACCUACGCUCUUAACCCAUCUCUAAACAAAAACAAUCGAAUCCAGCGCUACCGUGCUUGCAGCCGGAUCCGAAUCCACCGCUACCGUGCUUGCACCUACGUCCGCUUGCGAGCAAUAAGCAGACGAGAAGAGGCUCGCUUACCAUGGUUGCGUGGAGCGACGGGUGACCGGAGCGGAGGCACGCCUUGGGUUGAGAUCACGAGCACGCCGGCGCCGCCGAAACUUCCGUGCGGCGACGGAUGAGUGGUGCUGGUUUAUAUACGAGGCCGCAGCCCAUUAGGGUUUAGUAGACCCAGCCCAAAGAAAUUUCCUCUUUUGCCCUCUCUCUCUCUUCUGUCAAUGCGGCUGGGCCCCAUCUCUUACACGAGGACCGUGCUAUUAAACAAUUUUUAGGCUAUAUGGUCUGGACAAAAUACAGCUCAUUUUAGUGUCGUCCACUUUAUGGACUCGCUCCAACUAGGGGUGGAAGUUCGGGUUACCCGAAAUUUUCGGGUCGGGUAAUUCGAGUUUUUAAAAUUUCGGGUUUUAAUAAUCGAUACUCGAAAUUACAACGGGUUUUUCAAUACCCGAAAAUUCGGGUACCCGGAAUUUCGGGUUCGAGUUCGGGUAUUCCCGAACUAUCCGAACUAUUGUGUUGGCUUCAUAAAAACACAUACACCCUAUUAAAUUAGUAUAAAAAUAUAGUUUGAAUAAUGAUAUACAUGGACAUAUAAACACAAGCAAUCUACAAUCACAAGUUAUGCACACUUACACAUAAUUAUAGAUGUACAAAUUAAUAAUUAAGCAUGACAUGAGUACAUGACACAUGAAAGUUCGGGUAAUUCGGGUAUUUCGGGUACCCGAUUGUGAUACCCGAAUUACCCGAAAUAAUUUCGGGUUUUGCAAGUUGCUACCCGAAAUUCCCGAACAAAAUUCGGGUUUCGGGUAUUUCGGGUUCGGGUUCGGGUAUUCCGGGUUCGGGGUUUUUGCCCAACCCUAGCUCCAAUAGUGCAAGUAGCCAGUAGAGUUGCUUGGUGCUGGUGAAUCUGACUCAUUUUUAUGAUCUUUGAGUUCAGGUGGGAAGAGGGGGCAAUGAAAGGGAAAUUGACCUAAUCAUUUACUAUAAUCGAUUUUGGUGCUUGACAUCCAACACAAAUCAUAUGGACUAACUAGUUUGUCUAGAUAUCAUUUAUCUCAGGUGCAUAAGUGUCGGCGUUUCGAGACAGGGGGGUCCCUAAGCCGACGAGUGAGUGUGCUGCGUGCCCCAGCCCAGAUGGGUCGAGCGCGUGGGCGAGCGCGGAGGGGGGAGAGGCGAGGCGGCCGGAGCCGAGCGUGAGAGAGGUGGAAGUCCCGCGGCCUUCGUGUUCGUCCCGCGCCCAGGUCAGGUGCGCUUGCAGUAGGGGGGUUACAAGCGUCCACGCGGGUGAGGGAAGCGAGCGGCCCCAAGAGAGCGCCUGUCCCGUCCUCGGUCCCGCGCGGCCAACCUUCUCUGAGAAGGCCCUGGUCCUUCCUUUUAUAGUUGUAAGGAGAGGAUCCAGGUGUACAAUGGGGAUGUAGCAGAGUGCUACGUGUCUAGCGGAGGGAGAGCUAGUGCCCUAGGUACAUGCCGAUGUGGCAGCCGGAGAGAUCUGGGCAUCCUGCUGGCGUGAUGUCGUGGCUAUCGGAGGUGCGACGGAGCCUGAUGGAGGGACAGCUGUUGGAGCGGUCGAGUCCCUGCUGACGUUGUCCUGCUGCCGUAAGAGAGCUGGGGGCCGCCGUCGUCAUAGAGCUCGUGGAGCGCCAUCAUUGCCCCUCUGGCGGAGCUGGCCGGACGAGACGCCGGUCUUGUUCUCCGUGACCCGAGUCGAUUCGGGGUAGGAUGAUGAUGACGUUUCCUGUUGACGUGGCGGUCUGUGCUCUAGGCAGGGCGACGUGGGGUUUCCUCCGAAGCCGAGGUUGAGUCUUGCCUUCAGUUGCCGUGGCCGAGCCCGAGCCAGGGGGUCGGGCGAGGCGGAAGUCGUCCGGCCGAGGCCAGGGCGGAGUCCGAGCCCUGGGGUCGGGCGAGGCGGAGUUUCGUCGUCUUCCGGGUCUUAGCCCGAGUCCGAGCCCUGGGGUCGGGCGGAGCGGAGUUCGCCGUCUUCCGGGUCUUAGCCCGAGUCCGAGCCCUGGGGUCGGGCGGAGCGGAGUUCGCCGUCUUCCGGGUCUUAGCCCGAGUCCGAUCCCUGGGGUCGGGCGGAGCGGAGUUCGCCGUCUUCCGGGUCUUAGCCCGAGUCCGAUCCCUGGGGUCGGGCGGAGCGGAGUUCGCCGUCUUCCGGGUCUUAGCCCGAGUCCGAGCCCUGGGGUCGGGCGGAGCGGAGUUCGCCGUGGUGCCUUUGGCAAGGCCUAAUUGCCUGUCAGACUCACUCUGUCGAGUGGCACUGCAGUCGGAGUGGCGCAGGCGGCGCUGCCCUUCUGUCAGACUGGCCAGUGGAGCGGUGGAGUGACGGCGGUCACCUCGGCUCUGCCGGGGGCGCGUGUCAGGAUAGAGGUGUCAGGCCACCUUUGCGUUAAAUGCCCCUGCAAUUUGGUCAGUCGGUGUGGUGAUUUAGUCAAGGUUGCUUCUGAGCGAAGCCAAGGCCUUGGGCAAGCCGGUGAUGUGUCCGCCAUAAAAAGGGGGCCUCGGGCGAGACGGAAGUCUCUCGAGGUCGGCUGCCUUCGGCCGAGGCUAGGCUCGGGUGAAGCGCGAUCGAGUCACUCGUGUGGACUGAUCCCUGACUUAAUCGUGCCCAUCAGGCCUUUGCAGCUUUAUGCUGAUGGGGGUUACCAGCUGAGAAUUAGGCGUCUUGAGGGUACCCCUAAUUAUGGUCCCCGACAGUAGCCCCCGAGCCUCGAAGGGAGUGUUAGCACUCGCUUGGAGGCUUUUGUCGCACUUUUUUGCAAGGGGACCAGCCUUUCUCGGUUGCAUUUCGUUCCGGUGGGUGCGCGCGAGCGCACCCGCCGGGUGUAGCCCCCGAGGCCUCGGAGGAGUGGUUACACUCCUUCGAGGUCUUAAUACUUCGCUUAACGCUUCGGCUGGUCUGGUCGUUCCCUCAUGCGAACUGGCCGUAGCCCGGGUGCACGGUCGGGGCCCAAGCUCUCGGGCUGGUAUGUUGACGCUGUCAACGAUUUGGCCGGAGCCGGUUUUUGCGAGAGCAGCCCCCGAGCCUCUGCACAGGGCGAGAGGACGAUCAGGGACAGACUCGGCUUUUUACAUACGCCCCUACGUCGCCUUUCCGCAAGGAGGAGGGGGGGAGUGCGCCAUGUUACCCUCGAUGGGCACCGAACAUGGUGUCUCCGGUGAGCUGCAAGCGGGUAAUCCGAGUGGACGUCCGUGCCCCGUUCGUUGGGGGUCGGCUAGGGGCCCAGAGGCACGCCCAAAAGUACCUGCGGGUGACUUGCCGGACCCGGUCCCCUGGCGACGGGGUCCGAGGGCUCGAUGCCUCCCUCCGAUGGGAUUCCGUUACAAGAUCGUUCCCGCUGGUCUCGGAUAUGUCCUAGGGUACCUCGGGAGCGCAGCCCGAGCCUCGGUUAUGUAUCGAACGUACCCCUGGUCAUCCCUCGCUCGGUGUCUGAGGCGACUGUGAACCCUUCGGGGGCCAGCAUUCGAACCCCUGAUCAGUAAUGGGCGCGGAGCCCGAGUAGCCUGAGGCGGCCAUGGAGCCCUUCGGGGGGCUGGCCUUCGAACCCCUGACCAGUAGUGGGUGUCGGGCCCACGCGAUCUGAGGCGGCUGUUGAACCCUCGGGGGGCCAGCCUUCGAACCCCUGAUCAGUAAUGGGGGGCGCGGAGCCCGGUUCCUUCGCGGAGAAGGAUCCCUCUCGGGGUAUCCCCCUUCCCCAGUCCCUGUUGCAAGAGAUAGAGAAAGAGGAAAACGGAAAAGGAUACGAAAUCAGACGACGUGGCGUACCUUUUCUGACGCGGUUAUUAAGGCGAAGGUGAAGCGUCGCGCGCUCCUCCUGCCAGAAGCGCCGCGUGUCCCGCCGCGGAGUUAAUGCGACGGGGCGAGUGGUUGGCGGGGCGGCCGCUACGCGUGUGCGAGCCGUUUCGAGGAACGGCUGUGCCGCUUCGCGUUUUUCGAAUCCUGUAUCCGGUCCAGGCGGCGUGCAGGAAACGGUUUCGCCCUGGCCUUCAUAUACUCGAGAGGGGGCCCGGUGACGGUUCUUCACUCUGCUCCCUUCUUUUCCCUUCAGGUUUUCGCCACCCGGGAAACUUUAGCCGGAGGAGAGGGAAACCGCCUUCCCUGCCCCCCGCGCCGCCAUCUUCUCCAUCUUUGGUGAUGGCGGACCGAGUGACCAUAAUCCCCCCGCGCGAUCCGUGGCCCUUCUCCACGGUGACGGCGAGCGAUCUGGAGGAGCUAGUCGGCGAAGGUCUGCUCCGCCCCCUCACCGACAAGCAGCGGCCAGAGUGGAUUCCUCCCGUGGGCGGAGCCGCUCCGUCCCCACCGCCAGGGUAUGUUGUGAGCUUCGUCUCCUUCCAUGAGCGGGGAUUUGGUGCGCCGGCGGGCCGCUUUAUGCGGGCCAUCUUGUUCCACUACGGGGUGGAGUUGCACAACCUCUCCCCCAACUCCAUCUCGCAGGCCGCUAUUUUCGUAGCACUAUGCGAAGGGUACUUGGGGAUUGCUCCCCAUUGGGAUUUGUGGACUUACUUCUUCUUCGCCGAGCCUUUCGCCUUGUCGACGGGGGAGAGGAGGAUCCGCGCAGCGGUGCGGGCCGGCGGCUGCAUUCUCUUGUUGAGGCAGUCGCGGGCGUUGCAGUACAUUCCUGCCAUUCUCGCGUCUUCGAACAAGGGGCGGCAGCGCCGGUGGUUCUACCUCCGGAACGACGGUGAGUUGCUCCCACCGUUUUCCCAGCGAGUAGUUACAGCUGCCACCGACGCCUGGCGCCACGGGACCCCGCACGAGAGGCAAAAAAAUCUCGAGCCCCUUCUCCAGGCCCUGAAGGAGUUGCGGGAGGGGGGACUUACUGCUGCGGGAGUGAUCGCCGCCAUUCACCGUCGGAGGGUGCUCCCAUUGGCGGAGCGGCGGCUGUCGCUCUGGGAGAUGACCCCGGGAGCCGACUGGGAGGGCUCACGGAUGUCCCCGGAUCCUCUUUCUUCCGAUGCCCUCCAAUGGCGGGUGUCGGCCGCGAUGGGGAAGCCGGACCCCCGCGCAUACUCCCAGCUUCGGAUGCGCCCCGAUCAGGGGUGCGUGACUUUGGUGAGCGUCCGCUCCUCCUUUCUUCGUAUGUCUGGUUGCUCCAGGUCCUUAUGAUCGGGUUCCUUUCUCCCCUCCUUUUAGGAUGUGGGGUGUCACAAACCCUCCCUGCCACGGGUUCCGGAGGACGCGGUGGACCGUGCAGCGCGGCGGGUUGCCACGGAGGAGAAGAAGAAAAAGAAGGACGCGGAGAAGGCCCGGGCCCGCGAGCGGAGGCGGGCUCGGGACGCCUUAGAGAAGCGCCGCCGCCAGCAGGAGAGGGACGGACUCCCGAGGGAGCCAUCGCCGGAGACGCCCGACGACGAUGACGACGACGAUGAUGAUGAUGAUGAUGAUGUGGCCGCCCGUCUUGGCCUCAGCCUCGGCUUGGGGUGUGGCCCAGAGCCGUCGGCCCAGCCCCCGAGCGAACCGACUCCGUCAGCCCCCGAAGUCGGGGCGUCGGGCUCCCGACCCGAGGCGCGGGGGCGAACCGAGAGGCUACCUGACCCCUCCGCCGGAGGAGCUGAAGUAGUUCCGGGGGUCCAGACCAAGGCGUCUGUUCCCCAGAGGCCGCCGCUUGUGCUGGGGGUGGCCGGGAGUGACCCUCAGGUCGUCGCUGCCGUGCCCGAGGAACCUGUUUCCCAGGCGCCCCAAGCGCCGGCGAAGCGGACCUCGGUGGCCGUUUCGAGAGCUGGGAUCCAAGAAGGCUCUCCCCAGGCGCGGUGGAUCAUGGCCCGGAGUGGGUGAGUACCUCGGAAUGUCUUCGUCUUGGCCUCCCAUUCGUAUGUUUUGGUUGUGAUCCCCUUCCUUUUCUAUCCAGCAAGCGAAGUCACGGCCAGACCGACCUGGCACCCCGGAAGGCCCUCAAGACGGCGCCGAGCUGUGCGGCCAGCGCCAUUCAGCCGACCCUCUCGCGGGGCACCCCGACAUCGGGGGUUCGGGCGUCGCUAAUCUCGGAGGAGCGGGCUCCCGAGGUCGGCUCUUCAGCCGGAGCGGCGAUCGUGGUUGAGGAGGCGGCUGACGCCCACACGGCUCUGAGUUCGCCUGUCAGGCCGGUCAUGCCGGCGCCCGCCACCGCCGAGGCUGCCGCCGUCCUUGUCGAAGGGUGCCCAGCCGCCGCCAGUACCGGGAUGGCUGAUGCGUCGGUGCCCAAGACCUCAGAAGAGGUGGGCGCGGUCGCGCAACCUGUCCCGCCGGGCGACAGCCUCAUCGCCGUGCGGCGGAGCCCCGAGGCCCGGCGCCCGUUGCUCCGAUUCCGGACCCGCGAGGCCUCGGACCCCGUCUUUGUUCUUGAUGAUGAGCAGGAGGACCAGUCCUGGGGUGAGCUCCGCGAGUGCGCAGAGACGACGAUGGGGUCGCUCCGGGCGUCGCUGGAGGUCUUCUGCAGAGACGUCCCCAAAAUCCUCCAGGUAGCGGUUUCGGGCAUCCCUUUCUUCCUUCUGUAUGAUACUCGCUGUGACGCCCUGUUUCCUUUUCCCAGGAUCUGACGGACCGGAGCGCCGCUAAGUCGUCAUUCAUCCGCCGUGAGGUUGAUGUCUGGGGCUCACUGCGAUCCCUGAGGUCUUCGCUUGCCGGGGCUACCACGCGCCUUUCCCAGCAAGAUGCCAAGGUGGCGGAUCUCUAGCUGUUAUGCGCCGACCUGAGAGCCGAGGCGGCAGCGGCGCGUGCGGAGGCGCAACAGCAGCGAUCGGAGCUCGCCCGGGUCGUCGAGGAAUGGAACCGGCUUCAAGGCCGGGCUGCCGAGGCCGAAAGCCGAGCCGAGACCCUUGCGGCCGACUUAGCUGCAACCCAAGUCGCGGCCUCGGAGCAUCGUGCCCGAGCCGGGAGUACGUCUCGGUCCUCCCUAGUUCUUUUUCUUGUCCGUUUCCCUUGCUUGUACUUGAGGUAUCUCUCCUGGCUAUUUGCAGAGCUUGAGUCCACCCUUGAUGAGUCCGCCAAGGCGCUUGCUGAGGCGCUUGCCGGAGCCGCUGAGCAGAGGGAGGCGGACCUCGCGGUCAUGUCCGAGGCCGUCUCGGACUUUUACCGUGCCCUCGGCUCUGAUGACGUCCCUUCAGAAAGCUCCCCUCAGAGCCGCCUUCGGGCCUUGAGUGGUCACGCCCGCGGCAGAGUCCGCGAAGCGCUGCACCAUGGCGUCAGGCGGGCCUUCGCCGUGCUCGCCUCUCACUACGUUGUGGAUCUGGAGCGGGUUAGUGAGGGGUACUGCCUUCCUGACGAAGACGAUGCUGCUUUGGCGGAGGUGCAGCGGCUUGACGCGGUUGCCGCUGGCCCAAGCGCGGUGCUGGCGACCACCUUUGAGGCGGAGGUCCUUCCUCCUGUGACGUCACCGGAGGCCGAGAGGGAUCUCACCGAUGGCGGGGGUGUAGCUGAAAGCGCGGCUCCUUCCCAAGGCGGCACCUGAUUCUCGUUUGAACAGUUUCUUGUUGAACGUGUGUCUUACCACGGCCGCUGAGGCCUGAACACUUUUGUCUUUCUUGCAUGGAGUCGUACUCUCCUCUCUUUCCGUCUGCGUGUUCGUCCUAGCUCGUCGAUAAUAGAGUGGCUUCUCGAGUUGGGCCAUUCUCCGCGGCAGGUGAUGAGUGAGGUAUCCCUAACCCGGAGGUACGGGAGUUCCUCGGCUCAAUCGGCCUUGCCAUUUUCAUGAACCCGUGUUCGCUCCUCGAGACCCGGCUUCUGACAUAGCCAGGAGAACGUAGCUGGGAGGACGCAAGAGGCUCCCCCUUUUUUUUGAUUAAAAAGAUCUCGACGCCGAGGGAUUCGAUCUCGACGCAGAGGGGUUCCCCCUUUUUAGCCCCCGAGGGAGGGUCGGGCUCCGCUAUGGCGAGGCCGACCCUUCCUUGAUGAUCAAGGCGCAGAGGCUGCCUGACGAGUCGGGCCCCGGCCCAAAUAUCCAGCGAGUGUUCGGCGGCAUCCCUCGGUAUGUCGGGCGUGUCCGAGGGACUCCACGCAAAGACGUCGGCGUUUUGCGCGGAGGAAGUCGACGAGCACUGCUUCCUAUUUGGGGUCGAGCCCGGGACCGAUUCGGAUCUGCUCGGUGGUGUCGCCACUGGGGCCGAGGGGGACGGCCUUGACCGUCUCCGCUGGCUCGAAGUUGCCGGCAUGGCGCUUCACGUCUGGGACCUCCUUGGAGGGGUUCUCCGGGUCGGCGAUGAGGGCCUCGGACUCGGCGAGGGCCUCGGUGCACUCCACGCACUCCACGUCGCAUUCGAACGCGUGUUUGUACGUGGGGCCGACGGUGAUGACCCCGUUGGGGCCCGGCAUCUUGAGCUUCAGGUAGGUGUAGUUGGGGACGGCCAUGAACUUCGCGUAGCAUGGCCUCCCUAACACGGCGUGGUAGGUUCCUCGGAACCCGACCACUUCAAACGUCAGGGUCUCCCUUCGGAAGUUGGAGGGUGUCCCGAAGCAGACUGGGAGGUCGAGUCGCCCGAGGGGCUGGACGCGCUUCCCAGGGAUGAUCCCGUGGAAGGGCGCAGCGCCUGCUCGGACGGUGGACGGAUCGACGCGCAGGAGCUUGAGGGUCUCGGCGUAGAUGAUGUUGAGGCAGCUGCCCCCGUCCAUCAGGACUUUGGUGAGCCUGACAUCGCCGACAACGGGGUCGACGACGAGCGGGUAUUUCCCCGGGCUCGGCACAUGGUCGGGGUGGUCGGCUCGGUCGAAAGUGAUGGGCUUGUCGGACCAGUCUAGGUAGACUGGCGCCGCCACCUUCAACGAGCAGACCUCCCGGCGCUCUUGCUUGCGGUGCCGAGCCGAGGCAUUCGCCGCAUGCCAUCCGUAGAUCAUGAAGCAGUCGCGGACCUCGGGGAAUUCUCCUGCUUGGUGAUCUUCGUUCUUGUCGUUGUCGCGGGCCCUGCCACCCUCGGCGGGUGGCCCGGCCCUGUGGAAAUGACGCCGAAGCAUAACGCACUCCUCGAGGGUGUGCUUGACGGGCCCCUGAUGGUAGGGGCACGGCUCCUUGAGCAUCUUGUCGAAGAGGUUUGCGCCUCCGGGGGGCUUCCGAGGGUUCUUAUACUCGGCGGCGGCGACAAGGUCCGCGUCGGCGGCGUCGCGUUUCGAUUGCGACUUCUUCUUGCCUUUCUUCUUGGCGCCGCGCGGAGCAGACGCCUCGGGGGCUUCUUCCGAUGGGCGGCCCUGGGGCUGCUUGUCCUUUCGGAAGAUAGCCUCGACCGCCUCCUGGCCGGAGGCGAACUUGGUGGCGAUGUCCAUCAGCUCGCUCGCCCUGGUGGGGGUUUUGCGACCCAGCUUGCUCACCAGGUCGCGGCAAGUGGUGCCGGCGAGGAACGCGCCGAUGACAUCCGAGUCGGUGAUGUUGGGCAGCUCGGUGCGCUGCUUCGAGAAUCGCCGGAUGUAGUCCCGGAGCGACUCUCCCGGCUGUUGCCGGCAGCUUCGAAGGUCCCAGGAAUUCCCGGGGCGCACGUAUGUGCCCUGGAAAUUGCCAGCGAAGGCUUGGACCAAGUCGUCCCAGUUGGAAAUCUGCCCCGGAGGCAGGUGCUCCAACCAGGCACGAGCAGUGUCGGAGAGGAACAGGGGGAGGUUGCGGAUGAUGAGGUUGUCGUCGUCCGUUCCACCCAGUUGGCAGGCAAGGCGGUAGUCCGCGAGCCACAGCUCCGGUCUCGUUUCCCCCGAGUACUUUACGAUAGUAGUCGGGGGUCGGAACCGGGUCGGGAAUGGCGCCCGUCGAAUGGCCCGACUGAAAGCCUGCGGACCGGGUGGUUCGGGCGAAGGACUCUGAUCCUCCCCGCUGUCGUAACGUCCCCCACGCCUGGGGUGAUAGCCUCGGCGCACCCUUUCGUCGAGGUGAGCCCGACGGUCGCGUCGAUGGUGCUCGUUGCCGAGGUGGCCCGGGGCCGCAGGCGCGGUGUUGCGCGUGCGCCCGGUGUAGACCGAGGCUUCCCGCAUGAAUCGGGACGUCGCGGCAUGAGGUUCCGAGGGAUAUCCUUGCCUUCGGGAUGCAGUGCUUUCGGCCCGCCGGGCCGCGGCGCCUUCCAGGAGAUUCUUGAGUUCUCCCUGGAUCCGCCGACCCUCGGUGGUUGACGGCUCCGGCAUCGCGCGGAUGAGCAUUGCUGCGGUUGCCAGGUUCUGACCGACCCCGCUGGAUGCGGGCGGCGGCCUGAUCCUGACGUCGUUGGCGACGCGGUGCUGGAGACCUUGGGGCAGAUGACGUAUUUCUCCGGCCAGGGGUUGGCCCACCCAUGCCUGUCCGACGUCCCGACGGAUCGGCUCAAGCGCUCUCGUUCCCUCGUUGAGCCUGGCCUGCGCCUCGCGGACUUGCUCGAGUUGUGGGUCGUAACCCCCCGCCGGAGCGGGGACCACAGCUAGCUCCCGUGGGGUGUCGGCGCGAGGCACCGGCCUAGGGAGAUCACCAUCCUCCGGCAUGCCAAGAUGGUUGCCUUCGGUGGGAUUCCCUAGCUCGAUGUGGAAACAUUCGCAGCUUGGGCCGCAGCUCUCGUCGCCAAGGCUGCGGCUUGCAUCGGAACAGUCGGACAGACAGUAGUCACAUGCGGCCAUGAAGUCCCGCACGGCACUGGGGUUGCCAAGUCCGGAGAAAUCCCAACCGAUGCUGGGGUCGUCAUCUUCCUCGGACCCAGAGGGCCCGUAGGUCGAGACGUCCGUCAGUCGGUCCCAAGGCGACCGCAUACAGAACCUCAGUGGGGUUGCACUCGCCUUAAUGAGGGCGCCCGCCAAAACGAGGUCGUUUGGCGGGUUGAGGCCGAGUCGAAAUGACGCAAGAUGGGAGUUAGUCGUUACCUUUGGGUCGACGAGGAGCGACGUAGUCACAUCAGGGACUGGUUGCGCCGUCAUCUCUGGUUCGAGGGCGACGUCCUGCAGGCUUUCCGCGAGCGCGCCGGCGUCGUCUUCUUGCUCGGGGUCGUCGUGCCGCGGGGGGGACGGCGCUUGCCUCCGUCUUGAACGCGAGGUCGAUGUCCGGCGUGCCUUCCGUCGGGGCGUCGGGGGCGUCGAUUCGCUCGACGGCCGGCGAAGCGCGGUCUCCCGUCUGGCCUUGACGGCCCCGCCUCCUCCUCCGUUGGCGGGGGAGAGAACGGAGCGAGCCCGAAUGUUGCUUUUCCACCACGCGGGGUAGACGUCGUCGAUUCCGCCGCCGGCGGGCGGGUUGUCGGCCGCCAUUGUCGUGGUCGCACGGCGGUGGAAGAAGUAUCAUGUCGUAGCUGCCGUCGAAGGACAUGAACUCGAGAGCCCCGAAACGAAGCACCGUCCCGGGCCGGAGAGGUUGCUGGAGACUGCCCAUCUGGAGCUUGACGGGGAGCUAUUCGUCAGCACGCAGCAGGCCCCUACCUGGCGCGCCAACUGUCGGCGUUUCGAGACAGGGGGGUCCCUAAGCCGACGAGUGAGUGUGCUGCGUGCCCCAGCCCAGAUGGGUCGAGCGCGUGGGCGAGCGCGGAGGGGGGAGAGGCGAGGCGGCCGGAGCCGAGCGUGAGAGAGGUGGAAGUCCCGCGGCCUUCGUGUUCGUCCCGCGCCCAGGUCAGGUGCGCUUGCAGUAGGGGGGUUACAAGCGUCCACGCGGGUGAGGGAAGCGAGCGGCCCCAAGAGAGCGCCUGUCCCGUCCUCGGUCCCGCGCGGCCAACCUUCUCUGAGAAGGCCCUGGUCCUUCCUUUUAUAGUUGUAAGGAGAGGAUCCAGGUGUACAAUGGGGAUGUAGCAGAGUGCUACGUGUCUAGCGGAGGGAGAGCUAGUGCCCUAGGUACAUGCCGAUGUGGCAGCCGGAGAGAUCUGGGCAUCCUGCUGGCGUGAUGUCGUGGCUAUCGGAGGUGCGACGGAGCCUGAUGGAGGGACAGCUGUUGGAGCGGUCGAGUCCCUGCUGACGUUGUCCUGCUGCCGUAAGAGAGCUGGGGGCCGUCGUCGUCAUAGAGCUCGUGGAGCGCCAUCAUUGCCCCUCUGGCGGAGCUGGCCGGACGAGACGCCAGUCUUGUUCUCCGUGACCCGAGUCGAUUCGGGGUAGGAUGAUGAUGACGUUUCCUGUUGACGUGGCGGUCUGUGCUCUAGGCAGGGCGACGUGGGGUUUCGUCCGAAGCCGAGGUUGAGUCUUGCCUUCAGUUGCCGUGGCCGAGCCCGAGCCAGGGGGUCGGGCGAGGCGGAAGUCGUCCGGCCGAGGCCAGGGCGGAGUCCGAGCCCUGGGGUCGGGCGAGGCGGAGUUUCGUCGUCUUCCGGGUCUUAGCCCGAGUCCGAGCCCUGGGGUCGGGCGGAGCGGAGUUCGCCGUCUUCCGGGUCUUAGCCCGAGUCCGAGCCCUGGGGUCGGGCGGAGCGGAGUUCGCCGUCUUCCGGGUCUUAGCCCGAGUCCGAUCCCUGGGGUCGGGCGGAGCGGAGUUCGCCGUCUUCCGGGUCUUAGCCCGAGUCCGAUCCCUGGGGUCGGGCGGAGCGGAGUUCGCCGUCUUCCGGGUCUUAGCCCGAGUCCGAGCCCUGGGGUCGGGCGGAGCGGAGUUCGCCGUGGUGCCUUUGGCAAGGCCUAAUUGCCUGUCAGACUCACUCUGUCGAGUGGCACUGCAGUCGGAGUGGCGCAGGCGGCGCUGCCCUUCUGUCAGACUGGCCAGUGGAGCGGUGGAGUGACGGCGGUCACCUCGGCUCUGCCGGGGGCGCGUGUCAGGAUAGAGGUGUCAGGCCACCUUUGCGUUAAAUGCCCCUGCAAUUUGGUCAGUCGGUGUGGUGAUUUAGUCAAGGUUGCUUCUGAGCGAAGCCAAGGCCUUGGGCAAGCCGGUGAUGUGUCCGCCAUAAAAAGGGGGCCUCGGGCGAGACGGAAGUCUCUCGAGGUCGGCUGCCUUCGGCCGAGGCUAGGCUCGGGUGAAGCGCGAUCGAGUCACUCGUGUGGACUGAUCCCUGACUUAAUCGUGCCCAUCAGGCCUUUGCAGCUUUAUGCUGAUGGGGGUUACCAGCUGAGAAUUAGGCGUCUUGAGGGUACCCCUAAUUAUGGUCCCCGACAAUAAGGUUCAACCCAAACCAAGAAAGAAAUUCAGUUAGAGACACAAUCAAAUUUGGAGCAAAGGACUUAGAGUGUGCUGAAAAUUGGCGCACCGGACAAGGUGCACCAGGCGAGGCACCCAUCAAACAGGCCACUCUCGGGAAUUCAAUGGGCUCACUCCGCUAUAAUUCACCGGACUGUCCGGUGUGGCACCGGACUGUCCAGUGAGCCAGCGGAGCAACGACUCCCUGCGCGCCAACGGUCGACUGCUCAGAUGAAUAGUGCCAAACAGUGCCGCGUAGAAGUCAGAGGUCACCGAACUGUCCGGUGCAGCAAAAAGACAAAGAUCUCCAACGACCAACAACUUCAAACCCUAACGGACGCGUUGACGUGGCGCGCACCGGACAGUGAACAGUGACUGUCCGGUGUGCCCAUCGCUAGAGGACUUUGCCAACGGCUAGGAAGUGGUUGGGGGUUAUAAAUUGUCGGGUACCAUAAUUAGGGGUACCCCCAACACUCCUAAACACGGUUGGUAACCACCAUCAGCACAAAUCGCAAAGACUAAUGGGCACGAUUCAGGUCAAGGCUUCGUCUACCCAAGGGACGCAAUCUCGCCUCCCCCGAGCCCAGCCUCGGGCGGGAACAGUAGUCGCGGACGAAUUCACGCCUCGCCCGAGGGCCUCCUCAGGCAGUGGGCACACCCUCGGCUCGCCCGAGGCCCAGCUCGGGCAGGCUUCAUCGAGAAACAACCUUGGCCAAAUCGCCUCUCCAACCAACCGUAUCGCAGGCGCAUUCAAUGCGAGGAUCGCCUGACACCUUAUCCUGACAUGCGCGCCUCAGUCGGCAAGGUCGAAGUGACCGCAGUCACUUCGCCCUUUCGCUGACCGAUCUGACAGGAAAACAGUGCCGCUCACCCCGCUCCGACUGUUGUGCCAGCCACCCGGGCAAGGCUAACAACAGCAAGUUCAGCCUCAGGCGCAACAGGAAGCUCCGCCUCGACCGACCUUAGGCCUCGGCCUCGGAAGGUGGUCUCCACCUCGCCCGACCCUAGGGCUCAGCCUCAACCUCGGCCUCGGGAGGAAUCGCGUCCUCACCCGACCCAGGCCUCGACCUCAGGGGAAGUCUCCGCCUCGCCCGACCUUGGGCUCGGACCGACCGCGCCACGGGGGAUACAUCAUUACCCUACCCCUAGCUAGCUCAGGCUACUAGGGAACAAGACCGGUGUCCCAUCUGGCUCGCCCCGGUAACAAGUAAUGAUGGCUCCCCACGUGCGUCCAUGACGACGGUGGUUCUCAACCCCCUACGGAAGCAAGGAGACGUCAGCAAGAUCCCAGCAGCACCGACAGUUGUGCUUCUACAGGGCUCAGGCACUUCUCCGACGGCCACGUUACCGUGUACACAGGGCUCAGGCACCUCUGUGCCAGACACGUUAGCGCAUAGCUACACCCCACAUUGUACACCUGGACCCUCUCCUUGCAUCUAUAAAAUGGAGGUCCAGGGCCUUCAUGCGGGAGGGUCGCGCGGGAGAACGAACUAACGAACAGGCUCACUCUCUCUCUCUCUCUCGCGAACGCUUGUAACCCCUACUACGAGCACACCCCCCUGGUGCGAGAUAACACGAACCGCGUUUCCCCCUUGUGUUCCAUCUUGCGCCAACCCAUCUGGGCUGGGACACGCAGCGACAAAUUUACUCGUCGGUCCAGGGACCCCCUAGGGUCGAAACGUCGACAGUUGGCGCGCCAGGUAGGGGCCUACUGUGUGUUAACGAACAACUUCCCGUUGAGUUCCAGAUGGGUAGUCUACAGCAACCUCUUCAGCCCGGGACGGUGCUCCACUUCGGGAGUCUCGAGUUCAUGUCCCUCGACGGUAGCUACGACAUGGUACUCCUCCCCCCGCAGCGCGGCAGCAACCACGACGGUUGUCAGCUCGCCCGGCGGCGGCGGACUCGAUGACGUCUUCCCCCCGUGGCGAAAGAGCAGCAUCCGGGUUUGUCCCGCCACCCUCCUCGCCGCAGGAGGAGGAGGCGGGGCAACCAUGGCCAGGCAGGAGGCAGCACCACGUCGGCUGUCGAGCGAGUCGACGACACCGACACCCCAGCGGGGGACAUGUCGGGCGUUGUCCUCGCGCCUGAGACAACGACGGGCGUCAUUUCCCCGCAACGUGCCAACCCCAAGCGGGCAGAUGACGCCAGCACACUCGCAAAGGGCUUACUGGGCGUUAGCCUCGUACCUGAGAUAACGGUGUAGUCCGUCCCCGACGCGACUUCGUCAUCGUCCAUCGAUCAAGAGGUACCAUACGUUUUCCACCCUGUGCCUUUUAGAUUCAGCUUCGAUCCACCAAACGACCCCGCUUCGGUGAGCGCUUUUGUAAAGGCAUACCCUAACCUUCCAGGGUACCACAUGUGGUCAACCUGGGACCGACUGACGGCCGUCUCAACCUAUGGGCCCCCAGGUUCUGAGGAAGAAGAUGAGACUGACUCUGGUUGGGAUUUCUCUGGGCUCAGUAAUCCCAGUGCCAUGCGAGACUUCAUGACCGCAUGUGACUACUGCCUCUCCGAUUGCUCCAAUGACGGACACAGCCUUGACGACGAGGGUUGUGGCCCAAGUCACGAAUGUUUCCACGUCGAUCUAGGGGGUCACGACGAAGGCAACCACCUCGGUAUGCCGGAGGAUGACGAUCCCCCUGGGCCUGCGCCUCGCGUUGACAUCCUGCGGGAGCUAGUUGUGGUCCCAGUCCCUGCGGGGGGUCAGGACACACAGCUCGAGCAAAUCCGUGAGAUGCAGGCCAAGCUCGACGAGGAAGCAGGGCAACUUGUGCAGCUCCGGCAAAUCAUCGAGCAGGAGUGGGCAAGCCGAGCACUCGCCGGAGAAGCAUGUCAUCAGGCCCGGGACGUCCAACGUCGUAUUGUUGACAAUGCCAGGGCAAGGUUGUCCCCGGCCUCCAGCGGGGUCGGCCAGAAUCUGGCUGCAGCGGCAAUACUACUCCAAGCAAUGCCGGAGCCAUCCACCACCGAGGGGCGGCGUAUCUAGGGAGAACUCAAGAAUCUCCUGGAGGAUGCCGCGGUCUGACGGGCCAAAAGCUCUGCCUCCCGAAGGCAAGGGUGCCCCCCGGAGCAUCGCGCAACAACUUCCUGACUCGUGCGGGAGGCCUCAGUCCACACCGGGCGCACGCGGGACGCGACGCCUGCAGCCCCGGAUCGCUGUAGCAUCCCAAAAAUCCUAACCCAGGUUUGAAACCCUAAUCUACCCCUUUCCCCUCCCUUCAUCCUUUAAUUCCAAUACCUCCACUAGUUUUCUUUCAUCAUAUGCAUACAUUUUGUUUGAUCACAAAGCACCUCACUUAGAUUCUAUUUUCUAAACACUUAGAGUAUUCACAAAGUAUUUUUGUUCAAAGAAAAAGGGGCAAAAUGGGAAAUAGAAAUUAGAAAGUAAAAAGAAAAAGGGAAAAAGCUCUUUCCUCCCCUGCUGGACCGAAUCCCGGCCCAAGCCCGCGACCUCUCCCUCCCCACGCGCCCGCAUCCGGCCCAACUUCGGCCUGCUUCCGCGCGCGCGACAGCCGCUCCACACCUCGCCCUCUCUCUCGCUGACAAGGCGUCCCCACCCGUCAGCCACCCGCUCUCUCGCUCGCUCGCUCCCUCUGACCAAGCGACCCCACGGGUCAGCUGCUUCGUCGUCCGUCCGCCGUCCCCUCGCCGAAGUCACCUCCGGCCGUCGCCUCCGUCCUCCCCUCUACCAUCCUGCCGCACAGGGAAGUUUGGCACCGCUCCGUCCUCCUCCCCUUGACCAGCGUCCUCGCCGGUGCCACCUCGCCGUAGCGUCCCCUCGGCAGCGCUGUGCGCCAUUUAUGGCGGCACUGGGAAGCUCGCCGGAGUCAGGGAGCUCCACCGCCCCCCCUUCCCCCGCGCGCCUAUAAAAAGCUCCCCCCGAGCUCCUUCUUCCUCGCACCAGCUUCGGCCAUCCCCCUCCUCCCCUUCCCCGAGCUCAAUUCACAAGGCGUCGGCGUCAUCUUCCUCUCCGGUGAGUCUUUUCCUUCUCCUCCCUCUCCUUCUCUGUUGGUCCGGCAAGGAAUUGAGUGAGCCGAGUAGCUCCCUCGCGUAGCCACGAACCCGAAGCGCCACUUUCCAGCCCCCGUUCCCCACCCAGAGCCCACCGGCGGCGAUCCCCGCCGCGGAACUCCGCCCCCUCCCCGUGGGCAGCCCCCUCCCGACCCCCUCUGGCCAAAUUGAACCUACCAUAAGAAUCGCCAACUGCCGCCGUGCUAAACCACCUGCUCACUGUCCAAAAACCGGGCCACCGGCGGCGAACCGCCGCCGAGCCCACCGGCAGCCGGGUCCUCCCCCGCGGACGGCCGGUUCAUCCCCCCCGUCAACCUGACGCCGUUCUCUCCCCCCUCCCGUUCUCUCUGGCACGUGGGGCCCGCGGCGACGCCGUCACCUUCGCGCGCCCGCGCCGUCCCUUGCCCUGGGCCGCAACUGGGCCGGCGCAUUCGCGCCCGCGCGCGCUCGCGCCUGGCUGGGCCAGAUUCCUUCCACCCGGCCCACCAGAGCUGAAACCCUUUUUCUUUUUCCUUUUUCAGCAUUUUCCUCCUUUAAUUAGUCUCCUCAAUAUUUUAUGCACUAAAAAUUAUCAAAAAUAAUUUCUAAGGUCACAUGCAAUAAUGAUGUUAGAAAAUGACACACUAUAAUUUGUGAAUCCUUGUUGAUGUAUUGUUUUAUUGCCUGUUUUCCUAGAGGAAGCGGGGACCGUUAAUCCGGAACCCGUAGCCCCGGAAGAGGGACCAGAGCCCGAACUUCCGGAAGUAGAUCUUCUGUGCCAAGAGAGCUUCAACGAAGGCAAGUCCAUCCUUCCCUUGAUGCAUAAAUUACCUAUUCUCUCUACCACUGCCUAGGCCGGGAAUCAUGGGGGAACAUUGCAUUGUGAGUGAGAGAUGGCCCACAUUAACAUAUUAUUUCCGGUUACGAAAUGUGGAUCUGGAAGUAGGGCAAAGUGUUUCUCCAAAUAAAACCUAUUUUUGAAAAGUUAUGCGAUGAAGGGUACUCACCCUCAUCACCUUGAGAGUGGGAUGAUCAGGGACUCCCUGGUUUAGGGGAGGGCCUAAGGUGUUGGCUCAGCUGGUUUAGGCGUGAGCAGAAGGAUUGUCCCCUCAUAUAAGGACCGGCUUGUCAUUUUCACUACCUGUACUCCUUUAUCGUACAACCACUCGAGACUGUGUGGGCAGUCACUCGAUCCGAACUCGUAUGGUCCAACCCCAGGGUUAAGAAGGCUGGGGAGCACCGGGAGGAUAAGGAGGGGGAAAGUUUUGUCCGGUUUGGGCAUGGUGGUGGCCUGACUCCUUCCGGAUAACCGUUAAGGUUAGGACGUACGGGUAAGGAAAGAGAUCCGGCAUUCGGGUCUCGCGACGGUGAGAUCGCAGAAACCGGGCUAGUGGGUAAAGUGUACCCCUCUGCGCAGAGUUGAAACCUAUUCGAAUAGUCCGUGUCCACUGGUAUGGAUGAGUCCGGUAUGGUAUGACAAUUAGAACUUUCUCUAUGAAUUUCAAGAAAAGGGGGAAUGUGUGAAUGAGUAAGUGUUAAGAAAGAACUAAGGCCACGGGAGCGGGAAGCUCAGUGGUGGUUGAGUUUUUGGUUACUUUUAAAGACUAUGGGGUAGACCUUCAAGCAACUGCCUUUCUCUAAGAAAAUGAUGAGUGACAUCAACUCCACCAAAUUGAGCAUGUACAUCAUAGGUCUCUUUCUCUCUACGGGAGCGGGGUGGGCUUGCGGAAUACCUAGUGUAUUCACCCAGAUUUAUUUAUGUUUUUCAGCAGCCGAGGACUUCUUUUCUGCUAUGCUUGAUUAAGAGGGCUGUGUCUGCACCCAGUUCUGCCUGUGGCUUGGGCUAGUGUAUUUUCCUACUGCGUUUCUCUAUUUUGCUCUCUCGAGCUUGUACCCCGGUAUUGUAAUAAAUUUAUCUAAACUCUGUACUAUUUGAAGUAAGGAAUGUGUUUACUAGCCUCCUGGGACUAGUAAUUGAUUCACAUUUGAGUCCCAAAGGAUCGGGACGCUUCAAUCGCCUCAGCAACAAGCAUCACCGUCGCGACCGUCGAGCCCACCUCGACGAGAAGGUGCGCCGAGGUUACCACCCCAGGCGUGGGGGACGCUACGACAGUGAGGAGGAUCAGAGCCUCGCCCAAACCACCAGGUCUGCAAGCCUUCAACCGGGCCAUACGACGGGCGUCGUUCUCGACCCGGUUCCGGGCCCCGACUACCAUCGCCAAGUACUCGGGGGAAACAAGGCCGGAGUUGUGGCUUGCGGACUACCGGCUGGCCUGCCAGCUGGGAGGAACGGACGAUGACAACCUCAUCAUCCGCAACCUCCCCCUGUUCCUCUCUGACGCUGCCCGGGCCUGGCUGGAGCAUCUGCCUCCCGCACAGAUCUCCAACUGGGAUGACCUGGUCAAGGCUUUCGCUGGAAACUUCCAGGGCACGUACGUGCGCCCUGGGAACUCCUUGGAUCUCCGAAGCUGCCGCCAGCAGCCAGGGGAAUCCCUGCGAGAGUACAUCUGACGGUUUUCAAAGCAGCGCACCGAGCUGCCCAACAUCACCGACUCGGAUGUCAUCGGGGCGUUCCUCGCCGGCACCACUUGUCGUGACCUGGUGAGCAAACUAGGCUGCAAGACUCCCACCAAGGCGAGCGAGUUGAUGGACAUCGCCACCAAGUUUGCCUUUGGUCAGGAGGCGGUCGAAGCCAUCUUCCGGAAGGACAAGCAGCCUCAGGGACGCCAGCAGGAAGACGUCCCCGAGGCGUCCGCCCAGCGUGGCACAAAGAAGAAGGCCAAGCAGAAGUCACAAGCGAAACGCGACGCCGCCGACGCAGAUCUUGUCGCUGCCGCCGAGCACAGGAACCCUCGGAAGCCUCCCGGAGGGGCCAACCUGUUCGACAAGAUGCUCAAGGAGUCGUGCCCCUAUCACCAGGGUCCCGUCAAGCACACCCUUGAGGAAUGCGUCAUGCUUCGACGCUACUUCCAUAAAGCUGGGUCCCCGGUGGGAGAUGUCAAAGGCCAAGACAACAACAAGAAAGAGGGCAACAAGGAAGAGGAGUUCCCCGAGGUCCACGGCUGCUUCAUGAUCUACGGUGGGCAAGUGGCGAACGCCUCGGCUCGGCACCGCAAGCAGGAGCGCCGGGAGGUCUGCUCGGUGAAGGUGGCGGCGCCAGUCUACCUGGACUGGUCCGACAAGCCCAUUACCUUCGACCAAGGCGACCACCCCGACUGCGUGCCGAGCCCAGGAAAGUACCCGCUCGUUGUCGAUCCCGUCAUUGGCAACGCCAGGCUCACCAAGGUCCUCAUGGACGGGGGCAGCAGCCUCAACAUCAUCUACGCCGAGACCCUCGGGCUAUUGGGGAUCGAUUUGUCCACAAUCCGGGCUAGUGCUGCGCCCUUUCACGGGAUCAUCCCCGGGAAGCGCGUCCUGCCCCUUGGACAACUCGAUCUGCCCGUCUGCUUUGGAACUCCCUCCAACUUCUGAAAGGAAACCUUCACGUUCGAGGUGGUCGGGUUCCGAGGGACCUACCACGCGGUGCUGGGGAGACCGUGCUACGCCAAGUUCAUGGUUGUCCCCAACUACACGUACCUCAAGCUCAAGAUGCCAGGCCCCAACGGGGUCAUCACCAUCGGAUCCACGUACCGACACGCGUACGAAUGCGACGUGGAGUGCGUGGAGUACGCUAAGGCCCUCGCCGAGUCCGAGGCCCUCAUCGCCGACCUAGAGUGCCUCUCCAAGGAGGUGCCUGAUGCGAAAAAAGUGCCACGCCGGCAACUUCGAACUGGCUGAGGCGGUUAAGUCCAUCCCUCUCGACCCCAGCAACGACACCUACAAGCAAGUCUGGAUCGGCUCCGAGCUCGACCCCAAAUAGGAAGCAGUGCUCGUCGACUUUCUCCGUGCAAAUGCCGAAGUUUUUGCGUGGAGUCCCUCGGACAUGUCUGGCAUACCGAGGGAUGUCGCCGAGCACUCACUAGACAUUCGAGCCGGUGCCCGACCCGUGAAGCAGCCUCUGCGUCGUUUCGACGAAGAAAAGCGCAGAGCCAUAGGCGAGGAGGUCCACAAGCUGAUGACUACAUGGUUCAUCAAAGAGGUAUUCCAUCCCGAAUGGUUAGCUAACCAUGUGCUUGUGAAAAAGAAAGGUGGGAAGUGGAGGAUGUGCGUAGACUACACUGGUCUAAACAAGGCAUGUCCAAAGGUUCCCUACCCUCUGCCUCGCAUCGAUCAAAUUGUGGACUCCACUGAUGGGUGCGAAACCCUGUCAUUCCUCUAUGCCUAUUCAGGUUAUCACCAAAUCAAGAUGAAAGAGUCCGACCAUCUCGCGACUUCUUUCAUCACACCUUUUGGCAUGUACUGUUAUACUACUAUGCCAUUUGGCUUGAGGAAUGCAGGUGCAACAUACCAAAGGUGCAUGAACCACGUGUUCGGAGAGCACAUCGGCCGAACGGUCGAGGCUUACGUCGAUGACAUCGUUGUCAAGACGAGGAAAGCCUCCGACCUCCUCUCUGACCUUGAAACGACAUUCAAGUGUCUGGGAGCGAAGGGCGUGAAGCUCAAUCCCGAGAAGUGUGUCUUCGAAGUCCCUCGAGGCAUGCUCCUAGGGUUCAUCGUCUCUGAGCGGGGCAUCGAGGCCAACCCAGAGAAAAUCGCGACCAUCACCAACAUGGGGCCUAUCAAAGAUUUGAAAGGAGUACAAAGGGUCAUGGGAUGCCUUGCGGCUCUGAGCCGCUUCAUCUCGCGCCUCGGUGAAAAAGGCCUACCCUUGUACCGCCUCUUAAGGAAGGCCGAGCGCUUCACUUGGACCCCCGAGGCCGAGGAAGCCCUCAGAAACUUAAAGGCGCUCCUUACAAACGCGCCCAUCUUGGUGCCCCCCGCUGCGGGAGAAGCCCUCUUGAUCUACGUAGCCGCAACCACUCAGGUGGUCAGCGCGCGAUCGUAGUCGAGAGACGAGAAGAAGGGCAAGCACUGCUCGUCCAGAGGCCGGUUUACUUCGUUAGUGAAGUGUUAUCCGAGACCAAGAUCCUCUACCCGCAAAUUCAGAAGCUACUGUACGCAGUAAUUCUGACGCGGCGAAAGUUGCGACACUACUUCGAGUCUCAUCCGGUGACUGUGGUGUCAUCCUUCCCCCUGGGGGAGAUCAUCCAGUGUCGAGAGGCCUCGGGUAGGAUAGCAAAGUGGGCAGUGGAGCUUAUGGGCGAGACAAUCUCGUUCGCUCCACGGAAGGCCAUAAAGUUCCAAGUCUUAGCGGAUUUCCUAGAGGAAUGGGUCGACACCCAAUUGCCAACAGCUCUGAUCCAACCGGAACUUUGGACCAUGUACUUCGAUGGGUCGCUGAUGAAAAUGGAAGCAGGUGCUAGCCUGCUCUUCAUCUCACCCCUUGGGAAACAUCUCCGCUACGUGCUGCGCCUCCAUUUCCCGGCGUCAAACAACAUGGCCGAGUACGAGGCUCUGGUUAAUGGGUUACGCAUCGCCAUCGAGCUAGGGGUUCGGCGCCUCGAUGCUCGUGGCGACUCACAGCUUGUCAUCGACCAAGUCAUGAAGAACUCCCACUGCCGCGACCGGGAGAUGGAGGCCUACUGCGAUGAAGUUCGACGCCUAGACGACAAGUUCUAUAGGCUGGAGCUCAACCACAUCGCUCGACGGUACAACGAGACUGCGGAUGAGCUGGCGAAAAUAGCCUCGGGGCGGACAACGGUUCCCCCAGACGUCUUCUCUAGAGACAUACAUCAACCUUCCGUUAAGAUCGACGACACGCCCGAGCCCGAGGAGGCCUCGGCCCAGUUCGAGGUAUCCUCGGCCGCCGAGGGUGAGGCCCUGCGCAUCGAGGGAGAGCGAAAUGGGGUUGCGCCAAACCAAAACUGGCAGACCCCGUACCUGGAAUAUCUCCUCCGAGGAGAGCUACCCCUCGACAAGGCCGAAGCUCGGCGACUAGCGCGGCGCGCCAAGUCGUUCGUCUUACUGGGUGAUGAAAAGGAGCUCUACCACCGCAGCCCCUCAGGCAUUCUCCAACAAUGCAUAUUCGUCACCGAAGGACAGGAGCUAUUGCAAGAAAUACACUCGGGGGCUUGCGGUCACCAUGCAGCACCUCGAGCCCUUGUGGGGAACGCCUUCCGACAAGGUUUCUACUGGCCGACCGCGGUAGCCGAUGCCACUAGGAUUGUACGCUUCUGCCAAGGGUGUCAAUUCUACGCAAGACAGACGCACCUUCCCGCUCAGGCCCUGCAGACAAUACCCAUCACCUGGCUGUUUGCUGUGUGGGGUCUGGACCUCGUCGGUCCCUUGCAGAAGGCACCCGGGGGCUUCUCGCACCUGCUAGUCGCCAUCGACAAAUUCUCCAAGUGGAUCGAGGUCCGACCCCUAAUCAGCAUCAGGUCCAAGCAGGCGGUGGCGUUCUUCACGAACAUCAUCCAUCGCUUUGGGGUCCUGAACUCCAUCAUCACCGACAAUGGCACACAGUUCACUGGGGAAGAAGUUCCUGGACUUCUGCGAGGACCACCACAUCCGUGUGGAAGGGGCCGCCGUAGCUCACCCCAUGACGAAUGGGCAGGCGGAGCGUGCCAAUGGUAUGAUUCUGCAGGGACUUAAACCGAGGAUCUACAACGACCUCAACAAGUUCGGCAAGCGGUGGAUGAAAGAGCUACCCUCGGUGGUCUGGAGUCUGAGGACGACGCCGAGCCGAGCCACAGGUUUCUCGUCGUUCUUUCUAGUCUAUGGGGCCGAGGCUAUCUUACCCACACACUUAGAAUACGGUUCCCCGAGGACAAAGGCGUACGACGACCGAGGCAACCAGGCCAGCCGAGAAGACUCACUGGACCAGCUAGAAGAGGCUUGGGACGUGGCCUUACUGCACUCGGCGCGGUAUCAGCAGUCUCUGCGACGCUACCACGCUUGAGGGGUUCGGCCCCGAGGCUUCUAGGUGGGAGACUUGGUACUUCGGCUGCGGCAGGACGCCACAAGCUUACUCCUCCCUGGGAAGGGCCAUUCAUCAUCGCCAAGAUUUUGAAGCCCGGAACAUACAAGCUGGCCAACGAUCGAGGCGAGGUCUACAACAACACUUGGAACAUCCAACAGCUACGUCGCUUCUACCAUUAAGAUGUUUCAAGUCGUUCAUAUACCUCGUUUUUUUCUUUACAUACAUAAAUAAAGUCUAACCGUCAAGGAAGGAUCAGCCUUGCCUCGGCAAAGCCUGACCCUCCCUCGGGGGCUAGAAGGGGGGAACCCCCUCUGCAUCAAAAUUUUCCUCGGAAAAGUUUUCUACCCAAACGACUUUCGUGCUUUCCGACUAUAUCGAUAACAGAAUCCUGCAAGCGAGUAAGAGCGCACGUAAGCGGCAAGGCCGACCGAGCUGAGGGACUCCUACGCCUCUGGGAUACGGAUACCUCACUCGUCACCUUCCGCAAAAAGUAACUCUUGCUCGGAUAAGCGAUUCUGCUACCGACGAACAAGUCUGGAUACUCGAAACGAGAGGAAAGGAAACACAGCUUUAUAACACGACAAUAAGAUGUUUAGGCCUUGUUGGCCACGAAAAACACGUGCAUACUCCAAACAAACUGCUCCGGUAGAAUCAGACAUCGCUAGGGGGAGGAGCGGCACCCUCGGCGUCGUCUCCACCCUCGAUGUCGUCUCCACCCUCGGCAAGAUCUAGCCCGGCCCCAGACGGCGACGCAAGCGAAAGGAUCUCCACCUCGAAGGAGGACGCCAGCACCACGCUUGGGCCCGCGACGGCCGCGUCAAGCCUCUGAACCUCGGCUAAGGCAGCCUCAUCUUCAUCGGGUAGGCAGUACCCCUCGCUGACCCGCUCCAGAUCCACGUCGUAGUGGGAAGCGAGCACGGCGAAGGCCCGCCUAACGCCGUGGUGCAGCGCCCCGCGGAGUCUGCUGCGCACAUGGCUGCCCAAGGCCCGCAGGCGACUCUGGGGGAGCUACUCGAGGGGAUGUCAUCAAGGUCAAAGGCCUGGCAAAAGGCCGAGAUAGCCUCGGACAUUGCCACACGGUCGGCCUCCUUCUGCUCAGUCGCCUGGCCAAGUGCCUUGACGGACUCGUUAAGAGCCGUCUCGAACUCUGCAGACAGCCGAACAAAAUUCUUCAGACACGAGUUGAAGAAUGAAGCUGAAUCGAAGUCACAAAGCGAUCAAAACGUACCUUCGGCCCGGGCACGCUGCUCCGAGGCUACGGCUUGGGCGGACUGAGCAGACCCGACGGCCACGGCCAGGUCCUCCGCAAGGUCUCCGGCCCGAGCAGAUACCUCGGCCAGCUGACCCCCAAGGGCCUCAGCCUGGCUCCGAGAUUGGUCCCGCUCGCCAAUGACCUGGCCAAGCUCUAGCUGCCACUGCUACGCCUCCGUCCGUGCCGACGCUGCCUCUGCCUGCGCCGCCGCUACCUCCGCCUUCAGCUCAUCACGAAGCACCCGAAGGUCCGCCACCUCAGUGCUCCGUUGGGCAAGGCGUUCAUUAGCCUCGGCAAGCGCGGCCCUCUGGGACCGCAGCAAACCCCAGACGCCGCUCUCGCGGCGGAUGAACAACGACUUGGCGGUCCUCACAUCCGCCAGUUCCUGAGGAAGGAAAGCAGGGUGUUACAAAAAAUGCCCUGGUCACGCAAGGGGUAUGCCUAAAAUCCUUACCUGGAGGACCCUGGGAACGUCCCUGGAAAGAAUCUCCAUGGUCGACCGAAGCGACCCCAUCGCUGCCUCGGCAUACUCACGUAGCUCAUCCCGAGACUGCUCCUCCCGCUCAUCGUUGAGGACGAAGAGGGGUUCCGAGGCGCCGUGGCUCUAGAACCGGAGCGCCUGCCCACACCACGCAUUGGGGUUGCGCCGCGCAGGGAUAAGGUCGCUGCUCCCCAAGACAGCCACGGUUUUGCGUGCCCCUCCUCCAAGGCGUCGGGACCCCCUGCAGUCGACGCAUUGGGUACCAUCGCUGUCGACGUACUGGGCCUCCCCUCGGCUAAGGAGGCGGGCCUCCGAUCACCGACCUCGGCAACGGCGGCCGCCCUCUCCUUAUGGCUGAGACUGGGGAGGUCGGGGACGACCUCGAGCAGUGGCGCCUCAGCCAUCCCAACAUCAGCGGCGACGGGCGGCUCCACCGGCAAAUCAACGACGACCUCGGCAGGAGUUGAUGCCGGCACCGGCAACACAUCAGAUGGGCUCGGGGUCGCGGCCACGUCAGCAGCCUCCCCCAGCACGAUGGCCGCCCCGAUGGAGGGGUCAGCCUGGGAGGCUUGCCCCAUGGCAACUCGUGCCGCCUAGGCCCCCCGCUCGAGGGCGUCUUGUGCGGAGGCCAGCCAACCGGCAUGGUGCGCCGCGACACUGUCUUAAGGGCCUUCCGGGGGCCAGACCGGCCGAGCCCUGCCUCCGUUUGCUGAAAGGAAGAGAUAAAGCAAGAUCAGGGCACACGGAGAAAGAGCCAAAAUAGAGGUAUCCUCAGAUACUUACCCGCUCCGGACCAAGGCUAAUCGUGCCUGCGAGGAGGCCCCUCGGGCCUCGGUCCCCGCAGGCGCUGCCGAGGAUUGGCCCGCUGCCGGCUUCGGCGCUGUUCCCACCUCGGGCACCCGAGGCGCCGAAGGGACGGCCUACCCAGGCGUCGUCACGACGGCCCGAGGAUCAACCUCCUGUACAGCCGGCGCGGGCGCUUGUUCUUGGGGAGCGAGCGGAUCGACCUGCCUCCCCGGAGUCACCUCAGUUACCUCAGCCAAGGGGUCAAGUACCCCCCAGCCUGCCUCUGCUCCUCGGACCGGGACCUUGAUGUGCCGGCCCCAGAUGCUGAUGGCGCCAGCCCACUUGGCUGGCUCGGCGACCACUGUCCCAGCCUCAGAUCCGAGCUGAGGCCAAGACGGGCCGCCAUGUCGUCGCCCUCGUCAUCAUCAUCAUCGUCAUCAUCGUUAGGCAUCUCCGACGACGGCUCCCUCGGGAGCCCGUCCCUCUCCUGCCUCCGACGACGCUUCUCCAAGGCUGCCCGAGCCCGCAUCUGCUCGCGGGCCUGGGCCUUUUCCGCGUCCUUCUUCUCCUUUUUCUUCUCCGCAGCAGUCCUCCGCGCGGCUCGAUCCACCGCGUCCUCCGGGACCGGUGGCAAGGAGGGUUUGUAAAACCUCAACCCCUAAGGACAAACAAAAGCCCCAAUAGUAAGAAUCAAAGGCGACUCGGUGCAAAACAGGAGAAGGAUUGGCACUUACCAGAGAAACGUACUCGUGGUCGGGGCGCAUCGCGGGCUGGGUAAGGGCGCCGACAUCCAGCCUCCCUACCGUACCCGCUACCCGCCUGCGGAGGUCGUCAACGGGGAGGGAAGCCGAGGAUGUCUGCGAGCCCUCCAAAUAAACCCUCGGUUUCAUCUCCGAAAGAGGCAGCCGCCGCUCCGCCAAAGGAAGCACCCUCCGGUGAUGGGUAGCGGCGACGACCCCCGCGGCGGUAAGACCCCCAUCUCGUAACCUCUGCAAGGCCUCCAGAAGAGGCUGGAGCUUCUCCUGUUUCUCGCGCAUGGCCCCCCAGCGCCAGUUGCUGCCGACGGCGGUCACCACUCGUUGAGAAAACGACGGGAGCCUUCCGUCGUCGUUCCGGAGGUAAAACCACCGGCGCUGCCACCCCUUGUUCGAAGACACAAGGAUGGCGGGGAUGUACUGCUGCGCGCGCCCCUGCCUCAACUGGAGGGUGCAGCCACCGGCCCACACCGCCAUGCGGACCUUCUUUUCCUCCGUCGUCAAGGCGAAGAGCUCCACGGAGAAGAGAUGGGUCCACAGAUCCCAGUGGGGGUCAAUCCCCAAAAAACCCUCACAAACCUCCGCGAAGAUGGUCGCUUGCGCAAUGGAGUUGGGGUUGAAGUUGUGUAGCUCCACCCCAUAGUAGUGCAGGAGCGCCCGCAUGAAACGACUCGCUGGAACUCCGAACCCUCGCUCGUGGAAGGAGACAAAACUAACCACAUACCCCGGCGGCGGAGUCGGGUCGGCCUUGCUCGCAGGUGCCAUCCACUCCGGCUGCGGGUCACCGGAGAGGGGACGGAGCAAACCAUCGGCGACGAGGGCCUCCAGAUCGUCCACCGUGACGUUGGAGAAAGGCCAUGGAUCGCGAGGCGGAACGAUGGUCACCUUGUCAGCCAUCGCUGAACGAAGGGGGUGGAGGCGGAGGGGACAAGGUGCGCGGUUUUCUUUUCUCUGGCUAUUCUCUUAGGUUGCAGAAACCAAAGCAGAAGGCAGGCACAAAUGGCAGAGUAAAGAACCACCGCCGACCCCUCUUCCGGGUAUAUAAAGGCCUGGGCGAGAUCCAUUCAAAACUUCGCCCGAACCCACCACGAAAUUCAAACUCGAAGGCGAAACGCCCAUUCCUUGAACGACUCGCGCACGCGCAACGGCCGCCCCGUGAAUCGCCCGUCCCGUCGCGUUAACUCCUCGGCAGGGCAAGCAACACCUUUGGCAGGCGAAGCGGGCGUCGUUUCACCUCCGCCAUGAUGACCGCGGCAAAAAAGGUGCGCCACACUAUUUAAAUUCAUAUCCUUUUCCUCUUCCCCUUUCUCUCUCUUGCUAACAGGGACUGGGAAAGGGGAUAUUUCGAAAGGGAUCCUUCUCCGCGAAGGAAGCGGGCCCCGAGCCCUCCUACUGAUCAGGGGUUCGAAGGCUGGCCACUCGGAAGGGUUCGACAGCCGCCCAGAGCACUCGGGCUUCAAGCCCAUUACUGAUCAGGGGUUCGAAGGCUGGCCCCUCGGAAGGGUUCGACAGCCGCCCUAGAGCACUCGGGCUCCGCGCCCACUACUGAUUAGGGGUUCGAAGGCUGGCCCCUCGGAAGGGUUCGACAGCCGCCCCAGAGCACGCAGAGUGAGGGAUGACUCUGGGUACGUCCGUUACAUGGCCGAGGCUCGAGCUACGCUCCCGAGGUACCCUAGGACAAUUCUGAGACCAGCAGGAGCGAUUUUGUAACGGAAUCCCAUUAGAGGGAGGCAUCGAGGCCUUGGACCCUAUCGAACGGGUCCGGGUCCAGCAAAUCACCUGCAGGUACUUUUGGAGCGCGCCUCUGGGCCACUAGCCGACCCUUAUCGAACGGGGCACGGGCGUCCACUCGGAUCACCCGUUAGCAACUCAUUGGAGACACCAUGUUCGGCGCCCUUCGAGGGCAACAUGGCGCUUCCCCCCUUCCUCCUUGCGGAAAGGCGACGAAGGGGCGUAUAAUAAAAGUCGAGACAGUCCUUGAUCAUCCUCUCGCUCCGUGUAGAGGCUCGGGGGCUGCUCUCGCAACCCGGCUAUGGCCAAACCGUUGACAGCGUCAACAAACCAGCCUAAAAACUCGAAACCUAACCAUGCACCCGGGCUACAAUCAGGUCGCAUGAGGGAACAACCAGGCCAGCCAAGGCAUCACGAAAGGCAUUAAGACCUCAGAGGAGUCAAACCACUCCUCCGAGGCCUCGGGGGCUACACCCAGCGGGUGCGCUCGCGCACACCCACCGAAACAAAGUAUAACCGAGAAAGGCCGGUCCCCUCGCAAAAAAGUGCGGCAAAGCCUCCAAGCGAGUACCAACACUCCCUUCGAGGCUCGGGGGCUACUGUCGGGAACCAUAAUUAGGGGUACCCCCAACACUCCUAAACACGGCUGGUAACCACCAUCAGCACAAAUCGCAAAGACUAAUGGGCACGAUUCAGGUCAAGGCUUCGUCUACCCAAGGGACGCAAUCUCGCCUCGCCCGAGCCCAGCCUCGGGCGGGAACAGUAGUCCCGGAUGAAUUGACGCCUCACCCGAGGGCCUCCUCAGGCAGUGGGCGCACCCUCGGCUCGCCCGAGGCCCAGCUCGGGCAGGCUUCGUUGAGAAGCAACCUUGGCCAAAUCGCCUAUCCAACCGACCGUAUCGCAGGCGCAUUCAAUGCGAGGAUCGCCUGACACCAUAUCCUGACACGCGCGCCUCAGUCGACAAGGUCGAAGUGACCGCAGUCACUUCGCCCUUUCGCUGACCGAUCUGACAGGAAAACAGCGCCGCUCACCCCGCUCCGACUGCUAUGCCAGCCACCGGGGCAAGGCUUACAACAGCAAGUUCAGCCUCAGGCGCAACAGGAAGCUCCGCCUCGACCGACCUUAGGCCUCAGCCUCGAAAGGUGGUCUCUACCUCGCCCGACCCCAGGGCUCGGCCUCAACCUCGGCCUCGGGAGGAAUUGCGUCCUCGCCCGACCCCGGCCUCGGCCUCAGGGGAAGUCUCUGCCUCGCCCGACCUUGGGCUCGGACCAACCGCGCAACGGGGGAUACAUCAUUACCCUACCCCUAGCUAGCUCAGGCUACGAGGGAACAAGACCGGCGUCCCAUCUGGCUCGCCCCGGUAACAAGUAAUGAUGGCUCCCCACGUGCGUCCAUGACGAUGGUGGUUCUCAACCCUGUACGGAAGCAAGGAGACGUCAGCAAGAUCCCAGCAGCACCGACAACUGUGCUUCUACAGGGCUCAGGCACUUCUCCGACGGCCACGUUACCGUGUACACAGGGCUCAGGCACCUCUCUGCCAGACACGUUAGCACAUAGCUACACCCCCCAUUGUACACCUGGACCCUCUCCUUGCAUCUAUAAAAGGGAGGUCCAGGGCCUUCAUGCGGGAGGGUCGCGCGGGAGAACGAGCUAACGAACAGGCUCACUCUCUCUCUCUCGCGAACGCUUGUAACCCCUACUACGAGCACACCCCCCUGGUGCGAGAUAACACGAGCUGCGUUUCCCCCUUGUGUUCCAUCUUGCGCCAACCCAUCUGGGCUGGGACACCCAGCGACAAAUUUACUCGUCGGUCCAGGGACCCCUCGGGGUCGAAACGCCGACAUAAAUACUCCCAACCACUUCAUUCAAAGUCAUCCAAGUGUUCUGAAUUCAACAUUCAAUACAAGAGCAAAAGACUCCACUCCAAGACACAUUCAAUAGAUCAAAAUCCUCUACAAGUCCCAAAAUCAACUCCACCACUUAGUGACUUGAGAGAGAGAAAGAGAGUUUUUGUGUUCAUUUGCGCUCUUGUUGCUUGGAUUGCCGUCUUCCUUCCCAUUCUAAUUCUUAAGUGCUUUGUAAAGCUAAACAAGAGACACCAAGUGUGUGGUGGUCCUUGCGGGGUCUUAGUGACCCGUGUGAUUAAGAGAAGGCUCACUCAGUCUAAGUGACUGUUUGAGAGAGAGGGAAAGGGUUGAAAUAGACUCAGCCUUUGUGGCCUCCUCAACGGGGACUAGGUUCUUUGGAACCGAACCUCGGUAAAACAAAUCACCGUGUCUACUCGGUUUGAUUCUCGCUUGAUUUGUUUGCCCUCUUUCCUCUCUCUAACGUUUCAUUGCUAGUUUUGAUUUGAGUUUGCUCCCAUACGUCAUACGCAUCCUUUGAGCAACUCUUAGCAAGAGAAACAAUCUUUCGGACUUGAAUUUAAUUCUAACGCUUACCCCGGCCUUAGUGCGUGUUUAAGUUUAUAAAUUUUAGGUUUCGUCUAUUCACCACCCUCUAGGUGACUUUCAAUUGGUACCAGAACCAGUGUUUCAUUAAGAGUCUAAGCAACUCGAAGUGAUGUCUGGAGAUCACGCCAAGAGGGAGAUCAUGACCGGCGACAAGCCCACGGGCUCCGGGAAGACUCCAUCAAGGGAGUCCAGCAACAAGUAUAAGGAGGAAUCCUCUUCCUCUAUCAAGUCACAUAGGAGGGGUGACAAGAAGAAAAAGAAGAUGAAAAAGGUGGUCUACUACGAGACCGAUUCUUCAACACCCUCCACAUCCGGCACCGAGUCGUCCACUACUUCUAAGCGCCAUGAGCGCAAGAAGUAUAGUAAAAUGCCCCUACACUAUCCCCGUAUUUCAAAGCGCGCUCCAUUACUUUCAGUACCCCUAGGCAAACCACCAUAUUUUGAUGGUGAAGUUUAUUGCAUGUGGAAUGAUAAAAUUAGGCACCACCUAACCUCACUCCACGAAAGUAUUUGGGAUAUUGUUGAGUUUGGAGCGCAGGCACCUCAAGUGGGGGACGAGGACUAUGACUCGAAUGAGGCCGCCCAAAUAAGGCACUUCAACUCCCAGGAAACUUCUAUACUCCUCGCCUACUUGUGUCGAGAGGAGUAUAAUAAGGUGCAAGGGUUGAAGAAUGCCAAAGAAAUUUGGGACAUCCUCAAAACCGUGCACAAAGGGGACGAGGUGACCAAGAUCACUAAGCGUGAAACGAUCGAGGGAGAGCUUAGACGAUUCGUCCUCAACAAAGGGGAAGAGCUGCAAGCCAUGUACAACCAGCUCAAGACGAUGGUCAAUCAAGUGCGCAACCUCGGGAGCACAAAAUUGGAUGACCAUGAAAUGGUCAAGGUUAUUCUUAGGUCCCUUGUAUUUCAUAAUACUACUGAAGUUCAAUUAAUAUGUGGGGAUCUUAGAUACAAACAGAUGUCUCCCGAGGAGGUGAUUGGUAAGUUUGUGAGCUUUGAACUUAUGAUCAAAGACUCCAAACACAUUGUCAACCUGGAGCAAGGCGCCACCUCUACACCCAAGGUGCAACCCGUUGUGUUCAAAGCAACGGAAGAAAAGAAGGAGAAGUCUACACCAAGUAGGCUUCCAAUCUACUCCUACAAGCUCGACAACGAGGAGAUGGCUCUCAUCAUUAAGAGCUUUCGCCAAAUCCUCAAGCAAAGGAGGAGGAAGGACUACAAGCCCCGCUCCAAAAGGGUGUGCUACCGAUGUGGUAAGUCCGGUCACUUUAUUGCUAAAUGUCCAUAUUCUAGUGAAACUGUGAAAGGGAAAUGAGCCCUUGGGCCAUUUCUAAGUAUUUUGGUGAUUGAGUGCCAACUCAAGUGCUUAAAUGUGAAUUUAUGCCAUGGAUGAAUAAAGUGCAAAUCAAGAGCAAAGGUAUGUUUCUAAGUCUUAGUACAUUGGUUUUGUGUACUAAUAUACUUGUCUAAGUAUUGGAAACAGGAAGAAAAAGAAAAGAAAAGAAUUGGCUGUGUACAGCCAGAAGGCUGCUUCGGUCUGGAGCACCGGACUGUCCGGUGGUGCACCGGACAGUGUCCGGUGCGCCAGGCUGCCUCGGCCGAAGAGGCCGCUCUCGGGAAUUUGCUGACGGCGUACGGCUAAAAUUCACCGGACUGUCCGGUGUGCACCGGACUGUCCGGUGAGCCAACGGUCGGCCAAGGCAACGGUCCGCCGCGGAUUCUGCGCGCGACACGUGGCCAAGCCAACGGUCGGAAGGGGGCACCGGACUGUCCGGUGUGCACCGGACAUGUCCGGUGCGCCAACGGCUCCCAGAUCUGCAACGGUCGGCUUCGCCAUUUAAGGAAAGGAAUCGGGCACCGGACACUGUCCGGUGUGCACCGGACUGUCCGGUGCGCCCGAUGACAGAAGGCAAGGAUGGCCUUCCAGAUUUGUUCUCAACGGCUCCUAGCUGCCUUGGGGCUAUAAAAGGGACCCCUAGGCGCAUGGAGGAGGACACCAAGCAUUCCUACAACAUUCCUAAGCACCAAGACAUCGAUCUCACGCAUUCGUUUCAUUGUGAUAGCAUCUAGAGCUCUUGUUGAGUUGCGAACUCUUUGAGUUGUGUUGCGAGCUUUUGUUGCGACUUGUGUGCGUGUUGUUGCUCUGAUCUUUUGAAGUCUUGUGUGCGUUGCUCAUUCCCCCUUUGCUCUGUGUUCUUUGUGAACUUCAAUUGUAAGGGCGAGAGGCUCCAAGUUGUGGAGAUUCCUCGCAAACGGGAUUGAGAAAAAGCAAGCAAAACACCGUGGUAUUCAAGUGGGUCUUUGGACCGCUUGAGAGGGGUUGAUUGCAACCCUCGUCCGUUGGGACGCCACAACGUGGAGUAGGCAAGCGUUGGUCUUGGCCGAACCACGGGAUAAACCACUGUGUCGUCUCUGUGAUUGAUCUCUUGUGGUAUUGUGUUUUGUUGAGACUCCUUUCUAGCCACUUGGCAUUUAUUGUGCUAACACUUAACAAGUUUUUGUGGCUAUAAGUUUAAGUUUUACAGGAUCACCUAUUCACCCCCCCUCUAGGUGCUCUCAAACUGACAGGGACGAAGACAAGAAAGGGAAGAAGAAAGAGAAGAAGAGAUACUACAAGAAGAAGGGCGGCGAGGCGCACAUAGGGCGGGAAUGGGACUCCGACGAGAGCUCCAUCGACUCCUCUUCCGACGAGGACACCGCCAACAUCGCCGUCAACAAGGGCCUCCUCUUCCCAAACGUCGGUCACAAGUGUCUCAUGGCAAAGGACGGCAAGAAGAAGAAGGUAUACUCUAGAGCCACCCCUAAAUAUACUACAUCUGAUGAUGAGGGUAGCUCUAGUGAUAAUGAAGAUGAUUUAAUUUCUCUCUUUGCCAACCUUAACAUGGACCAAAAGGAAAAAAUAAAUGAAUUGAUAGAAACCAUUAACGAGAAGGAUGAUCAAUAGGAAUGCCAAGAGGACUUGCUCGUUAAGGAAAACAAAAAAAUUGUUAAAUUGAAAAAUGCUUAUGCUCUAGAAGUAGAAAAAUGUGAAAAUUUGUCUAAAGAGCUUAGCAUAUGCAAUGCUUCAAUUUCUAGUCUUAGAAUUGAGAAUGAAAAUUUAAUUACUAAGAUUGAAGAAUUGAAUGAUUGCAAAGCAUCUACAUCUAUUGUUGAUCAUGUUGUUAUUUGUACUAGAUGUAGAGAUAUUAAUGUUGAAGCUAUUGAUGAUCACCUUGCUAUGAUUAAACAACAAAAUGAUCACAUAGCUACAUUAAAUACUAAAAUUGCCGAGCAUGAACUUGAAAAUUUGGCACAAUUGCACCCUUGAACUCUAAGGCCUUCGCCGCGGUGGCGAUUGGAUUUGCCGCCUGCCUUGUUGGCGCCAGUGGAUCCGCGUAUGGUUCUGGCGGUAUGCACCAGCUCAUUGCUGAAUAGCGUGGAUGCUGGCUAGAUAUUGUACGUAUAUCGUGCCCGUACUGUUUCUGUUAUCUGCAUCAUGUGCUGUAUUUUGCUCUUCGUGUAGUAUACUACUAUUAUGCCACACAUAUAUCAUGUAUGUAUUGUUCGUGUAGAGUCUACAGGUAUAAUGUAUGUCAUACAUAGACUAUGCAUGCAUAUAUGGUUUGUCUGAGGAAAUUAUGGCAAAGCUAGAGUAAAAUAAAAUGUUCCCUUUUAUGAGUUCACCAUGUGGAUUAUGUUUUUUUACUUCGAUCUGUUGUACAACCAGGGGGAUCCAUGUUGGGCCUAACUAUUUUUAGGGAACCGGAUCAUUGAAAAAUAGGCAGGGUUUUAUGGUGGAAUUAUUUAGGAGGGUACUUAACCAUGUUUGAGAAAUUGUAAUGUUGCUUUUAUUUGGCACAAUUAUCAAAUAGGAAAAUGAAUUUGAGAUUGACACAAUAAGGAUCUGUUCAGUUUCCUAUUUGUUGAUUAUCUUCAUCUCCUCCUUUGUUAGGGUCCUUUGAUCAAGUAGGGUGCUGUUUCGGGAGCCUAAGCAAUAGUUGCCUCCUUUGUUAGGGUCCUUUGAUCAAGUAGGGUUUUCUGGAUAUAUCUUAGCUAUGAAGUAGAGCUUGAGUUUUUAGAAUGAGAGGCUACCAUUUUUGGGCAGCUGAAAGGGAAGUGUCCAGUGCAUUUUUUAUAUCCUUUAUGUUGGAACAAUGCUUCACAUUUUGGGACAAACUCCACAAUUUAUUUACUCUAUGCAUGAUUCUCCUUGACGCCAUUAUACAGAGUCUGCUAAUAUUUAUAAAUGUAUAAUUUACUGUGAUGGUCUUAGCAUUUAAAUGAUGCAACUGACAAGAUAUUAUUAAAAUCAUAUAUGAUACUGAUCGUUACAAUGUAGUGUUGAAAUAGCUAGAUUAAAAUAACAAAAUUUAUAAAUAGCUAGAAUCACAAAUAGAUUACGAAACCUUUUCUCAUAACAAUAUAACGCACAUUUGUACAUAAGUUAUUGCGGUAUUAUAUGUUCCCGUUGCAACGCACGGGCACUCACCUAGUGAAAUUAUUAAAUUGGUUUAAUUCAAAGUAACCUAUGCACUUAUACUAUGUAAACUAGUUCAAUUCUGCACUUACAUAUUUGCUUUGGUUUGUGUUGGCAUCAAUCACCAAAAAAGGGGAGAUUGAAAGGGAAAUAGGGUUAACAUUUUCCCAAGUAUUAAUUUUGGUGGUUGAAUGCCCAACACAAAUAUUGGACUAACUAGUUUGCUCUAGAUUAUAUGUUCUACAAGUGCAUAAAGGUUCAACACAAACCAAUAAAAGAUUGAAGAUAGGGUUCAAAUAAAAAGGAGCAAGAAACCGCGUGUGCCCUAGUUUGGCACACCGGACUGUUCGGUGUGCCACCGGACAGUGUCCGGUGCACCAGGACCGUGCAGAGUCCAAACAGCCACUAUCGGGUUUCAACCAGCGCGCUCCGCUAUAAUUCACCAGACUGUCCGGUGUGCCACCGGACUGUCCGGUGCACCAGCGGAGCAACGGCUACUUCGCGCAACGGUCGCCUGCAAAAGCUGAAGAACAGAGGAACAGUGCACGAUAGAGCAGAGCGCAGAGUUAGAGGCGCACCGGACACUGCACAGUGCCUGUUCGGUACGGCACCGGACUGUCCGGAGCCACUAGAGGACAAAGCCUCCAACGGUCAGAUGCUCCCAGACCCUAACGGUUGGGUGACGUGGCUAGCGCACCGGACAGUGUCUGGUGGCGCACCGGACUGUCAGGUGCGCCCAUCGACAACAGCCUGCCCCAACAGUCCUUUGGUGGUUGAGGGCUAUAAAUACCCCCCAACCACCACCACUCCAAGCAUCCAAGUUUUCAGCACUUCACAUUCAAUACAAGAGCUAGUGCAUUCACUCCUGGACACAAAUCAAAAGAAUCAAAGCCUCUCCAAGUGCCAAAAUUCAUUCCACUCACCUAGUGACUUGAGAGAGAGUUUGUUCGUGUUCUUUGUGCUCUUGUUGCUUUGAUCGCUUUCUUCCUUUCUCAUUCUUGUUCUCAAGUGACUUGUAAUCAAAGCAAGAGACACCAAGUGUGUGGUGGUCCUUGCAGGGUCUAAGUGACCCGUUUGAUUAAGGAGAAAGCUCACUCGGUCUAAGUGACCGUUUGAGAGAGGGAAAGGGUUGAAAGAGACCCGGUCUUUGUGACCACCUCAACGGGGACUAGGUUCUUUAGAACCAAACCUCGGUAAAACAAAUCAUCGUGUUCAUUCGCUUUAUUUCUUGGUUGAUUUGUUUUCCCCCUCUCAUUCGGACUCGAAUUCAUUUCUAACGCUAACCCCGUCUUGUAGUGUGUGCUUAAGUUUAUUAUUUUCAGAUUCCGCCUAUUCACCCCCUUCUAGGCAACUUUCAAGAAGUUUCUAUGCAUUUUUGUUCAUAUUCCAUGUCUGAAGACUGAGAUAACUUUAUCUCGAAGGUGAUCUGUAGUGAACUCUUCUCGGGACAGUUACAGAAGUAAUGACCUUCACGUCGACAUUGAUAGCAAGCUUUUCUUGAAGUUAUUUCUUGACUUUUUCCAUGUUUCUCUUUUCGUUUCUUGGUCCUGAUACGACCACGAGGCUGAAACUGUGUGCAAGUAAUAGUCCAUCCAUCAAUGUAACACUCAUGUGUUUCUUCUUGGGGCUGGGCAUCCUUGUGAUGUUUCCUUUUUGGAAUACUUUGCAAUUCAUCAACUGACAGUGCAUUAGGUAUGAGAGAAUCUACUAUUAGUUGUUCAGGGGGAGACAUCUGUCUUUUUAUGCAAGAAAAUAAAAUCUGGUUCUUCUGUUUUGUAGUUUCACUUUCAUUUGCAUUGAUUUGGCGACAAGGAAUUCCAUAGUACUCACAACAACAACAUGUUCCAAGGUCACUUGUCUGUUGGUUUAGUUGUGCAUCCUUUUGUGUCUUGAAUGUCUGUUCAUCGGCUGUUUUAUUUAUAGUGUUGUUUUUACUUGCCAACACACCACAUUCUUUGCACUUAGUGACAUCACUUGUAGUUGACAUUCCAAGGUCUGACAUCUGUAUGGGUAUGGAAGAAUGGAAGGGACAAAAGGGUUGAGCAAAGACAGAUUAUAGAGAGCAUAGAAAACCCAUCUUUCUAAGGUUUUACCUAGAUAACUGAUGCCAUUGUGGACAAAAGUCACACAAUACACCAACAAUCAUUUCUGAAAGGGAAUUAGGCUUACACCUUUUUCCUAAUUGAUUUUGGUGGUUGAAUUGCCCAACACAAAUAAUUGGACUAACUAGUUUGCUCUAGUCUAUAAGUUUUACAGGUGCCAAAGGUUCACAAUAAGCCAAUAAAAAGACCAAGAAAGGGUUCAAACAAAGAGAGCAAAAGACAUCCCUGAAGGCACCAUGGUCUGGCGCACUGGACUGUCCGGUGUGCCACCGGACAGUGUCCGGUGCACCAGGGAACUCAACGAUGAACUCGCUACCUUCGGGAAAAUCAGAGGGCGCUCCGCUAUAAUUCACUGGACUGUCCGGUGUGCCAGCGGAGCAAUGGCUACUUCGCGUGCAACGGUCGACUGCAACGCAUUUAAUGCGCGCCUGCGCGCGCAGAGGAUAGAGCACGCGCAGUUGGCGCACCGGACAGUCUACAGGACCUGUCCGGUGCACCACCGGACAGCCCAGAGGCCCCACCUAUCAGAGCUCCAAUGGUCAAACCCCAACGGCCUGCUGACGUGGCUGGCGCACCGGACAGUGUCCGAUGGCGCACCAGACUGUCUGGUGCGCCAUGCGACAACAGCCUUCCAACGACCAUAUUUUGGUGGUUGGGGCUAUAAAUACCCCCAACAACCCACAUUCAAUGGCAUCCAAGUUUUCCACCUUCAACACAUUACAAGAGCUAUAGCAUUCAAUUCUAGACACAACCAAAGAGAUCAAAUCCUCUCCCAAGUCCGGAAUCACUCCAAAUCAAAUAGUAAUUAGAGAGAGCGACAUUUGUGUUCAUUUGAGCUCUUGCGCUUGGAUUGCUUCUUUUCUUUGUCAUUCUUCUUGUGAUCAAACUCAAUUGUAACCAAGGCAAGAGACACCAAUUGUGUGGUGGUCCUUGCGGGAACUUUGUGUUCCAUUUGAUUGAGAAGAGAAGCUCACUCGGUCUAAGUGACCGUUUGAGAGAGGGAAAGGGUUGAAAGAGACCCGGUCUUCGUGACCACCUCAACGGGGAGUAGGUUUGAAAGAACCGAACCUCGAUAAAACAAAUCAUCAUGUCUCACUCUUUAUUUGCCCGCGAUUUGUUUUUCACUCUCUCUCUCAAACUCGUUUACAUUUCUAACGCUAACCCGACUUGUAGUUGUGCUUAAGUUUAUAAAUUUCAGAUUCGCCCUAUUCACCCCCCUCUAGGCGACUUUCAAUUUCAAAGAAGCAAAUCAAACAUGAACACAAAGGACAAUGAAUUCAAGCAUACUAGCACAACACAAUCUAAUUCUACUCAUUCAACCAAAACAAAAGGUGAGACAAGGUUUGGAAUAAGAAAGAUAUCAUAACAUCAAGGAGUUGGGUAAGAAUUAUCAAGGAGUUAGACAAGACAUAUUUGUCGGUGGCCAAGAGUGAAAUAAGAUAACCAUGAACUAUUAAAGUGAGGAUAAAUGAUAUAACCAAGGAUAUGAAGUGAGUUAGGGAGAAAGCGUUAUCAAGGACAAAAGUAGAGAGGCAAAUGUUUAAUAUAUCAAGGUAGAUAUUGCGCAAGGGUGGCAAUACAAUGGCAAGAAAACAAAAGUAUAAGAAGUCAAGGGUUAUAUAGCAAUAUUAGGGAUUAGAAAACCACUUAUAAUAUAAUAUCGCCAUUAUCGAUCUAGUCGAAAAUCUUAAUACUAACCAAGAAGUCAAAUAAUCCUAUCAACCUAACCAAGAAGUCAAAUAAUAGAUCUAGGGGAUCCGUAACAAAACUUCUUGCGGAGUGGGGAUAAGACAGAGAAUAGGGCAUCGUCAAUAGCUUCGAAAGGGUUUCUUCUGGCAAACUUCGCUUCAAGUUCCACAAUCCUAACUUGAUCAUCUUGUAGUGCUUCUAUGUAGAGCCUUCUGAUAGACCAAGAAUCAAACUAGAAGAGUUGAAGAUAAAUGGGACGAGUUUUGAUAUAAAGUAAGUUUUUAUGGAGGAAAAAUAACUCAAGUUUUGAAAGACUGACUAGGUUUUCCAUUUCUAACUAAUCUAGCGACCUACGGUCACAUUGCUUUGAUACCACUUCUCUCACACCCGUUUCUGGUGGGCAGAGCCAGGUGCAUAGCAUAUGUGUGCUAGGAUCUAUUCCACGCAUAUGUUGACGUCACAAGUGUAAUAUAUCAAAAGAACAAUGCAUAAAAGCGUAAAUAACGAUUAUAUCAACAUAUUACACUUCGAACAGACAUAAUGUCUUAACCUUUAUUUAUCAAAGUACAACGAAACAAGGACAUCCAUCCACAGGAAGAUGACCGAGGGUAUCACUAGAUUAGCAUCCAUGGAGCUCAACAUCAUAACUUCAUCUGCAAACUUCUGAUCAAAAUUUAAGCAAGGAUGAGCUCACUUAUGGUCGGGGCUUAGCAAGUCGGGGGGAUAUUAAUGCAAGUUUAACAAGGUGAGGCUAAGGUUGAGCAGUAAGCAUUUUAGUUGGUCAACAUUUUAUUAACAACACUUGUCUUACUAAUAAGUGUGAAUCCCAAGUAUUCCCAUUAAACAAAGGUAUAAGAGUAUAUCAAAAACACUUAAGUGAAAACCACUUAAGCAAACCAUUGGCAGAUCAUCGGAUCUCAAUUUAUUUCCAUCUUUAAGUUUAAUUAUCAUGUGAGGAGUCAAGGCUGCUCAUAACUGUGAGCAUGGCUGAUAUAUCAGUUUUACACUCUGCAGAGGUGGUGAAAGGGAAAUAGGGUCAAACCUUUUCCUAAAUGAUUUUGGUGGUUGAAUUGCCCAACACAAAUAAUUGGACUAACUAGUUUGCUCUAGAUUAUAAGUUCUACAGGUGCCAAAGGUUCAACACAAACCAAUAAAAAGUCCAAGAAAGGGUUCAAAUAAAAAGAGCAAAAGACAACCGAAAGCUGCCCUGGUCUAGCGCACCGGACAGUGUCCGGUGCACCACCGGAUAGUGCCCGGUGCACCAGGGUGGAUCAACUCCAACUUGCUACCUUCGGGUUUUCGGGGAGCCUCUCCGCUAUAAUUCACCGGACUGUCCGGUGUAGCACCGGACUGUCUAGUUGUCGGGGACCAUAAUUAGGGGUACCCCCAAGACUCCUAAACUCGGCUGGUAACCACCAUCUGCACAAAGCUACAAAGGCCUGAUGGGCACAAUUCAGGUCAAGGCUCCGUCCACUCAAGGGACAUGAUCUCGCCUCGCCCGAGCCUAGCCUCGGGCAGGAACAGUAGACCAAGGCAGAUGCACGCCUCGCCCAAGGGCAUCCUCAAGUAACGGGCGCACCUUCGACUCGCCCGAGGCCCAGCUCGGGCAGGCUUCGCAGUGAAGCAACCUUGGCCAGAUCGCCGCGCCAACCGACCGCAUCGCAGGAGCAUUCAAUGCAAGGAUCGCCUGACACCUUAUCCUGACGCGUGCUCCUCAGUCGGCAAGGCCGAAGUGACCGCAGUCACUUCGCCCCUCCACUGACUGACCUGACAGGAAAACAGCGCCGCCUGCACUGCUCCGACUGUUGUGCCACCCGCCAGGGUGAGGCUGAUAGCAGCCAAGUCCAGCCUCGGGCGCCAUAGGAAGCUCCGUCUCGCUCGACCCCAGGGCUCAGACUCAACCUCGACCUCGGACGACGGUCUUUGCCUUGCCCGGCUCGGACUCAACCUCGACCUCGGACGAUGGUCUCCGCCUCGCCCGACCCUAGGGCUCGGACUCAACCUCGACCUCGGACGACGGUCUCCGCCUCGCUCGACCUCAGGGCUCGGACUCAACCUCGACCUCGGACGACGAUCUCCGCCUCGCCCGACCCUAGGGCUCAGACUCAACCUCGACCUCGGACGACGGUCUCCGCCUCGCCCGACCCCAGGGCUCGGACUUAGCCUCGACCUCAGAGGAGCCUCCGCCUCGCCCGACCUUGGGCUCGGACUGACCACGUCGCAGGGGGGUACAUCAUUACCCUACCCCUAGCUAGCUCAUGCUACGGGGAACAAGACCGGCGUCCCAUCUGGCUCGCCCCGAUAAAACAAGUAAUGAUGACACACCGCGUGCUCCAUGACGACGGCGGUUCUUAGCCCCCUACGGAAGCAAGGAGACGUCAGCAAGGUCCCGACAGCCCCGACAGCUGUGCUUCUACAGGGUUUAAGCGCUCAUCCGACGGCCACGACAUCACAUGAACAGGGCACCAACACCUCUCCGACAGCCACGUCGACAUGUACAUAGGACUCUAGCUCCUCUCUGCCGGACACGUUAGCACACUGCUACACCCCCAUUGUACACCUGGGCCCUCUCCUUAUGUCUAUAAAAGGAAGGUCCAGGGCCCUCGUAUGAGAAGGUGGCCGCGCGGGAGGACGGGCUGACGAGCAGGCUCUCUCUCCCUCGCGAACGCUUGUAACCCCCUACUGCAAGCGCAUCCGCCCUGGGCGCAGGACAACACGAGCCGCAGUUCCCCUUAUUGUUUCCCCCUUGUGUUCCGUCUCGCGCCGACCCAUCUGGGCUGGGACAUGCAACGACAAUUUACUCGUCGGUCCAGGGACCCCCCGGGGUCGAAACGCCGACAGUUGGCGCACCAGGUAGGGGCCUGCUGCGUGUUGACGAACAGCUUCCCGUCAAGCUCUAGAUGGGUAGUCUCCAGCAACCUCUCCAACCCGAGACGUUGCUUCGUUUCCGGAGUCUCGAGUUCAUGUCCCUCGACGGCAGCUACGACAAGGUACUCCUUCCUCUGCCGCGCGACAACGACAAUGGCGACCGUUAGCCCGCCCACCGGCGGCGGAAUCGACGAUGUCUUCCCCGCGUGGCGGAAGAGCAACAUCUGGGUCUGUCCCGUCACCUUCCCCGCCGACGGAGGAGGAGGCAGGGCAACCAUGGCCAAGCAGGAGGCAGCACCUCGUCGGCUGUCGAGCGAGUCGACGAUGCCGAUGCCCCAGCGGGGGACACGUCGGGCGUCGACCUCGCGUCUGAGACGAAGACGGGCGUCGUUUCCCCGCAACACGCCAACCCCAAGCGGACAGAUGACGCCAACACACUCGCGAAGGACCUACUGGGCGUUAGGCUCGUACCUGAGAUAACGGUGCAGUCCGUCCCCGACAUGACUCCGUCACCAUCCGUCGAUCAAGAGGUACCAUCUGUUUUCCACCCUGUGCCUUUUAGAUUCAGCUUCGACCCACCAAGCGACCCCGCUUCGGUGGACACUUUCAUAAAGGCAUAUCCGAACCUUCCGGGGUACCAUAUGUGGUCAACCUAGGACCGAUUGACGGCCGUCUCGACCUACGAGCCCCCGGGUUCCGAGGAAGAUGACGAGCCCAACUAUGGUUGGGAUUUCUCCGGGCUCGGGAACCCUAGUGCCAUGCGGGACUUCAUGACCGCAUGUGACUACUGCCUCUCUGAUUGCUCCAAUGGUAGCCACAACCUCGGCGACGAGGACUGUGGCCCAAGUCGCGAAUGUUUCCACAUUGAUCUAGGGGGUCUCGACGAAGGCAACCACCUUGGUAUGCCGGAGGACGGCGAUCCCCCUAGGCCUGCGCCUCGCGUCGACAUCCUUCGGGAGCUAGCUGUGGUCCCAGUCCCUGUGGGGGGUCAGGACGCACAUCUCGAGCAAAUCCGCGAGAUGCAGGCCAGGCUCGAUGAGGAAGCAGGACAACUUGUGCAGCUCCGGCAGAACAUCGGGCAGGAGUGGGCAGGCCGAGCACCAGCCGGAGAAGCGUGUCAUCUGCCCCAGGACGUCCAACACCGCAUCGCUGACGAUGCCAGGGCAAGGCUGCCCCCGGCUUCCAGUGGGGUCGGCCAGAACCUGGCUGUAGCAGCAAUACUACUCCGAGCGAUGCCGGAACCAUCCACCACAGAGGGGCGGCAUAUCCAUGGAGAACUCAAGAAUCUCCUGGAGGAUGUCGCGGUCCGACGGGCCGAAAGCUCUGCCUCCCGAAGGCACGGGUACCCCUCGAAGCAUCGCGCCGCGACUUCCCGAUUCAUGCGAGAAGCCUCGGUCCACACCGGGCGCACGCGGGACACAGCGCCUGCGGCCCCGGGUCGCCUCGGCAACGAGCACCAUCGCCGCGACCGUCGAGCCCACCUCGAUGAGAAGGUGCGCCGAGGCUACCACCCCAGGCGUGGGGGACGCUACGACAGCGGGGAGGAUCGGAGCCCCUCGCCUGAACCACCCGGUCCGCAAGCUUUCAGCCGGGCCAUACGAUAGGUGCCGUUCCCGACCCGGUUCCGAACCCCGACUACCAUCACCAAGUUGUGGCGGAACCGCCCAAAUUAUUCCAGAAGUGCCCAAGUCGCACCCUUAGAGGCGGCAACACACUUAAAUCGGAAUAACUCGUCAGUCCCUCGGAUCUAGUCCGAUAAAGCCACUUAUCCAGGAUCGAAUACCACUAGCUCACUCGAAGGAGAGGCACAGAGAAAUACAAUAAAACAUAAUACCACCAAUUUAAUAAGUAUCAUUAGUGAUUACAUUAUCGGAGUUUCAUAAAUAAUAACCAUAAAUUUUAAUGCAGCGGAAAUAACUAAUGGAGAAAACCGAGUAACAUGGCGAAGCCUGGCCACGCUACUCCUCCUGGUCCUCUCCUGCGGAAGCAGUAACCCACUCGACCGUCUAUCUCGGUGGCAGGGAUGAAGGCCAAGUCACACCAUCAACCAAUCAAGGAGGUACCUGCAAAAAUUAUGCCACAAGCAAGGCUGAGUAUACUAAUACUCAGCUAGACUUACCCGGUGUGAGGAGUCUACUCCUCUACCUCUAGACAUGCAGCUGUUUGGCUGAGGGGUUUGGUUUGCCAAAAGCACUAGCUGAGUCUAAAAUCAAGUUUUAGCUUUCAAGUUUUAGUAGAAUCCUUUAGACUAGAUAAGAACCUAUCUAUUCAUACAUGGUAUCAAACAUUAUAUCAAUCAAUAUCUUUUGCCAGUAACCUCAUUUCCACUUAUUACUCAAUGCAGUACAAUGGAUCAAGCAGUCUCAUUAGCUGCGAGAAGCAGACGAUUCGAAUCGAGUUUUUAACCUUGCAAGGUAAACCUAAACACACGACAUGUCAGGGCACUCCGUCCCCACACAUGUCAACCGUCCCCAUCGAUUCCCCGUUCGCGUCCAGGCCUCACCGCCUUGGCAUACAAUGCUCCACUGACCCCGACCACCGCCGUGCAGUGGCCGCACUUGUACCCACCAUAUCUAGAAUGGGAGACCCAGUCUCAGGUCGCGUGAGGGAUAAAGUCCGCGCCCGGCUUCACUCAGGUACUAGGUUUACCGGUUACCAUUUUUCCCGACAUGUGCUUAGUACAUUCAAACGCUUGACACAGGUAUCCGCACGUUAAUCCUUAUUCCAAUUUUGUCUCAUAGACAACGCAUCCCCAUGGAUCCGUGUCCACAGACCAUCAUCCUUCUGUUAUCAAAAUGGAUACAACCAAUUCCUGACCUCGCGCGAGUGCUAGAAAAAUCACUCGACUUCUACCGAGAUCCUGAUUUAGCAUAGCAGCUACUCGACCUAGCAUACUAGUAUCCAUCUCAAAAGGAAUCCUGAGUUCAUGCAACUAGGGUUUCAGGCAACUCCUACACUUAAGUGCACGGUACAAGCCUACAAACAUUAAGUGUAGUAAAAUAGCAUAUAUAACGGUUAUGCAUAAAACCGGGGCUUGCCUUUAAUUUAACACUUAGAUAGUGUUUGCUGGGGGUACUCGCUUGGCGAGCAUCCACUGGUUAAGUCCAUCCUUCCUUGGGUCGUCCGCCGUCUGCAUCUUGUGGUUGACACCACAUCACUUGCACGAUCAUCCUCUCGGUCCUAAAUGAGAUGCAAGAUGCAUGUGUAUGAAUAUGAUGAAAAAUACCACAAGAUAUACAAAGACAUAGUAGCGAACUGACAUUAAUUUAGAAGACACCGUAAACCACCACACGUUAGCAUUAGUUAUCUACACGUCAUCGGGCAUACGUAGUCAAUCAUCACUGGAAAACAACAAACACUUCCUAUAAUUAUCUAUUGCAAACACGACAUCAUAAGUACAAGCAUUCGCCACAUUCACUUUUAUCAUUCAUUAGUUACUUAUUAUUAAACUAGUUAAGUACGCAUAAAUUUACAAUGACUUACACAUAGACAGACUUAGUUAAAAGGAAUAGUUGCUUAAUCGGGUUUUACAAUCAUUCACAACCUUCUAUUGCAAGCAUACACCCCAGAGAACACACAUGAGGAGAUAGUUUAUUCAUAAUUACAAAUUGUACUACUUUAAUGAUGUUGGUUACUUAGUAGUAUUAGCAGAAAGCCAAAGACAUGACAUUAUUUAUUUUGUUUCCCUAAUAUAUAACUGCACUUGCUAACUGUUGAUUAAACUAAGCUACUUAUUAGACCUUAACCAAUUAAGUUCACUAACUUAGUGAGAUGUGUACUAUUUACUUAUAUAUAACCCCAAAUUAUAUUAGUCACUUUCAUUAUUACUCAUGUUCAACUAAAACCAAAACAAGCAAGCAAUCACUCAAGUCAAACACAAUAGAAUAGAGCAAUCAAUCACUUCUAACACAUUUAGGACAGCAGCACAGCAGUUGCUUGUUUCAGUCAUAACUCUUCAAAUAUUUAUCCAAAAAUAGUGAACAAAUACUUUUUGGAAAGUCUAAGAAGUUCUCUACAACUUUGGUAUUAUCGUCUCAACAUGAUUAGACUUUUAGCAAAGUCGAACUGUGCAAAAAUAACAGGUCUGUCCAGGUUGGACAGAUUCAGACUUGCGACUUCAAAAAUUCAUAACUACAGGUUCAGACAUCCAAACAAAUUGAUCCUAGACUUUCUGGAAAGGUAAUAAAAUUGUCUACAUAUCAUUUAUAAACAUCUCAAGGUGAUUCAAUAUUUAAGUAAGGAUAAAAGACACUAGAAGAGCUUGCUGUCCAGAAUUGGACAGAUUCAGUCUUCAGACUUUAAACAUUCAUAACUAAAUCUUCAGACCACCAAAAAGAGUGAUCCAAGACUUUUUAGAAAGCUCAGCAAAAGAACUACAUAACUUUUAUAAUCACCAAGAAGUGAUUCAAUGUUUAACUAAAUCAAACAACACAGUUUUCGAAAUCUGUUCUGAUGGUGGACAGAAUAUAACAACCAGUUUGUAAAAUUCAUAACUCCUAAUCUGCCAGGCCUAUGGUUAUGAAAUUUUAACACAAGCAAGAUAAAAAAAGCAUAUACAACUUUCUUAUAACGACCACGAACAGAUUGUAACAUUAAUUUAAGCAAACAAUUCAAUCUCUGAAAUCUGUAUAGAAAUUGGACAGAUUCAGUUACUGAAUUUGUAAAAAACAUAGCUCCUAAACGAUCAGACUUAUGGCUGUCAAAUUUUAACAUAAGUAAGAUAAUAAAGUUAUCUACCACUUUAUUAUAUGGCUUUUCUACAGAAAACAUAAUUUAGUUCAUCAAACAAACAGCACGACGAAAACAGUACGUGCAGCCCAAAACAGCAACCAAUAAAAUUCAGCUCCUAUUCACUUCAAAAAUUGCCGCGUUCUAGAGUCUUGAACCAUUUUAACACUUUACCAUUUGUUGGAGUUGAAACAAUCAAAUUAGUACCAACAAGUAGACUUACUAACUUUUUAUCCAAGUUAUUUCGUGCGCUAGAAUUACCACACAAUUAACAAACACAUUCACCAAAAUAAAACACUUCGGCACACAUGUCCGACAUCACACAAAAUCAUGAUGAAGCACUAUUAAUAUUUAUCUUUUAGAACACCAUAACAUAACCAUUAAAUCUCUAAUUAGUUUUAAGGUAUAACUCAAGCAUUCCAUGAACAUGCAUGAUUUUAUUUACUCCUAAUUUUUCACUAAGUCUUGCAAUUAUAAAAUAGGUGUUAUUUUAGCAUCAUAUGAAACUAUCUAAUUUAGGGCUGACAUUUUUAUGAGGCAUAGGUAAUGACCAAUUAUGAACAAUGUACAAAUUUCACAUGCUCAGAUUUUAUAUUGCAUUUACUACAAAAAUAACAAAUUGUUAAUGCAAUAAAGCAUGUGAGAGCAAGUUAAAUCUAAAACUAAUUAUUUUCUGUGGAUGUAUGACCAUAUUAAGUUUUCUUAGGCUACUAUAGUAUCAUGCAAGGACAGUGGAACACCAUUUUACAUUUUUGCAUCUAUACAUUAUUUUUAAAUCAUUUAAAACUACUUAAGGUGCAUUAAACAAGUUAAAUCACUAACUUAAUCAUACAUGCACAACAAUUCAUAAAAUUUUUACUAGUCACCAAACAUCACACCAAGAGUCUACUGUAAAAAGUUCAACCUAUUUGGAGCACCAGAGCUACAGAUCCAAAAAUAACAAUCAACACAAUCAUCUUUUUCCUAUUUAACAUGUUUUAAUUAACACACCAAGAAAACAGUGAACAACCUGUAAGUUUUAUAUUUUUCCUAGAUGGAGUAUGACAACAUCUAACUAACAAAACAGGUUUCAUCAUUUUUGGAUUUUUAUAAAUAAAAUUAUGGAGAGAAGCAAGUUCGUUUAUUCUCUAAACCAGUUUUUAAAUACGAAUUUCUACAGAAAACUUUUCCACUAAAACAUGCUAACCUAUAGAUCUAAUAUACAGAGAAUUUCAUAAGGAAGACAACAAAAUAGGUUUCGUGAUUUUUGGAGCUACCAAACUAAAGAUAUGAAUUUUAGAAGAUAAUACGAAAUCUGGAAUUUGAAGCAACAUUACCCUUGGCCUUGGGCCCACACGUCAUAGAGGGGGGGUCAUCUUCUUCCUUGACGUUACUGCAGCAUGCUGAAAGAGGACGGCUGAGCAGCCAUGGGAGAGGAGCUCGGCUCGACGCGGAAGGGAGCAGAGAGGGGCGUCGGUCUGCCCUUCUCAAGGAAGAAGAAGGGCGCCGCUGGGACUUCCCUGGCUGGUAUGCUGCUGCGUCCAAGGAGCUGAGCAGAGGGGCAGCUCGCCGCGGCCAUGGCGAGCGGUAGUGAGCUGGAGCUCGGCUGCCAGAGAACUGCAGGGUAGCCACGCCAUGGAAGAUGGAGAAGGGGCGCCAGCUGCUGUGAGGGAGAGGGAGAAUGGCGUGGGGGAGAAGAAGAGGGCAGGGGGGCUGCCAUUUAUAGAGCCAAGCUCUGGACAUGGCAGACUGCACCAGCAGGUGGCAGGUGUGACAGUGCCAGCAUUGGGCGGCAGUUUUCGUCCUUUUUCUGUUUGGAAUCGGAUCAAGGUUACUGCACAAAAUAUCUUCCUUGAUGUACACUCUACAAAUCUUGUACAGCACUUGAGGUGAUUCGAGCACUGGUUAGAGAGUUAUAGACCCACGAAAAUUGGGUUGUCAGUGGGUCAGAAAUCAGUGAAAACUUAUGAAAACUGAAUGUCAAAGCAUGUCAAAUGAAAUCGGAUGAAUGCCAUCUUUUAAUAUGUUGUGGCCCUAUUAGUUAUUAACAACUUUUAUAUUUGGGAAAACUUGAGUUGUUUAGCAAGAAUUUGGGAACGCGAGACGUCGACCCGAACGAUGCUGAUUUCAGACUUAGAAGAAUUCGAAUUUUGAAAUCAGAUUUUUAUUCUGUCUUGAAGGCACUGUUUGAGAUACUUAGAGAUUGAAUCAAGACUUGGUUUAAAUAUAAUAUUUGUUGUAUAACACCUGUUCUCCAACUUUUAUUAAAGGUCAAACCCUAUAUCUUGGCUGGAAAUUGAUAUUCCACUUUGGUCAAUGUAUUAUCAUUAUAAAGGUCAAAUUAUAUUUUUAAGGCAAUCGGAGUAUUUUCUCGACAUUUUCUUGGCAUGGAGCCUCAAUAACUUUUGUUGUAGAGUUGAUUUAGAGUGUUUUGGGAAAGUUGCCAUAACUUGGUUGAAUUUCUAAAUUUGCAUUUGUUCAGACGAGCAGUUUCGGGCAUGUAUAGGUUUUAUCUUUUCAUGUGAGUAUUUGCUUUAAACUUCUAGAAUUCUUUAGAAUACACUUGAUAGCUAGAGAGGGAUGAUAGCAUAGAGAUAACAAGUCGAUUUGCAUAAGAAAUAUUUAGAGGUUGACACUACAGAGAUUCCGCUGGAGAAUGCGGAUUCGGACUACGUAUUUGGACGUAGACCGACUAUCGAGAAAGCGGAUUCGGACACCGAUUGAAUAACAUAACAACUAUCCAGAGUCCGAAUAAAUGAGUCUGGACAGAAGUUACGGGACGAUAUUGACUUUUGAAUUUGCAUUUGCUCCGAGAAAUAAAAGUUUUAAUAGGCUCCAAAUUUGGCUGUUCUUGAGAUCGAAUAAUUCCAAAUUUGGUGAAACAUUUCAUGAGUAACUUGAUGAAUGGAUAUAAAUGUGACAAAGAGAUAGAAAUUUUCACUGAGCAUCCGAGAUUAGGAUAAAUCUACCGACAUAACGCGAAAUAGACACCUGGGGUGUCACAGCCUUCCCCCCUUAAAAGAAUCUCGUCCCGAGAUUCGAAUGAGGAUCUUUAAGGGUGGAGAAGCAUGUAACUCCAGGCUGAGGAUAGAUGCAAAUUCAUGAUAUGGUAUCUGACGAGAUACAAAAGAUAGAUUUGGACCGAAUACCGUGACAUAUUGCGACAAAAUGCCACGACCACUUUGAGAGAAUGUUCACAAAACACAGCACAUCGGUGUAGUUCCAUAAUGGAUCACAACUAUUAACCGUGAUACCUGCGCGUGCCGAGCAGCUCAACCAUGUGUGCACCAUAGUAGGCUCUCGGUUUCGUCGCGGCACCAUCAGUUGUUGGUCAUAAUACCAUUAUCAAACGCAACCAAUGAGAAAUCCACAUAGCACAGAUAGAUGGAGCCCAUGAGAGUAUGGCUCAGAAAAUAAGAAUGUGAUCGAAGUUGAAAUAGAGAUUAUUGGCAAAAGGACAUCACAUUAGAAUUUUCUUUAACUCAGAGAACUAUUUUAUGAUCAACAUGGAGACUACCAGGCAAGAGACUAGUACGAGAUGGGAUACGAGAAGGAAGCACUCAAGAGAUCAUGAUUACUGAGCUUCUUAGAGACACGAGGGAACCAAGACAACAGCAACAUCCAUUGAACCUAAUGGACACACUGUCUAGAGAGAAAAAAUUGAUAAAACAGCGUCAUGAUCCUCAGAGAAGAGUAUGAGAACGAUCGUAUUGAGAUAUUAGACUGAUCCACAUUUGAUACAUGAGAACAGGUUAUAGCAGAUAACCAGAGAACGGGUCAGAGUCAUUAAGGGAUCCAGAGAUUCGAAUGAUAAAGUCGCAACAUGAUUCACAAGGAAAAGAUUACUAGAUCCAGGUGAAAAGAGAGGUCAUCAACGCAGAUGGCUUCUAGGUUGAGCAUAGGAGAAUUUAAUGAGAAUUUUGGACAAGGCUUCCAAGAAGAAUUUGGGACUGGAUAUUGUUUUGCGCAACAGACACCAACCAAAGUUUUAUUAUUUUUUUAACAUAAACAAGUUCACAAGGAAGCUUUAGGUUGAACUAGCGGUCCAGCUAUGGGGUUCUAUAAGCUGUGCAGGUGUAAAUUCAAGGGUAAACACAUGAGGGCUAGAAAACACCAACACCAUCAUGAUUUUUUUAAAGAGGUUUCACUUGCUAAACUCAAGGUUGUUUGGAUUGGGGUCUUUUUAUGAAUAGAACAGACAACAUUUUUUUGUAAAAAGGGUUGAACAAUUACAAUACCACCGAGAUAGCAAGACAAGAUAAACACAUAGCACGACCUAACAAGACUUACCAAUCUGACACGAGGUAAGGCAUUUCUAACAUAGCAGUACAUCACAUUAUUCACAAGUUCUUAUUAUUGGAAUAAGGGUGAGGGAAGCAUGUUGGUGCACAAGAGACAAUGAAAAUGCGACAAUCAUGAUGCAUGCUCAUUCUAGUCGUCUUCUCAGACCUAACUAAUUUUUUGGGUGCUUCUACAGCAUCCCUAUUAAUAGUAUUAGUAGCCUUUAUGGCCUACAUAAAUAGCCACCUAGCUACCCAUCUAUUUCCUAAGGCUUCACGUCCUAGGUCUAUCCUUAUCGUCCUGAUAUCUAUCCAACUUUGGUUUCUAAGCAAGUUUUACUUUAGAAAGGGUUGGUAAUCAUGACAUAUUGACUUCUCUGUACUGGUAUUCGCUCCGAUACCAGCUGUGGCGGAACCGCCCAAAUUAUUCCAGAAGUGCCCAAGUCGCACCCUUAGAGGCGGCAACACACUUAAAUCGGAAUAACUCGUCAGUCCCUCGGAUCUAGUCCGAUAAAGCCACUUAUCCAGGAUCGAAUACCACUAGCUCACUCGAAGGAGAGGCACAGAGAAAUACAAUAAAACAUAAUACCACCAAUUUAAUAAGUAUCAUUAGUGAUUACAUUAUCGGAGUUUCAUAAAUAAUAACCAUAAAUUUUAAUGCAGCGGAAAUAACUAACGGAGAAAACCGAGUAACAUGGCGAAGCCUGGCCACGCUACUCCUCCUGGUCCUCUCCUGCGGAAGCAGUAACCCACUCGACCGUCUAUCCCGGUGGCAGGGAUGAAGGCCAAGUCACACCAUCAACCAAUCAAGGAGGUACCUGCAAAAAUUAUGCCACAAGCAAGGCUGAGUAUACUAAUACUCAGCUAGACUUACCCUGUGUGAGGAGUCUACUCCUCUACCUCUAGACAUGCAGCUGUUUGGCUGAGGGGUUUGGUUUGCCAAAAGCACUAGCUGAGUCUAAAAUCAAGUUUUAGCUUUCAAGUUUUAGUAGAAUCCUUUAGACUAGAUAAGAACCUAUCUAUUCAUACAUGGUAUCAAACAUUAUAUCAAUCAAUAUCUUUUGCCAGUAACCUCAUUUCCACUUAUUACUCAAUGCAGUACAAUGGAUCAAGCAGUCUCAUUAGCUGCGAGAAGCAGACGAUUCGAAUCGAGUUUUUAACCUUGCAAGGUAAACCUAAACACACGACAUGUCAGGGCACUCCGUCCCCACACAUGUCAACCGUCCCCAUCGAUUCCCCGUUCGCGUCCAGGCCUCACCGCCUUGGCAUACAAUGCUCCACUGACCCCGACCGCCGCCGUGCAGUGGCCGCACUUGUACCCACCAUAUCUAGAAUGGGAGACCCAGUCUCAGGUCGCGUGAGGGAUAAAGUCCGCGCCCGGCUUCACUCAGGUACUAGGUUUACCGGUUACCAUUUUUCCCGACAUGUGCUUAGUACAUUCAAACGCUUGACACAGGUAUCCGCACGUUAAUCCUUAUUCCAAUUUUGUCUCAUAGACAACGCAUCCCCAUGGAUCCGUGUCCACAGACCAUCAUCCUUCUGUUAUCAAAAUGGAUACAACCAAUUCCUGACCUCGCGCGAGUGCUAGAAAAAUCACUCGACUUCUACCGAGAUCCUGAUUUAGCAUAGCAGCUACUCGACCUAGCAUACUAGUAUCCAUCUCAAAAGGAAUCCUGAGUUCAUGCAACUAGGGUUUCAGGCAACUCCUACACUUAAGUGCACGGUACAAGCCUACAAACAUUAAGUGUAGUAAAAUAGCAUAUAUAACGGUUAUGCAUAAAACCGGGGCUUGCCUUUAAUUUAACACUUAGAUAGUGUUUGCUGGGGGUACUCGCUUGGCGAGCAUCCACUGGUUAAGUCCAUCCUUCCUUGGGUCGUCCACCGUCUGCAUCUUGUGGUUGGCACCACAUCACUUGCACGAUCAUCCUCUCUCGGUCCUAAAUGAGAUGCAAGAUGCAUGUGUAUGAAUAUGAUGAAAAAUACCACAAGAUAUACAAAGACAUAGUAGCGAACUGACAUUAAUUUAGAAGACACCGUAAACCACCACACGUUAGCAUUAGUUAUCUACACGUCAUCGGGCAUACGUAGUCAAUCAUCACUGGAAAACAACAAACACUUCCUAUAAUUAUCUAUUGCAAACACGACAUCAUAAGUACAAGCAUUCGCCACAUUCACUUUUAUCAUUCAUUAGUUACUUAUUAUUAAACUAGUUAAGUACGCAUAAAUUUACAAUGACUUACACAUAGACAGACUUAGUUAAAAGGAAUAGUUGCUUAAUCGGGUUUUACAAUCAUUCACAACCUUCUAUUGCAAGCAUACACCCCAGAGAACACACAUGAGGAGAUAGUUUAUUCACAAUUACAAAUUGUACUAUUUAAUGAUGUUGGUUACUUAGUAGUAUUAGCAGAAAGCCAAAGACAUGACAUUAUUCAUUUUGUUUCCCUAAUAUAUAACUGCACUUGCUAACUGUUGAUUAAACUAAGCUACUUAUUAGACCUUAACCAAUUAAGUUCACUAACUUAGUGAGAUGUGUACUAUUUACUUAUAUAUAACCCCAAAUUAUAUUAGUCACUUUCAUUAUUACUCAUGUUCAACUAAAACCAAAACAAGCAAGCAAUCACUCAAGUCAAACACAAUAGAAUAGAGCAAUCAAUCACUUCUAACACAUUUAGGAUAGCAGCACAGCAGUUGCUUGUUUCAGUCAUAACUCUUCAAAUAUUUAUCCAAAAAUAGUGAACAAAUACUUUUUGGAAAGUCUAAGAAGUUCUCUACAACUUUGGUAUUAUCGUCUCAACAUGAUUAGACUUUUAGAAAAGUCGAACUGUGCAAAAAUAACAGGUCUGUCCAGGUUGGACAGAUUCAGACUUGCGACUUUAAAAUUUCAUAACUACAGGUUCAGACAUCCAAACAAAUUGAUCCUAGACUUUCUGGAAAGGUAAUAAAAUUGUCUACAUAUCAUUUAUAAACAUCUCAAGGUGAUUCAAUAUUUAACUAAGGAUAAAAGACACUAGAAGAGCUUGCUGUCCAGAAUUGGACAGAUUCAGUCUUCAGACUUUAAACAUUCAUAACUAAAUCUUCAGACCACCAAAAAGAGUGAUCCAAGACUUUUUAGAAAGCUCAGCAAAAGAACUACAUAACUUUUAUAAUCACCAAGAAGUGAUUCAAUGUUUAACUAAAUCAAACAACACAGUUUUCAAAAUCUGUUCUGAUGGUGGACAGAAUAUAACAACCAGUUUGUAAAAUUCAUAACUCCUAAUCUGCCAGGCCUAUGGUUAUGAAAUUUUAACACAAGCAAGAUAAAAAAAGCAUAUACAACUUUCUUAUAACGACCACGAACAGAUUGUAACAUUAAUUUAAGCAAACAAUUCAAUCUCUGAAAUCUGUACAGAAAUUGGACAGAUUCAGUUACUGAAUUUGUAAAAAACAUAGCUCCUAAACGAUCAGACUUAUGGCUGUCAAAUUUUAACAUAAGUAAGAUAAUAAAGUUAUCUACCACUUUAUUAUAUGGCUUUUCUACAGAAAACAUAAUUUAGUUCAUCAAACAAACAGCACGACGAAAACAGUACGUGCAGCCCAAAACAGCAACCAAUAAAAUUCAGCUCCUAUUCACUUCAAAAAUUGCCGCGUUCUAGAGUCUUGAACCAUUUUAACACUUUACCAUUUGUUGGAGUUGAAACAAUCAAAUUAGGACCAACAAGUAGACUUACUAACUUUUUAUCCAAGUUAUUUCGUGCGCUAGAAUUACCACACAAUUAACAAACACAUUCACCAAAAUAAAACACUUCGGCACACAUGUCCGACAUCACACAAAAUCAUGAUGAAGCACUAUUAAUAUUUAUCUUUUAGAACACCAUAACAUAACCAUUAAAUCUCUAAUUAGUUUUAAGGUAUAACUCAAGCAUUCCAUGAACAUGCAUGAUUUUAUUUACUCCUAAUUUUUCACUAAGUCUUGCAAUUAUAAAAUAGGUGUUAUUUUAGCAUCAUAUGAAACUAUCUAAUUUAGGGCUGACAUUUUUAUGAGGCAUAGGUAAUGACCAAUUAUGAACAAUGUACAAAUUUCACAUGCUCAGAUUUUAUAUUGCAUUUACUACAAAAAUAACAAAUUGUUAAUGCAAUAAAGCAUGUGAGAGCAAGUUAAAUCUAAAACUAAUUAUUUUCUGUGGAUGUAUGACCAUAUUAAGUUUUCUUAGGCUACUAUAGUAUCAUGCAAGGACAGUGGAACACCAUUUUACAUUUUUGCAUCUAUACAUUAUUUUUAAAUCAUUUAAAACUACUUAAGGUGCAUUAAACAAGUUAAAUCACUAACUUAAUCAUACAUGCACAACAAUUCAUAAAAUUUUUACUAGUCACCAAACAUCACACCAAGAGUCUACUGUAAAAAGUUCAACCUAUUUGGAGCACCAGAGCUACAGAUCCAAAAAUAACAAUCAACACAAUCAUCUUUUUCCUAUUUAACAUGUUUUAAUUAACACACCAAGAAAACAGUAAACAACCUGUAAGUUUUAUAUUUUUCCUAGAUGGAGUAUGACAACAUCUAACUAACAAAACAGGUUUCAUCAUUUUUGGAUUUUUAUAAAUAAAAUUAUGGAGAGAAGCAAGUUCGUUUAUUCUCUAAACCAGUUUUUAAAUACGAAUUUCUACAGAAAACUUUUCCACUAAAACAUGCUAACCUAUAGAUCUAAUAUACAUAGAAUUUCAUAAGGAAGACAACAAAAUAGGUUUCGUGAUUUUUGGAGCUACCAAACUAAAGAUAUGAAUUUUAGAAGAUAAUACGAAAUCUGGAAUUUGAAGCAACAUUACCCUUGGCCUUGGGCCCACACGUCAUAGAGAGGGGGGUCAUCUUCUUCCUUGACGUUACUGCAGCAUGCUGAAAGAGGACGGCUGAGCAGCCAUGGGAGAGGAGCUCGGCUCGACGCGGAAGGGAGCAGAGAGGGGCGUCGGUCUGCCCUUCUCGAGGAAGAAGAAGGGCGCCGCUGGGACUUCCCUGGCUGGUAUGCUGCUGCGUCCAAGGAGCUGAGCAGAGGGGCAGCUCGCCGCGGCCAUGGCGAGCGGUAGUGAGCUGGAGCUCGGCUGCCAGAGAACUGCAGGGUAGCCACGCCAUGGAAGAUGGAGAAGGGGCGCCAGCUGCUGUGAGGGAGAGGGAGAAUGGCGUGGGGGAGAAGAAGAGGGCAGGGGGGGCUGCCAUUUAUAGAGCCAAGCUCUGGACAUGGCAGACUGCACCAGCAGGUGGCAGGUGUGACAGUGCCAGCAUUGGGCGGCAGUUUUCGUCCUUUUCUGUUUGGAAUUGGAUCAAGGUUACUGCACAAAAUAUCUUCCUUGAUGUACACUCUACAAAUCUUGUACAGCACUUGAGGUGAUUCGAGCACUGGUUAGAGAGUUAUAGACCCACGAAAAUUGGUUUGUCAGUGGGUCAGAAAUCAGUGAAAACUUAUGAAAACUGAAUGUCAAAGCAUGUCAAAUGAAAUCGGAUGAAUGCCAUCUUUUAAUAUGUUGUGGCCCUAUUAGUUAUUAACAACUUUUAUAUUUGGGAAAACUUGAGUUGUUUAGCAAGAAUUUGGGAACGCGAGACGUCGACCCGAACGAUGCUGAUUUCAGACUUAGAAGAAUUCGAAUUUUGAAAUCAGAUUUUUAUUCUGUCUUGAAGGCACUGUUUGAGAUACUUAGAGAUUGAAUCAAGACUUGGUUUAAAUAUAAUAUUUGUUGUAUAACACCUGUUCUCCAACUUUUAUUAAAGGUCAAACCCUAUAUCUUGGCUGGAAAUUGAUAUUCCACUUUGGUCAAUGUAUUAUCAUUAUAAAGGUCAAAUUAUAUUUUUAAGGCAAUCGGAGUAUUUUCUCGACAUUUUCUUGGCAUGGAGCCUCAAUAACUUUUGUUGUAGAGUUGAUUUAGAGUGUUUUGGGAAAGUUGCCAUAACUUGGUUGAAUUUCUAAAUUUGCAUUUGUUCAGACGAGCAGUUUCGGGCAUGUAUAGGUUUUAUCUUUUCAUGUGAGUAUUUGCUUUAAACUUCUAGAAUUCUUUAGAAUACACUUGAUAGCUAGAGAGGGAUGAUAGCAUAGAGAUAACAAGUCGAUUUGCAUAAGAAAUAUUUAGAGGUUGACACUACAGAGAUUCCGCUGGAGAAUGCGGAUUCGGACUACGUAUUUGGACGUAGACCGACUAUCGAGAAAGCGGAUUCGGACACCGAUUGAAUAACAUAACAACUAUCCAGAGUCCGAAUAAAUGAGUCUGGACAGAAGUUACAGGACGAUAUUGACUUUUGAAUUUGCAUUUGCUCCGAGAAAUAAAAGUUUUAAUAGGCUCCAAAUUUGGUUGUUCUUGAGAUCGAAUAAUUCCAAAUUUGGUGAAACAUUUCAUGAGUAACUUGAUGAAUGGAUAUAAAUGUGACAAAGAGAUAGAAAUUUUCACUGAGCAUCCGAGAUUAGGAUAAAUCUACCGACAUAACGCGAAAUAGACACCUGGGGUGUCACACAAGUACUCGGGGGAAACAAGGCCGGAACUGUGGCUCGCGGACUACCGGCUGGCCUACCAGCUGGGUGGAACGGACGAUGACAACCUCAUCAUCCGCAACCUCCCCCUGUUCCGCUCCGCCGCCGCCCGAGCCUAGCUGGAGCAUCUGCCUCCCGCACAGAUCUCCAACUGGGACGACCUGGUCAAAGCCUUCGCCGGAAACUUCCAGGGCACAUACGUGCGCCCUGGGAACUUCUGGGAUCUCCGAAGCUGCCGCCAGCAGCCGGGAGAAUCCCUGCGGGACUACAUCCGGCGAUUUUCGAAGCAGCGCACCGAGCUGCCUAACAUCACCGACUCAGAUGUCAUUGGCGUGUUCCUCGCCGGCACCACUUGCCGCGACCUAGUGAGCAAGCUGGGUCGCAAGACUCCCACCAGGGCGAGCGAGCUGAUGGACAUCGCCACCAAGUUCGCCUCUGGCCAGGAGGCAGUCGAGACCAUCUUCCGGAAGGACAAGCAGCCUCAGGGAUGCCAGCAGGAAGAUGUCCUCGAGGCGUCCGCUCAGCGCAGCACAAAGAAGAAGGGCAAGAAGAAGUUGCAAACAAAACGCGACGCCGCCGACGCAGAUCUUGUCGCCGCUGCCGAACACAGGAACCCCCGAAAGCCUCCCGGUCCCGGAGGGGCCAACCUGUUCGACAAGAUGCUCAAGGAGUCGUGCCCCUAUCAUCAGGGUCCCGUCAAGCACACCCUUGAGGAGUGUGUCAUGCUUCGGCGCUACUUCCACAAGGCCGGGCCACCGGCGGAAGGUGGCAAAGCCCAUGACAAUGACAAGAAGGAAGGCCACAAGGCAGAGGAGUUCCCCGAGGUCUAUGACUGUUCAUGAUCUACGGUGGGCAGGUGGCGAACGCCUCGGCUCAGCACCGCAAACAGGAGCGCCGGGAGGUCUGCUCGGUGAAGGUGGCGGCGCUAGUCUACCUAGACUGGUCCGACAAGCCCAUCACCUUCGAUCAAGGCGACCACCCCGACCGCGUGCCGAGCCCGGAGAAGUACCCGCUCGUUGUCGAUCCUGUCAUCGGCAACAUCAGGCUUACCAAGGUCCUCAUGGACGGAGGCAGCAGCCUCAACAUCAUCUACGUCGAGACCCUCGCGCUCUUGUAGAUCGAUUUGUCCACGAUCCGGGCCGGUGUGACGCCCUUUCACGGGAUCAUCCCCGGGAAGCGCGUCCAACCCCUUGGGCAACUCGAUCUGCCCAUCUGCUUCGGGACUCCCUCCAACUUCCGAAAGGAAACCCUCACGUUCGAGGUGGUCGGGUUCCGAGGAACCUACCACGCAGUGUUGGGGAGACCAUGCUACGCCAAGUUCAUGGCCGUCCCCAACUACACCUACCUCAAGCUCAAGAUGUUGGGCCCCAAUGGGGUCAUCACCGUCGGAUCCACAUACCGACACGCGUAUGAAUGCGACGUGGAGUGUGUGGAGUAUGCUGAGGCCCUCGCCGAGUUCGAGGCCCUCAUCGCCGACCUGGAGAGCCUCUCCAAGGAGGUGCCAGAUGUGAAACGCCACGCCAGCAACUUCGAGCCAGCAGAGGCGGUUAAGUCCGUCCCUCUCGACCCCAGCAACGACGCCUCCAUGCAAGUCCGGAUCGGCUCCGAGCUCGACCCCAAAUAGGAAGCAGUGCUCAUCGACUUUCUCCGCGCAAACGCCGAGGUUUUUGCAUGGAGUCCCUCGGACAUGCCUGGCAUACCGAGGGAUGUCGCCGAGCACUCACUGGAUAUCUGAGCUGGAGCCCGACCCGUGAAGCAGCCUCUGCGUCGAUUCGAUGAAGAAAAGCGCAGAGCCAUAGGCGAGGAGAUCCACAAGCUGAUGGCUGCAGGGUUCAUCAAAGAGGUAUUCCAUCCCGAAUGGCUAGCCAACCCUGUGCUUGUGAAAAAGAAAGGUGGGAAAUGGCGGAUGUGUGUAGACUACACUGGUCUAAACAAAGCAUGUCCGAAGGUUCCCUACCCUCUGCCUCGCAUCGAUCAAAUUGUGGAUUCCACUGCUGGGUGCGAAACCCUGUCAUUCCUUGAUGCCUACUCAGGGUAUCACCAAAUCAGGAUGAAAGAGUCCGACCAGCUCACGACUUCUUUCAUCACACCCUUUGGCAUGUACUGCUAUAUUACUAUGCCAUUCGGUUUAAGGAAUGCAGGCGCGACAUACCAAAGGUGCAUGAACCACGUGUUCGGACAGCACAUUGGCCGAACGGUCGAGGCUUACGUCGAUGACAUCGUAGUCAAGACGAGGAAAGCCUCCGACCUCCUCUCUGACCUUGAAACGACAUUCAAGUGUCUCAAAGCUAAAGGAGUAAAACUCAAUCCCGAGAAGUGUGUCUUCGGAGUUCCCCGAGGCAUGCUCCUGGGGUUCAUCGUCUCCGAGCGGCGCAUCGAGGCCAACCCGGAGAAAAUCGCAGCCAUCACCAACAUGGGGCCUAUCAAGGACUUGAAAGGAGUACAGAGGGUCAUGGGAUGCCUUGCGGCUCUGAGCCGCUUCAUCUCGCGCCUCGGCGAAAGAGGCCUGCCCCUGUACCGCCUCUUAAGGAAGAUCGAGCGCUUCACUUGGACCCCCGAGGCCAAGGAAGCCCUCGGGAACUUAAAGGCGCUCCUUACAAGCGCGCCCAUCCUAGUGCCCCCGCUGCGGGAAAAGCUCUCUUGAUCUACGUAGCCGCAACCACUCAGGUGGUCAGCGUCGCGAUCGUAGUCGAGAGACGAGAAGAAGGGCAUGCAUUGCUCGUCCAGAGGCCGGUCUACUUCAUCAGUGAGGUACUGUCCGAGACCAAAAUCCGCUACCCUCAAAUUCAGAAGCUACUGUACGCGAUAAUUCUGACGUGACGAAAGUUGUGACACUACUUCGAGUCUCAUCCGGUGACUGUGGUGUCAUCCUUCCCCCUGGGGGAGAUCAUCCAGUGCUGAGAGGCCUCGGGUAGGAUUGCAAAGUGGGCGGUGGAGAUCAUGGGCGAGACAAUCUUGUUCGCCCCUCAGAAGGCCAUCAAGUCCCAAGUCUUGGCGGAUUUCGUGGCAGAAUGGGUCGACACCCAGCUUCCAGCAGCUCCGAUCCAACCGGAACUCCAGACCAUGUUUUUCGACGGGUCGCUGAUGAAAACAGGAGCAGGCGCGGGCCUGCUCUUCAUCUCACCCCUCGGGAAGCACCUUCGCUAUGUGCUGCGCCUCCAUUUCCCGGCGUCCAACAACGUGGCUGAGUACGAGGCCCGGGUUAACUGGUUGCUCAUCGCCAUCGAGCUAGGGGUUCGGCGCCUCGACGCUCGUGGCGACUCGCAGCUUGUCAUCGACCAAGUCAUGAAGAACUCCCACUGCCGCGACCCAAAGAUGGAAGCCUACUGCGACGAGGUUCGGCGCCUAGAAGACAAGUUCUACGGGCUCGAGCUCAACCACGUCGCCCGACGGUACAACGAGACUGCGGACGAGCUGGCUAAAAUAGCCUCGGGGCGGACAACGGUCCCCCCGGACGUCUUCUCCCGAGACCUACAUCAACCCUCCGUCAAGACCGACGACACGCCCGAGCCCGAGAAGGCCUCGACCCUGCCCGAGGCACCCUCGCCCGCCGAGGGUGAGGCACUGUGCGUCGAGGAAGAGCGAAAUGGGGUCCUGCCUAAUCGAAACUGGCAGACCCCGUACCUGCAAUAUCUCCACCGAGGAGAGCUACCCCUCGACAGAACCAAGGCUCGGCGAUUGGCGCGGCAUGCCAAGUCGUUCGUCUUGCUGGGUGAUGGAAAGGAGCUCUAUCACCGUAGCCCCUCAGGCAUCCUCCAGCGAUGCAUAUCCAUCGCCGAAGGUCAGGAGUUAUUGCAAGAAAUACACUCAGGGGCUUGCGGUCACCACGCAGUGCCACGAGCCCUUGUUGGAAACGCCUUCCGACAAGGUUUCUACUGGCCAACCGCGGUGGCCGACGCCACUAGGAUUGUACGCACCUGCCAAGUGUGUCAAUUCUACGCAAGGCAGACCCACCUGCCCGCUCAGGCUCUGCAAACAAUACCCAUCACCUGGCCGUUUGCUGUGUGGGGUCUGGACCUCGUCGGUCCCUUGCAGAAGGCACCCGGGGGCUUCACGCACCUACUGGUCGCUAUCGACAAAUUCUCCAAGUGGAUUGAGGUCCGACCCCUAAACAGCAUCAGGUCCGAACAGGUGGUGGCGUUCUUCACCAACAUCAUCCAUCGCUUUGGAGUCCCAAACUCCAUCAUCACCGACAACAGCACCCAGUUCACCGGCAGGAAGUUCCUGGACUUCUGCGAGGACCACCACAUCCGGGUGGACUGGGCCGCCGUAGCUCACCCCAUGACGAAUGGGCAGGUAGAGCGUGCCAAUGGCAUGAUUCUACAGGGACUCAAGCCGAGGAUCUACAAUGACCUCAACAAGUUCAGCAGGCGAUGGAUGAAGGAACUCCCCUCGGUGGUCUGGAGUCUGAGGACGACGCCAAGCCGAGCCACGGGCUUCACGCCGUUUUUUCUAGUCUAUGGGACCGAGGCUAUCUUGCCCACAGACUUAGAAUACGGCUCCCUGAGGACGAGGGCAUACGACGCCCAAAGCAACCAGACCAACUGAGAAGACUCACUGGACCAGCUGGAAGAGGCUCGGGACAUGGCCUUACUACACUCGGCGCAGUAUCAGUAGUCCCUGCGACGCUACCACGCCCGAGGGGUUCGGUCCUGAGACCUCCAGGUGGGCGACUUGGUGCUUCGGCUACGAUAGGACGCCCGAGGGCACCACAAGCUCACUCCUCCCUGGGAGGGGCCAUUCAUCAUCGCCAAGACUUUGAAGCCCGGAACAUACAAGCUAGCCAACAGUCAAGGCGAGGUCUACAACAACGCUUGGAACAUCCGACAGCUACGUCACUUCUACCCUUAAGAUGUUUUCAAGUCGUUCAUAUACCUCGCUUACAUACGCAAGUAAAGUCUAACCAUCAAGGAAGGGUCAGCCUUGCCUCGGCAAAGCCCGACCCUCCCUCGGGGGCUAGAAGGGGGGAACCCCCUCUGCGUCAAAAUUUUUCUCGGAAAAAGUCUUUCGGCCAGAACAUCUUUCGCGCUUUUCGACUACUUCAAUAGUGGGAUCCUGAAAACGACGGAGUACAUGUAAGCGGCAAGGCCGACCGAGCCGAGGGACUCCUAUGCCUCCGGGAUACGGAUACCUCACUCAUCACCUUCUGCGAUAAGUAACUCACGCUCAGAUAAGCGAUUCUGCUAACCGAACAAGUCUUAACGCUCGAAAACUUCUCUGUCGAAACGAUUUUCGUGCCUUCUCGACUAUAUUGAUAAUAGAAUCCCGCGGACGAGCAAGAGUACACGUAAGCAGCGAAGGUCGACCGAGCCGAGGGACUCCUACGCCUCCGGGAUAUGGAUACCUCACUCAUCACCUUCCGCGAUAAGUAACUCUCGCUCGGAUAAACGAUUCUGCUACCGACAAGCAAGUCCUGAUACUCGAAACAAGAGGAAAAGAAACACAGCUUUAUAACACGACAAUAACAUGUUUGGGCCUCGACGGCCGCAAAAAACAUACGCACACUACAGACAAACUGUUCCUGCAGGUUCAGACAUCAAUAGGGGGGAGCAGCAGCACCCUCGACAUCGUCUCCACCUUCGGCGGAAUCUGACCCGGCCUCGGACGGCAAUACGGGCGAAGGAUCUCCACCUCAAAGGAAGAUGUCAGCACCGCGCCUGGGCCAUCGCCGCCAGGGUCUCCUCCAGGAACUCGGCCCGAGCACACGGCUUGUCUGGCCGCUCCGUGGCCUUAGCCAGCUAUCCUCCGAGGACACCAGCCCAGCUCAUGGCCUCGGCAGCCCGACUCUGGGGUUGGUCCCGCCAGUGGACGACUCGGCCAGGCUCUGGCCACUGUUGCUACGCCUCCUCGGCCUGGGCCGACGAAGCCCCCUUUUCGAGCCAACUCCGCCUCUGUCCAUGCUGACACCGCUGCCUCUGGCUCCGGCUCAUCCCAGAGCGGCCGAGGGUUUCUUUAACUAGGCAAGAGAAGCCUUGAGUGGCAAGGCUGACCGAGCCGAGGGACUCCUACGCCUCCAGGAUACGGAUACGGAUACCUCACUCGUCACCUUCCACGCAGGGCAACUCACACUUGGUUAAGCGGUUCAGCUAGCCGACAGGCGAGACUUGGUGCUCGAAAUGAGGAAGAAACACGGCUUUACGCCCAAAUACAUAGAUGUUCAGGCCCCAACAGCCGCAAUGAACAUACAUCGGCACUCAAGAUGCCAUUACAAAUGGACCUCCGAUACUCCCGCGGGUAUGAACAACCUCCACAUCGGAGGGCCUGCGGGACGACAACUUCCAGGUGGCUCGCCGCCGCCCACUCCUGCAGCAGCGACAACGACCUCCGCUCCGGGCGGCCAAACAGCAGCAGCGAUGACCUCAGGGCAGACGCUGCUACGACAAGGCCCUCGCCCACGUCCCCACUCGAGGGGCGAGGACAAGCUAUCAAAGCCAAAGAGCCGGAGGCCCGGAGCGCAGAUGGCACCGACGAUCUCGUCGGCGACGAGGACUUCUCCAGCUGCCACCACCUCAGCACAGACGACGGCAGCCACCUGCCUACCGGCAGAUCCCCACUCAAGUCCUCCCAGACGGGCGAGCACCGACCUCCGCGCGGAGGCGUCGUGCCGGAGCACGGACAGGACAGCCCAAGAACACGAACGCCGCCCUAGCAGCGCGCGACGUCUUGGACGGUCCCCCGUUACGCGCGGCGCGAUAGCCGCCCGUACAGCGGCUAGAUAGCUGUUGGAACUUGCUCUCAGCUGCAAGGGGAUCCAACAAGGGUGAACAGUGAUGUUAACAGGGUGCUCGCGCUAGAUGGCGAUAGCUCCGUUAAUCUGGCCUCUCACGGGCACUGUGCAGGGGUAUUUAUAGGUACCUGAGCGCGCAGCGCCUUGAGCUAAGGACGCAUGUGCCCUCAGCUACCUAGGUUAUCCCCAGAAUAUUCCCAUAAAGCGGGGUUACAGACCGUAAUUACAGGGAUGCCUUUACAAAUUAGGCCCGUAACGCACGGCGGCCACGCGGGGCCCGUUACGAUGGGCCGGAUCGCACAUGGGCCUCUGAGCUGGGCGAGGCCGCAAUGUGGGAUGCCCUUCGUCGCCGGUCUUCGUCUGGUGCGGAACAAGCGAAGGGUGUCCCUGCCUGUUUUGUUUCUGUUAGCUCAGCUGCUGCAGCGAAGGCUUCGAGCGAAGGGUGGCGCCUUUGCCUUCGCCCCAACAUUUGCCCUCCGAGGGACCAGUUCGACAAAGUCACCUGGUGCCGAAGACGUCGCUAGAUGGCGGAGACGCUGCCCUCGCUCGAAGUGGUUCCGCGGGGGUUUUUGAUAUGACCGUUGAUUGACGGCGUACUGUUGGAUUGCGGGUUUCCCGAAGCGUCGCGCCCUGUUGGAUUGUGGGUUUCCCAAAGAGCCGCGCCCUGCCUAUAAAAGGGGGCGGGGGUCGGCGCUUUUUGAACUUCACUUUUCGUGCUCCGCGAAAACCCUAGCCGCCCUUUCCGCCGUCUUGCUGCUCGUCUGCCCGCCGUGCUCUUGUUCGCCGGAGAUCUGGCUCGAGUGAAGCAGACCGCCCGCCGCCGCCGACGGUACGUAGUGAUGCUGUCCUCGUCUUCUUCCGCUGCCGCUACGCCGCCGGCCGAUCCCUCGCCGCCGGCCGCCGCCUCGUCUGAGGAGACGCUGAGUAGUUUGAUGGCGGAGGAGUUGCGCGCCGGCGAUUCUGUUGAUUUUGGCGUAUCGCGGAUGUCGUCGGUCCGCGUGCAAGAUAUGCAGCGGUUGGGUUACUUCGGCGGCGGAGUCGCUCGAGUCCCGGGGACGGAGGAAGUCCCCGAGCCGGAGGGCGAGUUGGUUGUUUUCGAAGCGUUCUUCGCCGCCGGACUCCGCUUGCCUGCGCACCGAUUUGUUGGCGAAGUCCUGCGCAGGUUCAACGUUCAAAUACAUCAGCUGACACCGAAUGCGAUGGUGGCUCUGUCGAAGUAUGUCUGGGCGACGACUUCGUACGGCGGACAGCCAUCGGUCGAAGUUUUUGCGAAGUAUUAUUGUUUGCACUGGCAGAAGAGGAUGAUUGGAGACGAAGUUGCUCAGUUUGGGUCCUGCACAUUCACGCCGAAGACCGGCAAAACCACGAUGCAGGUAGUCGAGUUGGUUCCUUGCGCCCGCAACAAGUGGGGCAACUGGAAUGAAUUUUGGUUUUACGUUGCUGAGGGUACCGUCGAAGGCCAUGAGGGACUCCCCGUGUCCGAGAUGUGUUCUCAUUUUUACUCAGCGUACCCGCCCUUUGAAGUGGCGGAGGAGGAUGUGGACGAAGGGGCCCUUCGGUGCGCCGCCGGCCUGAGCAGUGGGCGCGACUUGGUUGAAGAAUUUGUGGCGUACGGGGUAUGGCCCUUGGCGCAUGGCUGGGCGUUGGGCGAAGUGUGCCCUCGCCAGAUGCCUUUCCAUGGCGAAAGGGUGGUGCGGAGUCCCGCCUUCGCGCUGAAUCUGCAAAACCGCGAUCCGGCCGCCUUUGUGCGUGAGGCGGAGGAUGGGGCGGUGCGGCUCGUUGGACGUUACGUGCCGAGGACAGAGGGCCAGCGCAGUUGGGAUAUCCGCGGGUCGAAUGACCGUUUGAACAGGGUUUUUGAAUUAAAUCAAUUGCCAUAUGACGGCUACCCUGGUCAAGACGAUGUGGACCGCCGUGGGAAGAAGCCGGCGAUGGAGACUAGAGACGACCCUGCGCCGGCGGCCGCCCCAUCCUCUAAAAAGAGAAAAUUAGGUACUGCUAUGGGAGGGCUUGGGGUUUCUGAUGGUUUUGCUAGAGAGUUGAUGAGGACGUGCGCGGCCCCGGGGGGAAGGAUGUCUUCGCCCGAGCUCCGGGAGUCUUCGGCUCGGAUGCUGAGGGUUACCGGGGGUUGUUGGCCUAGGAAUGUUCCUAUCCCCCGCGCGACUGGCGAGGACUUUUUUACAUCUCGCAUGGUUCGUGAAUGGAGGGUUUUUCCUUACGGGCGGAAUAUUGGUGCUGUUGUGUCAGCAGUGAUGGACAAGGAUCGCCAGGGAGCUGCACAAAAGCGUCAGGCGGCUGUCAGGCUCGUUGAAGCCAGGCCGAAGAGGCAGCGGGGGGCUGCGAAGGCUGCGGCCCCUAGCGGAAGCAGGCCGCCGCUGGCGGCGAAGUCGGGCAUCCCUGCAUCUAGCAAGGCGCCGGAGGCUCGAAAUCGGCGAAGGCGGUGCCGCCGUCCAGCGGAGUGGCGGAGGUCGCGAAGGCGGCCCGAGCGUUGCCGUUGUCGGGCAAACGUGUCGCCGACUUCGCCAUCGAUAUUAGUGUGGACGACUAUCUCGAUGGUAAGUCGUUGGCUCUAUUAUUAUUAUUUUUUUAAAAAUUUAUUCGUUGGUACGUCGCAGGGUCGGGCGAAGGCCAACUUGCUAUGGUUGCGCCUGCCGCGGCGACCACGAUGGCUGCCGCAGUGCCGAAGGCGAAGGGCGGGGCUCUUAGCGCCGGAGGCGAGGUGUCGGCCCUCGCGGUUGUCAGGGAUGAGGCGGGCGCUGCGUCCCGCCGGCUGAAGGAGGUGACGGAGGCGCUAAGUCAGGUCCGCUGAGCUGGAUUAGUGUGGACGACUUUUUUUUUAUCGGCUUGCUGGGGCCGCGGUCUUACGAUUGCUCUACAGGUGGCUGACUUCGCCAGCCGCACUGUGUCGGGGGCCCUCACGGCAGCUGCGGCUGCCGAAGUCGAGAGACUUCGAACACAACAUGCCGACGCCGUCCGUGAGAAAUCGGCCGCCGACAGCAAGUGUCGCAAGCUGGCGGACAAGGUGGCCACGCUGGAGGGAGAGAAGGCUGCCCUCUGGCGCCAGCUAGUGGGGAAAAGGAGGGAGACCAACGAGGCCCUUGUCAAGGCGCAGGCUGCGCAGGCGGAGGCUAACCUGGCACGGGCGGAGGGCACUCUUGCCAGGGAGCGCGCCGAGCAGUUGCAGGAGCGGCUCAUCGCCCUGGAGAGCCGCGUGGAGAGGGCCGAGGCCGCGUCACGCGCGGAGGCAGAGCGGACGUGCCAACUGCUUAUAGAUACAUACCGUGGGCUGGGCGCGGGGACCGGUGAUUUCGAAGUACCGGACCAAGAGCCCGGACUUCGCUGCCUAGAGUGGGUGCAGGAGGAGUUGCAGGCACUCCCCACUGUCGUGGAGGGGUUUAUGGCGUAUGCCUCCCUGGUCACCUGCGAGGGGGCGAUGAACGCGCUCUCCCACGAAGGGUGCCGGCACUUCGAGGUCUUUGACCAAGCCGAUGAAGAUUUUGAGCAAGAUAUCUUUAAGGUUGAGGACCCCGUAGUGAAGGAAUCCGCCGGAGCCAUCUACGACCGGAUGUGGGGUCCGCACGGUCGUGAGGUGGUCAGGGAGCGGGCCGAGACGGCGAGGGCUCAGGUAACGUUUUCGUUUGUUUGGUGUUUGUUGGAUGUAGGUUGUGUGUGUGUUUGCUGAAUUUUGUGUGUUUUGUCUUAGGCGGCGCGUGGCGAGAGGGUGGACGACUUCGGGUCGUUGAACAGCAUGCUGUCUGACCCGGAGCCGACCCCGGCGGAGGCCGUGUCUAUGGUCGCCCUGGAGCCGACCCCGGAGACUGCGGAAGAUGCGCCAGGGGCCCCCGCAUCCGCUGCGGCCGGCGAAGACCUGCCCCCAGAGGUCGCCGAAGGCGCGCCUGAUGCCCCCGCAGCUGCUGCGCCGAGUGCUGAAGAUCCCGCGGCGGUGGCGGCGGAAACAACAGCAGAAGCAACGGCGGAGCCAACGGCGGAGGCUCCCGCAACGUCAGGGCCUUCGUAGGUGGCGUAGUGGGUGUAGAGGGUUGGGGAAUUUUGGAUAUGUUGCUGAAUUUUGGUUGCUGCGCAGGUUCAAGAUUUUGGGCCUGCGCACGCAACCGCCACUACUAUAUUUUUGGCGGCUUCGACCGCGGAAGGUGAUAAUGAAUGUGGUGGAUCUGCAUCUGAGUUUUUUGGUUUUGCUGACUCUGGGAGCUCGGUUGAGUGGACUGAGGAGUCGUCGUCGGAGGACUUGGACUACUUUGCGGCUUUGGAUGUGGCUGCGGCGGAGGCUUCGCCGCACGCCGCGGACGCAGAAGAUGUGCCAGGUCCUAGCACCGGGCGCCGACGACGAAGGGCUGUUGCGAAGCGUAGAGUUAGUGGGGUGGAGGGGGCUUGGCUUCGUGUGAGUAGGGCUGGCCGGCAGGAACUGUUGUAUUUGCCGGCCGCCGCGAGUACAGGUGAAGGGGAACUGCGAAGUCUUUUUGCGGGUGAGGAGCUUAGGAUAAUGUUAUUUAAUUAUAGGGAGAUGGGAAUUAUUCCUAAGGUUGAGCCGAAGUAGAGUGUGGUGCCCUCGCUUGUAUAUGUGUGAAGGCUUGUGUGAUGAAGUUGUGUGCUCUCGCUUGUCUAUGCCUGCGAAGGCGUUGUGUACUUUGUCUGGUGUGUUUUGUUAUGCUGUGCUGGUGCAAUUAUAGUCGGUCUUGGCGUGGACGGUUUGAUGUUGUCGUUUCUGCAUUUGUUGUGCUAGUCCGGCUACACCCUUAGGCGACUUCUGCGCGGACAGUCUUCACGGUAGACUUUGGUUUUUUCGCACUUGUUGUGCUAGUCCGGCUGCACCCUUAGGCGACUUUUGCGCGGAUAGUCUUCACGAUAGACUUCGGUUUUUUCGCACUUGUUGUGCUAGUCCGGCUGCACCCUUAGGCGACUUCUGCGCGGAUAGUCUUCGCGAUAGACUUCGGUUUUUUCGCACUUGUUGUGCUAGUCCGGCUGCACCCUUAGGCGACUUCUGCGCGGAUAGUCUUCGCGAUAGACUUCGGUUUUUUCGCACUUGUUGUGCUAGUCCGGCUGCACCCUUAGGCGACUUCUGCGCGGAUAGUCUUCGCGAUAGACUUCGGUUUUUUUGCACUUGUUGUGCUAGUCCGACUGCACCCUUAGGCGACUUCUGCGUGGAUAGUCUUCGCGAUAGACUUCGGUUUUUUCGCACUUGUUGUGCUAGUCCAGCUGCACCCUUAGGCGACUUCUGCGUGGAUUUGUCGCACGCGAGGGUGGCUAGCGCUUAGCCUCGCGGUGACCUCGUAUUGGUCGAAUGUCGAAGACCGUCGUCGCGGUCUUUUUUCGACGCAUGUUUUUGCGGGGGAUUUUUCACACAUAUAUUACAUGGCUCCGCCUCGUUAAAAACCUCACCCCCCAGGAGGAAAAGAGUGCGGGCCGGUACAAGAUUGUUUUUGCGAAUUACAAGGGCGAAAUCAGCCCUGAGGAGUCAAACAAAAAAUUUGCGGAGGUUGUCGAUGUUCCAGGAGUGCUCCAGGUCCUCGCCGUUUGGCGUUGUGAGCCUGUAGGCGCUGGGGGAAGCUUUUGUCUUGACUAUAAAGGGGCCCUCCCACUUGGGCUCCAGCUUGCCCUUGGACUCCGUCCGAGCCGUUCGGACGAGUACGAGGUCCCCUUCGUUGAACUCCCUCGGGAUGACUGUGUGGUCGCGCCAUGCUUUGGUCUGGGCUUGGUAUUUGUUGAGGGCUUGUAGGGCGAAGACUCGGUCUCCGUCAAUGAGAUCCUUUGAAGUUGGCUCGUCCACGUCGGGGACAGCUGACGGAACUGUUCGCGGGGACCCAUGCUUUAUUUCUUGCGGGGUCAUGGCCUCCGAUCCAUAUAGAAGGCGGAAGGGAGUAAACCCAGUCGCCCUGCACUCAGUCGUGUUUAGUGCCCAGACUGCCUCAGGUAGCAGAUCGGUCCAUCUGCCCUUUUUUCGUCAAGGAGCAUCUUCUUGACAGCUGUGAAGAUUUUCCCAUUGGCGCGUUCCACGACCCCGUUGGACUGCGGAUGAUAGACUGAGGCGAAGGCAAGCUUGGUGCCAAUGGAGAAACAAAAAUCCUUGAAGUCUUGGCUGUCAAACUGCUUGCCGUUGUCAACUGUUAGUUCGGACGAUACUCCGAAGCGGCAAACAAUGUUUUGCCAGAAGAAUUUUUGGGCAGUUUUUGAUGUUAUUGUGGAAACAGCCCUCGCCUCGAUCCAUUUGGUGAAGUACUUGAGAGCACCUAGAGGGGGGGUGAAUAGGUGAUCCUGUAAAACUUCAAAACUUAAGCCACAAAAACUUGUUAAGGGUUAGCACAAGUAUGGCCAAGUGGCUAGAGAGGAGUCAAAACACAAUAACCACAAGAAAGCAAUCAUAGAGUUGACACGGUGGUUAUCCCGUGGUUCGGCCAAGUACAAAACUUGUCUACUCCACGUUGUGGCGUCCCAACGGACGAGAGUUGCACUCAACUCCUCUCAAGUGAUCCAAUGAUCAACUUGAAUACCACGGUGUUUUUCUUUCCUUUGAUCUUUUCCCGUUUGCGAGGAAUCUCCACAACUUGGAGUCUCUCGCCCUUACAAUUGAGUUCACAAAGAAAUACGGAGUAAGGUGGGAAUGAGCAACGCACACAAGACUCGAAAAUCAGAGCAACAACACGCACACAAGUCGCAACAAGAGCUCGCAACGCAACACAAAGAGUUCACAACUCCACAAGAGCUCUAUAUGCUAUCACAAUGAAACGAAUGCGUGAGAUUGAUGUCUUGGUGCUUAGAAGAGUUGUAGGAAUGCUUGGUGUUCUCCUCCAUGCGCCAAGGGGUCCCUUUUAUAGCCCCAAGGCAGCUAGGAGCCGUUGGGAACAAAUCUGGAAGGCCAUCUUUGCCUUCUGUCUCGUGGCGCACCGGACAGUCCGGUGCACACCGGACACUGUCCGGUGCCCGAUUUGUUUCCUUAAACAGCGCAUCCGACCGUUGCUGUCUGAGUCAGAUCUGCGCACCGUUGGCGCACCGGACAUGUCCGGUGCACACCGGACAGUCCGGUGCCCCUUCUCGACCGUUGGCUCGGCCACGUGUCGCGCGCCGAUCGCGUGGCCGACCGUUGGCCCGGCCGACCGUUGGCUCACCGGACAGUCCGGUGCACACCGGACAGUCCGGUGAAUUUUAGCCGAAGUCGCCGGAGAAAAACCCGAGAGCGGCUGGUUUGCUCCGCGCUGGUCUGGCGCACCGGACACUGUCCGGUGCACACCGGACAGUCCGGUGCCCCAGCCCGAAACAGCCUUUGGCAGUACACAGCCACUCUCCACUUCUUUUCUUUUCUUCUUUCUCCUGUUUCUAACACUUAGACAAGAUGUUAGUACACAAAACGAAUGUACUAAGGCUUAGAAACAUACCUUUACUUGUGAUUUGCACUUUGUUCAUCCAUGAGCAUAUUUUCACAUUUAAGCCCUUGUGUUUGCACUCAAUCACCAAAAUACUUAGAAAUGGCCCAAGGGCACAUUUCCCUUUCAAUCUCCCCCUUUUUGGUGAUUUAUGCCAACACAACAUAAAGCAACUAGAACAAGUGCAAAAUCACUUCAAAUGAAAACUCAAAUUGGUUUUGAUUCACUUUUGGCAUAUAUGGAUCAUCCUUUGCCACCACUUGGUUUGUUUUUGCAAAUCAAACUCAAAUCUCUAUCUCUAAGUAAAACACACAUGUUGAAGCGUAAAGAGAGUCAUUCCAAAGAAAUUUGAUCAUGGAUUUCAAAAACUCCCCCUAUUUCCCAUAGGCAACAUUUCUCCCCACAAGAAACCAACUUUUGACAAAAGAGACAAUACAAGAGUUUUGACAAACCAAAAGCUCUAUUAUACUUUUUAAAAUCUCUCAAGUGGUAGCUGAUCCAUUUAUUGCUUUGGCCUUUAUUUUCUCCCCCUUUGGCAUCAAGCACCAAAACGGGAUCAAUCUUGGCCUUUUUAACCCCAUUGCCUCACCAAAGUCUUCAAUUAAGAGCAAAUGGCAAUAAGAUUUCAUGAGAUGAACUUGGAAUUAGUUACCCUCUCAUCGGAGUGCAGUGGAAGUCUUUCAUGGUCCAAGUCCACCUUUUCCCUUUCAAUCCUCCUUCGAGACUAAAUCAUCAAACUCAAGCACAUGGUUAGUCUCAAAGGGUCAAGUUGUAACACAUCUCCCCCUAAACAUGUGCAUCACUUUGCAACGGACUUGUGAGGUCCAGGGAGUGUUUGUACAACUUGAGCACCAUAAUAAGCAACAAAAUGCAAAAAGGAACAUGAUCAAAAGCAUAAGUACAUGUAUGCUACAAUUCAAUCCAGGUUCCGCGAAUCUAUGACAUUUAGCUCACUACGCAACCUGCAAAAGGUCUUCUCAUCUAGAGGUUUAGUGAAGAUAUCGGCUAGCUGGUUCUCGGUGCUAACAUGAAACACUUCGAUAUCUCCCUUUUGCUGGUGGUCUCUCAAAAAGUGAUGUCGGAUGUCUAUGUGCUUUGUGCGGCUGUGUUCAACAGGAUUUUCCGCCAUGCGGAUAGCACUCUCAUUAUCACAUAGGAGUGGGACUUUGCUCAGAUUGUAGCCAAAGUCCCGGAGGGUUUGCCUCAUCCAAAGUAGUUGCGCGCAACACUGACCUGCGGCAACGUACUCGGCCUCAGCGGUGGAUAGGGCAACGGAUGUUUGUUUCUUAGAGUUCCAUGACACCAGGGACCUUCCUAAGAAUUGGCACGUCCCCGAUGUACUCUUCCUAUCGACCUUACAUCCAGAAUAGUCGGAGUCUGAGUAUCCAACUAAGUCAAAGGUAGACCCCUUUGGAUACCAGAGCCCGAAGCAAGGCGUAGCAACCAAAUAUCUAAGAAUUCGCUUCACCGCCACUAAGUGACACUCCUUAGGAUCGGAUUGAAAUCUAGCACACAUGCAUACGCUAAGCAUAAUAUCCGGUCUACUAGCACAUAAGUAAAGCAAAGAACCUAUCAUUGACCGGUAUGCUUUUUGAUCAACGGACUUACCUCCUUUGUUGAGGUCAGUGUGUCCGUCGGUCCCCAUCGGAGUCUUUGCGGGCUUGGCGUCCUUCAUCCCAAACCGCUUUAGCAGAUCUUGCGUGUACUUCGUUUGGGAGAUGAAGGUGCCGUCCUUGAGUUGCUUCACUUGGAACCCAAGGAAGUAGUUCAACUCGCCCAUCAUUGACAUCUCGAAUUUCUGCGUCAUCACCCUGCUAAACUCUUCACAAGACUUUUGGUUAGUAGAACCAAAUAUUAUGUCAUCGACAUAAAUUUGGCACACAAACAGAUCACCAUCACAUGUCUUUGUAAAAAGAGUUGGAUCGGCUUUCCCAACCUUGAAAGCAUUAGCAAUUAAAAAGUCUCUAAGGCAUUCAUACCAUGCUCUUGGGGCUUGCUUAAGUCCAUAGAGCGCCUUAGAGAGCUUACACACAUGGUCGGGGUACCGUUCAUCCUCGAAGCCAGGGGGUUGCUCCACGUACACCUCCUCCUUGAUUGGCCCGUUGAGGAAAGCGCUCUUCACAUCCAUUUGGUACAACCUGAAAGAAUGGUGAGCGGCAUAUGCUAGCAAGAUUCGAAUGGACUCUAGCCUAGCCACAGGAGCGAAAGUCUCCUCAAAGUCCAAACCUGCGACUUGGGCAUAACCUUUUGCCACAAGUCGAGCCUUGUUCCUCGUCACCACCCCGUGCUCGCCCUGUUUGUUGCGGAAUACCCACUUGGUUCCCACGACAUUUUGCUUCGGACGAGGCACCAGUGUCCAAACUUCAUUGCGCUUGAAGUUGUUGAGCUCCUCCUGCAUGGCCGAUACCCAAUUCGGAUCUAGCAAGGCCUCCUCUACCCUGAAAGGCUCAAUAGAAGAGACAAAGGAGUAAUGCUCACAAAAAUUGACUAAUCGAGAUCGAGUAGUUACUCCCUUGCUAAGGUCACCCAGAAUUUGAUCGACGGGAUGAUCCCUUUGAAUCAUCGCUCGAACUUGGGUUGGAGGUGCCGGUUGCGCUUCUUCCUCCAUCACUUGAUCAUCUUGUGCUCCCCCUUGAUCAAGCGCCUCCACUUGAGGUACCUGUUCGUCAUCUUCGGUUGGGGGAUGCACCAUAGUUGAGGAAGAAGGUUGAUCUCGUUCAUCUUGUUCCUGUGGCCGUACUUCUCCAAUCGCCAUGGUUCGUAUAGCGGCCGUCGGAACAUCUUCUUCAUCUACAUCAACAACUUGCUCUCUUGGAGAGCCAUUAGUCUCAUCAAAUACAACGUCGCUGGAGACUUCAACCAAACCCGAUGAUUUGUUGAAGACUCUAUACGCCUUUGUAUUUGAGUCAUAACCUAACAAAAACCCUUCUACAGCUUUGGGAGCAAACUUAGAAUUUCUACCUUUCUUCACUAGAAUGUAGCACUUGCUCCCAAAUACACGAAAGUAAGAUACAUUGGGUUUGUUACCGGUUAGUAGUUCAUACGACGUCUUCUUGAGGAGUCGGUGAAGGUAGACCCUGUUGAUGACGUGGCAAGCCGUGUUCACGGCUUCCGACCAAAACCGCUCGGGGGUCUUAAAUUCUCCAAGCAUCGUCCUCGCCAUGUCGAUUAGCGUCCUUUUCUUCCUCUCUACCACACCAUUUUGCUGUGGUGUGUAGGGAGCGGAGAACUCGUGCUUGAUCCCUUCCUCCUCAAGAAAUUCUUCCACUUGAAGGUUCUUGAACUCGGACCCGUUGUCACUCCUUAUCUUCUUCACCUUGAGCUCAAACUCAUUUUGAGCUCUCCUGAGGAAGCGCUUGAGGGUCCCUUGGGUUUCAGACUUAUCCUGCAAAAAGAACACCCAAGUGAAGCGGGAAAAGUCAUCAACAAUUACUAGACCAUACUUACUUCUUCCUAUACUCAGAUAGGCGACGGGUCCGAAGAGGUCCAUAUGCAGCAGCUCCAGGGGUCUUGAAGUGGUCAUCACAUUCUUGCUGUGAUGUGCUCCUCCCACUUGUUUGCCUGCCUGACAAGCUGCACAAGGUCUAUCUUUUUUGAAUUUUACAUUAGUCAAUCCUAUCACGUGUUCUCCCUUUAGAAGUUUGUGAAGGUUCUUCAUCCCCACAUGUGCCAAGCGGCGAUGCCACAGCCAGCCCAUGCAAGUCUUAGCUAUUAAGCAUGCAUCUAGACCGGCCUCUUCUUUUGCAAAAUCAACUAAGUAAAGCUUGCCGUCUAAUACACCCUUAAAAGCUAGUGAAUCAUCACUUCUUCUAAAGACAGACACAUCUACAUUAGUAAAUAGACAGUUAUACCCCAUGUUGCACAGUUGACUAACAGAUAGUAAAUUGUAACCAAGAGACUCUACUAAAAACACAUUGGAAAUAGAAUGCUCAUUGGAAAUUGCAAUUUUACCUAACCCUUUUACCUUGCCUUGAUUCCCAUCACCGAAUAUGAUUGAAUCUUGGGAAUCUUUAUUCUUGACGUAGGAGGUGAACAUUUUCUUCUCCCCCGUCAUAUGGUUUGUGCAUCCGCUGUCGAUAAUCCAGCUUGAACCCCCGGAUGCAUAAACCUGCAAGGCAAAUUUAGGCUUGGGUCUUAGGUACCCAACUCAUGUUGGGUCCUACAAGGUUAGCACAUAUAUCCUUAGGGACCCAAAUGCAAGUUUUAUCACCUUUGCAUUUUGCCCCUAACUUCCUAGCAAUUACUUUUCUAUCCUUUCUACAAAUUGCAAAGGGUGCAUUGCAAGCAUAAUAAAUGAUAGAAGGUUCAUUUGCUACUUUCCUAGGAGCAUGAAUAACAUUCUUUUUAGGAACAACAUUUUUCCUAGUAACAUUUCUAUUAUUCACAUAAGAAGAACUAGGAGCAAACAUGGCAUGAGAGUCAUAAACAUAUGAAUCAAAAGCAUCAUAACUCCUAUUUGCAUUUCUAGUAUGUCUUCUAUCAUGAUACAAAAAGGCAUGGUUCCUUUUAGCACUAGUAGCCAUAGGGGCCUUCCCUUUCUCCUUGGUGGGAAUGGGAGCCUUGUGGCUUGUUAAGUUCUUGGCUUCCCUCUUGAAGCCAAGUCCAUCCUUAAUUGAGGGGUGUCUACCAACCGUGUAGGCAUCCCUAGCAAAUUUUAGUUUUUCAAAAUCACUUUUGCUAGUCUUAAGUUGGGCAUUAAGACUAGCCACUUCAUUAUUUAACUUUGCAAUAGAGGCUAUGUGUUCACUACAAGCAUCAAUAUCAAAUUCUUUACAUCUAUUGCAAAUAGCAACAUUUUCUACACAAGUUGUUGAUUUACUAGCUAUUUCUAUCUUAACAUUCAACUCAUCGUUAAUGCUCUUUAAUUUAGAAAUUGUUUCAUGACAUGAAGAUAAUUCACAAGUAAGCAUCUCAUUUCUUUUAACUUCUAGAGCAUGAGAUUUUUGAGCUUCUACAAACUUAUCAUGUUCUUCAUACAACAAAUCCUCUUGCUUUUCUAAAAGUAUAUUCUUUUCAUUCAAGGCAUCAAUUAAUUCAUUAAUUUUGUCUAUCUUAGAUCUAUCUAAGCCCUUGAACAGACAUGAAUAAUCUACUUCAUCCUCUUCACUAGAUUCGUCCUCACUAGAAGAAGCAUAGGUAGAGUUGCGAGUACAUACCUUCUUCUCCUUUGCCAUAAGGCAUGUGUGACGCUCGUUGGGGAAGAGGGUUGAUUUGUUGAAGGCAGUGGCGGCGAGUCCUUCAUUGUCGGAGUCGGAAGAGGAGCAAUCCGAGUCCCACUCCUUGCCUAGAUGCGCCUCGCCCUUUGCCUUCUUGUAAUGCUUCUUCUUCUCCCUUUUGUUCCCCUUUUCCUGGUCACUUUCAUUAUCAGGACAGUUAGCAAUAAAAUGACCAAUCUUACCGCAUUUGAAGCAUGAUCGCUUCCCCUUGGUCUUAGUCUUGCUCGGCUGUCCAUUGCGACCCUUUAGCACCGUCUUGAAUCUCUUGAUGAUGAGGGCCAUUUCUUCAUCAUUAAGACCGGCUGCCUCAAUUUGCGCCACCUUGCUGGGUAGCGCCUCCUUGCUCCUUGUGGCUUUGAGAGCAAAAGGUUGCGGCUCGUUGAUUGGUCCAUUCAAGGCGUCGUCCACAUACCUUGCCUCCUUGAUCAUCAUUCGCCCGCUGACGAAUUUUCCUAAGACUUCUUCGGGCGACAUUUUGGUGUACCUGGGAUUCUCACGAAUAUUAUUCACCAAAUGAGGAUCAAGAACGGUAAAGGACCUGAGCAUUAGUCGGACGACGUCGUGGUCCGUCCAUCGCGUGCUUCCGUAGCUCCUUAUUUUGUUGAUAAGGGUCUUGAGCCGGUUGUAUGUCUGAGUUGGCUCCUCGCCCCUUAUCAUCGCGAAUCGUCCAAGCUCGCCUUCCACCAACUCCAUUUUGGUGAGCAAGGUAACGUCAUUCCCCUCAUGAGAAAUCUUGAGGGUGUCCCAGAUCUGCUUGGCGUUAUCCAAGCCGCUCACUUUGUUAUAUUCAUCCCUGCACAAUGAAGCUAGAAGAACAGUGGUAGCUUGUGCAUUCUUAUGGAUUUGCUCAUUAAUGAAUGAAGGGCUAUCUGAGCUAUCAAAUUUCAUUCCACUUUCCACAAUCUCCCAAAUGCUUGGAUGGAGAGAAAAUAGGUGAGUACGCAUUUUGUGACUCCAAAAUCCGUAGUCCUCUCCAUCAAAGUGAGGAGGCUUGCCAAGUGGAAUGGGGAGCAAAUGAGCAUUUGAGCUAUAUGGAAUGCGCGAAUAAUCAAAAGAAAAGUUUGAGUUAACCGUCUUUUGUUUGUCGUGGUCGUCGUCCUUUUGGGAAGAAGAGGACUCAUCGCUGUCGUAGUAGACGAUCUCCUUGAUGCGUCUUGUCUUCUUCUUCUUCCCAUCUUUUCGCUUGUGGCCCGAGCCUGAGUCAUUGGACUUGUCAUCCCUUGGCUCGUUGACGAAGGACUCCUUCUCCUUGUCGUUGAUCACAAUUCCCUUCCCCUUAGGAUCCAUCUCUUCGGGCGGUUAGUCCCUUUCUUGAAGAGAACGGCUCUGAUACCAAUUGAGAGCACCUAGAGGGGGGGGUGAAUAGGUGAUCCUGUAAAACUUCAAAACUUAAGCCACAAAAACUUGUUAAGGGUUAGCACAAGUAUGGCCAAGUGGCUAGAGAGGAGUCAAAACACAAUAACCACAAGAAAGCAAUCACAGAGUUGACACAGUGGUUAUCCCGUGGUUCGGCCAAGUACAAAACUUGCCUACUCCACGUUGUGGCGUCCCAACGGACGAGAGUUGCACUCAACUCCUCUCAAGUGAUCCAAUGAUCAACUUGAAUACCACGGUGUUUUUCUUUCCUUUGAUCUUUUCCCGUUUGCGAGGAAUCUCCACAACUUGGAGUCUCUCGCCCUUACAAUUGAGUUCACAAAGAAAUACAGAGUAAGGUGGGAAUGAGCAACGCACACAAGACUCGAAAAUCAGAGCAACAACACGCACACAAGUCGCAACAAGAGCUCGCAACGCAACACAAAGAGUUCACAACUCCACAAGAGCUCUAUAUGCUAUCACAAUGAAACGAAUGCGUGAGAUUGAUGUCUUGGUGCUUAGAAGAGUUGUAGGAAUGCUUGGUGUUCUCCUCCAUGCGCCAAGGGGUCCCUUUUAUAGCCCCAAGGCAGCUAGGAGCCGUUGGGAACAAAUCUGGAAGGCCAUCUUUGCCUUCUGUCUCGUGGCGCACCGGACAGUCCGGUGCACACCGGACACUGUCCGGUGCCCGAUUUGUUUCCUUAAACAGCGCAUCCGACCGUUGCUGUCUGAGUCAGAUCUGCGCACCGUUGGCGCACCGGACAUGUCCGGUGCACACCGGACAGUCCGGUGCCCCUUCUCGACCGUUGGCUCGGCCACGUGUCGCGCGCCGAUCGCGCGGCCGACCGUUGGCCCGGCCGACCGUUGGCUCACCGGACAGUCCGGUGCACACCGGACAGUCCGGUGAAUUUUAGCCGAAGUCGCCGGAGAAAAACCCGAGAGCGGCUGGUUUGCUCCGCGCUGGUCUGGCGCACCGGACACUGUCCGGUGCACACCAGACAGUCCGGUGCCCCAGCCCGAAACAGCCUUUGGCAGUACACAGCCACUCUCCACUUCUUUUCUUUUCUUCUUUCUCCUGUUUCUAACACUUAGACAAGAUGUUAGUACACAAAACGAAUGUACUAAGGCUUAGAAACAUACCUUUACUUGUGAUUUGCACUUUGUUCAUCCAUGAGCAUAUUUUCACAUUUAAGCCCUUGUGUUUGCACUCAAUCACCAAAAUACUUAGAAAUGGCCCAAGGGCACAUUUCCCUUUCAGUACUCGACAGCGAUGAAGGCGAACUUAAGGUUCCCCUGAGCGGUGGGCAGGGGCCCGACAAUGUCCAGGCCCCAGCGCUGGAGGGGCCAUGUAUGGGCGAUCAGUUUUGUAUACUGCGAGGGGCUGCCUGACCGAGGAGAAAACUUCUGGCAGGCUUCGCAGGACCGUGUGACCCGAUUUGCGGCGCAGAUCAUUGCGGGCCAGUAAAAGCCCUGGCGGAUCACCUUAGCAGCUAGGGCCCUUGGCCUUGCGUGUGAGCCGCACGUGCCACUGUGAACUUCUCGUAGGAUCUGCAUGCCUUCGGCUUCGGUGACGCACUUGAGCAUUGGCUGACUGACCCCUUUUUUGUAGAGUUGGCCUUCAAUCAGUGCGAAGUCUCGACUUCGAUGUCUGAGGCGCUUGGCCUCACUGAUGUCGGCUGGAUGAUAAUACCCCUGUAGGAACAGGGUUAUUGGUGCCCGCCAGUCUUCGAUCAUGAUAAGGGUGACUAUGCGGUGGCCCUCGCUGUCAUUGGUUAUUUGGAGCCCUUCGGGGCUCCGGACGGCUGGCGUGCCGAUGACAUGAAAGAAUACGUCGGAGGGCAGAGUUUUGCCCCUGGCGGCAGCCUUGGCCAAUGCGUCGGCCUCUUCAUUCUUGGCCCGAUCCACAUGCUGCAAGGUGAACCCUUUGAAUUGCCUCUCGAGACUUCGGAUGGCCGAGAGGUAUUGCAUGAGUGCGGGGUCCUUUGCUGCGUAGUCUUUCUCGACCUGGCCAGAAAUUAUCUUGGAGUCUGUUUUGAUGAUACAGGUGGUGACUCCGAGGGCCCUCAGCUUGCGGAGGCCGAGGAUGACUGCUUCAUAUUCUGCUAUAUUGUUUGUGCAUCUGUCGGAUUCCAGAGCGAAGCUGAGGCGCGCUGCAUAUCUGUGCUUGACCCCGGCUGAUGAGGUAAUGACUGCAGCGGCGCCUGCCCCCGCAUGGCACCAUGCACCGUCGCAAUGGAUCGUCCAAACCUUCUCUGUGGACGGGUCUGGUUGUGUUAUUGGCCCAGUCCAGUCGACGAUGAAGUCUGCCAAGACUUGUGACUUGAUGGCUGUCCUGGGCUCGAAGCUGAUGUGGUAGCCGGAGAGUUCGGCUGCCCACUUGGCAAUCCUCACCGAUGCCUCCGGGUUUCUGAAUAAUUCGCCGAGUCCCCUGUCAGAGGUGACUCGGACCUUGAAUGCUUCAAAGUAGUGGCGCAGUUUGCGCGAAGACAUAACGACUGCGUAGGCAAUCUUCUCCAGCUCUGUCAUGUUGCACUUGGACGGUGUCAGUACCUCGGAGACAUAGUACACGGGGCACUGCCGGACCGUGCCCUCGACAAUCUGCUCCUGCACUAGUGCCGCGCUGACCGCAUGUGGCAAAGCCGCGACGUAGAGCAGCAGGGGGAGCGAGGGGUCGGGGCUGGUAAGGACGGCCAACUCUGUCAGGUACUGUUUUAAUGAGGCGAAGGCCGCCGCCUGCUCUGGUCCCCAGGCGAAGUCUUUUGCACCACGGAGUGUCUUGAGGAAGGGGAGACUUCGCUCGGCGGACCUGGAGAUGAAUCUGUUGAGAGCGGCCAAUCUGCCUGUCAGGCGCUGGACGUCCCUGACGGACUGCGGAGGCGUCAUGUCUAUGAUGGCCUGAAUCUUGGUUGGGUUGGCCUCGAUGCCGCGGUGUGAUACCAGGUAGCCCAAUAUUUUGCCUUGGCGAACGCCGAAGACGCACUUUUCCGGGUUUAGGCGGAGUUGUGCGUCUCGCAUGUUCGCGAAUGUUUCGGCGAGGUCGGCGAGGUGGUCCUUCUUGCUCUUGCUGGCGACAACAAUGUCGUCCACAUAUGUGAAUAUGUUUCUGCCAACUUGCCCUUUGAGCACUGUUUUGGUAAGCCUGGAGAAGGUGGACCCGGCGUUCUUGAGUCCCUCCGGCAUUCUGAUGAAGCAAUAUGUGCUGAAGGGUGUUAUAAAGCUGGUGCUAGCCUUGUCUUCUUCCUUCAUGUAUAUCUGGUGGUAACCGGAGAAGCAGUCGAGGAGGGACAUGACUUCGCAUCCGGCCACGCUAUCGACUAUUUUGUCGAUCCGCGGCAACGGGAAAUUGUCCUUUGGGCAGGCUUUAUUGAGACUGGUGAAGUCGAUGCACAUUCGCCACUUCCCGCUCUUUUUCUGCACCAUCACGACAUUGGAGAGCCAUGUGGGGUAAGCCACCGGCUCGAUGAAUUUGGCUUCCAGGAGGCGGUGCACUUCUGCCUUGGCGGCCUCCGUCUUCUCGUCGGACAUCUUGCGAAGCCACUGCUUUUUCGGCCUUACCGAAGGGUCGAUUCCCAGACUGUGCUCAAUUAUUGAACGGCUAACCCCGACCAGAUCGAGGGCCGACCAGGCGAAGACAUCUUUGUUCUUGGACAGGCAGCAGAGGAGCUUCUCUUCUUCAUGCGAAGUAAGGUCUUCGCUGAUAAUGACUGUCUGCCUGGGCGUGGCCUGGUCGAGGGGGACAGUCUUGGUCCCGUCAUUGCUCUGCAGCUGUGCCUUGUCGUGCUGCUUAUUGGUUGGGCUGGCGGGCGCGGGGACCUCGCGUUGGGCCGUGAGGCAGUGCACGUUUCUUUGACCGGGCACGAAGUCCCGCUCUAUGUUGCGCGCAGUCUGUUGAUUGCCGAAGACUGUGAUGACGCCUAGCGGACCUGGUAUCUUCAUACAUAGGUACAGUCCGUGAAUGGCUGCUUUGAACUUAUUGAUGGAGCCCCGGCCCAUGAUGGCAUUGUAAGGAUAUACCAUGUCCACAAUGUCAAAGGUUAUUUGCUCACUUCGGGCAUUGGGUGCUACACCGAAGGAGAGAGGUAGCUCUAUUUUGCCGACGGGGAAGGUGCCCUUGCCGCCAAAGCCAUACAACGGGUUGUCCGAAGGCUUAAGCAGGCUGUGGCUUAUGCCCAUGCGAUCGAAGGCGUGGAGGAAGAUGAUGUCCGCCUGACUGCCGUUGUCAACUAGGACUUUGUGCAUGUCCCAGCCUGCCACGCUGCAAUUGAUAACCAUGGCGUCGCAGUGGGGGGCGCUGCGCAGGUCGAUGUCUCGUGCGUCGAAGGUUAGCGGUAUGUGGGACCACCUUGUCUGCACGACUGGGCCAGUGACGGCGACAUGGUUGAUGCUGCGGUAGUGGUCCCGCUUCUGCCGCUUGGUGUCGAAGUCGGUGCUGGACCCCCUAGUUAUCAUGUGGAUGACUCCGCGAUAUGGUUGAUCGGCGAAGUCUUCCUGCUUUGGAGCAUGGGGGAUGUUUUGAUGUUGCUGGUGUGGUGGUGGGGGUGGAGGAGGUACGAUUUGUACUUCCUGAUGGUGUUGGUAAGCGUGGUGCGGUGGAUGCGGGGCGGGAGCGUGGAUGUAUGGUGGAGGGGGUUGCUGGUAAUUGUGCGCGACAAUUCUGGGGUUGUCAGCUGGCUGCGCCCGUGCCAUUCUGUCUCUGGUGGCCUUCGUUUCGGGGCAGUCUUUGGUCUGGUGGGCGCAAUCUUCGCCAUGGAAGAGGCAGUAGAAUCGGCGCGGCGGCUGCGCAUGCCCUCGGCCCCUACCACGAGUUCCAUUUCCGCGGCCCUGGGGGGGAUAUUCCUGGUGACGAGGGGGUCAGCAGCGGGAUGCUGGUUGGCGAUGUUGUGCACUUGCUGCUGAUUGCGGCCGUCUCGACCGGAGUCUGGCUGCGGAGUCCUCAUCCACGUGCGGCUGGACUGUGGGGCAUCUUUGGGUUUCCGCUGUGACUCAACCUUGCGCUGGUGGAGCUCCUCAGAUUUGGCAUAUUUUUCAAAGAGUUGAUAUAGCUCCUGGAGGUUCUUGGGCGGAUCUCUGAUACAGUGGCUGUAGAGGACGCCGGCACAAAGGCCACUGAUGGCGUAGUGGAUAGCUAUCUGAUCAUCAACGGAGGGCAGCUGUGACUUGAGUGUUAAAAAUUUGCGGUAAUACUCCCGCAGAGUCUCCUUUUCCAGCUGCUUGCAAAGCGAGAGCUCGGCCAAGGCGUCGGUGUCUGGGCGGUACCCUUGGAAGUUGAGCAGGAACUUGUCCCUGAGACUUCUCCAGGAAUCAAUGGACAGCGGAGGCAAUCUGGUGAACCAGGUGAGAGCUGGGCCCUCUAGGGCGAUGAUGAAAGACUUCGCCAUUGUGGCGUCGUCCCCUCCGGCGGAUGCAACGGCGACCUGAUAACUCAUUAUGUAUUGCGGCGGGUCGGUGCUGCCGUUGUACUUGGGAUAGGUCCCUGCUCGGAAGUUAGCUGGCCAAGGCGUCACUUGCAGGUGUGGCGCCAGGGGACUUCGCUCAUCGAGAUAGUUGACCCCUUGGAAAGGCGCGGCGUGCGGGAAGGUGUGGUCGCGCUGGGGGAAACGCGGGUCCUCCGGUUGCGCGCGGUGUUGCAGGGGUGGCCCAUGCUGCAGGCCGAGGUGGCCUUCGCGCGUGUCUUCGAGUUGUGCGCGCUGCUGGAGGGGUGGCUCGUGCUGCAGGCCGAGGUGGCCUUCGCGCUGCAUCAGCGCAAUCUCCCGCUCGAGUUCCUGGGCCUUCUGCUCUUCGUCGCGUAUCAUUUGCCACACUUUGGCUAGUGCGGACACACGCUGGCGCUUGGCCUCCAGUAUCUCCUUCUGCCUCUGGAGAUUGCGGUUCUUGAGGCGCAGGGCGCGCAACUGUAGCUGUUCUUCUGCUGAGACGCCGAGGACUUCACCGUCCUCGGUGAGGUCCGCGCCCUCCGGUGGUGCGAAGCCUGAGGGUGGCUGCGGUUGUCCCUCAGGGCCGCAGGUGCGGAGAGUGUCGUCUUCGCAGGUGCGAGGAACAUCGUCUUCAGUGGCCUCUUGGUGGGUGGAUUGGGUGAGGGCGAGGGCCUUGCCCUUUCUUGCGGCGAGCAGUGCUGCCUUCACAGCCUCGUCAGCCUUCGGGUUAGCUCUCUUGGGUGCCAUCGCGGGUGGUUUUCUCGUAGCACGAACGGUGGGCGCCAAAUGUUGGAACUUGCUCUCAGCUACAAGGGGAUCCAACAAGGGUGAACAGUGACAUUAACAGGGUGCUCGUGCUAGAUGGCGAUAGCUCCAUUAUUCUGGCCUCUCACGGGCACUGUGCAGGGGUAUUUAUAGGUACCUGAGCGCGCAGCGCCUUGAGCUAAGGACGCAUGUGCCCUCAGCUACCUAGGUUAUCCCCAGAAUAUUCCCAUAAAGCGGGGUUACAGACCGUAAUUACAGGGAUGCCUUUACAAAUUAGGCCCGUAACGCACGGCGGCCACGCGGGGCCCGUUACGAUGGGCCGGAUCGCACGUGGGCCUCUGAGCUGGACGAGGCCGCACUGUGGGAUGCCCUUCGUCGCCGGUCUUCGUCUGGUGCGGAACAAGCGAAGGGUGUCCCUGCCUGUUUUGUUUCUGUUAGCUCAGCUGCUGCAGCGAAGGCUUCGAGCGAAGGGUGGCGCCUUUGCCUUCGCCCCAACAAUAGCCACACUCCGCCUGAUGGCAGGAGGGGGCACCAGAAGCUGAGCCAGAGCCAGCUGAGCCAGCGAGCCCAACACGCUGAAGCUGACGACGCUCGCGGCCGACCAGCCCCGUGUUGUUGAAGUCCGCCCCCUCUGCUAGGCCAGUGGGCACCCUCUCCCCUGAAUGCUGAAGGAGAAGGUGGCCCACUGACCCGUGCGGGAGGUAGAGCUCCGGCUCAGCUCGCCCUCCGCCCAGCAAGGAUGAUGAAGAUUCUUGAAGCUGAGGGCGGGGUAGAGGCUGUAGCCCGGCUUGCUUCUCUCCACCAUCGAACUGGUGGUCACCGUCUUGGGUGACCAUUAGUGAGGAGAUGCAGCCGGGCUGCCUGAUGAAAAUCCUUGAAGCCGAGCGAUGGCUGAAAGGUGCCAACUUCCGCGAAGUUGCGCUCCUCCAACGGCAGCAAGACGAAGGCAACGCGGGCGCUCCCCAUUUGGGGGCUCGGAAGGUGGAAGGGCACAAUGCAUGAAGAGAGUGCGAAGGCGUGGCUGCCACCCAGGGAGCCAUUCCCUUUUUAAAGGCAACUCACCCCACUCGCGUCCUCAGGCGUCGCGGGCUAAGUCUUCACCAACACGCUCAAAGGUCCUCCCCCUACGACACGGGGGCUGGGUCCCACACGACAUGCAAGCUGGCCUAGGACAGAAGAAGCCAAACCGCCGCGCGCGGAGCGUGUAACCGCCCAGCGGUUACAAGCACUCCUCCGUCUUCGCCUAAACCAGUGGGUGAAAGGGCGGACCGCCAAGCAGGCAGCAUGCAAUCGUGCCACGGGGAUGCACCCUUUCGACUUCGACGCGUCCAGCAUGGAGUCCCAGGCCCACAUGUCAUGUAACCGGCGCGCUGGUUACUAUGUGCGAAAACUGCACCGCCACUUGCGCCAGUGUCGCGCCUUCUCGACUGAGGAACUGGUGCCGCGAUUCGAGGCAACCCUGCGCAUGGACCAACAGUGCCAGCCAAGCACGUCGGUCACGGGUCAGUCAGCCGCGGGAGAAGGCGCGACGGUCGAUAUGGCCAGAAGUGGGCCGAUAGUAAUGGCAGCAGCAGGCGAGCGGAAGCGGCGGCCAAAUCGUCUGCAGGCUCACGUCCCCUCCUGGAGCAGCAGGAGAGCCCUCUCCCACGACAUGAAGACGACGCGCCCGUGUUCCGUUCCUCGAACGGCUCGCGCAUGCACAAUGGCUGCCCCACGAACCACUCAUCCCGUUGCAUUAACUCCACGGCAGGGCAGGCGACACCUUUGGCAGGUGAAGCGGGCGACGCUUCACCUCUGCCAUAAUGACCGCGUCAAAAAAAGGUGUGCCACGUCGUUCAAUUUCGUAUCCUUUUCCUCUUCCCCUUUCUCUCUCUUGCUACAGGGACCGGGAAAGGGGAUACUUCGAAAGGGAUCCUUCUCUGCGAAGGAAGCGGGCCCCGAGCCCUCCUACUGAUCAGAGGUUCGAAGGCUAGCCCCUCGGAAGGGUUCGACAGCCGCCUCAGAGCAUUCGGGCUCCGCGCCCACUACUGGUCAGAGGUUCGAAGGCUGGCCCCUCGGAAGGGUUCGACAGCCGCCUCAGGCCACUCGGGCUCCGUGCCCACUAUUGAUCAGGGGUUCAUAGGCUGGCCCCCCGAAGGGUUCGACAGCCGCCUCAGAACAUGCAGAGCGAGGGAUGACUCUGGGUACGUCCGAUACAUGGCCGAGGCUCGGGCUAUGCUCCCGAGGUACCCUAGGACAUUUCCGAGACCAGCAGGAGCGAUUCUGUAACGGAAUCCCAUUAGAGGGAGGCAUCGUGCCCUCGGACCCUAUCAAACGGAACCGGGUCCGGCAAAUCACCUGCAGGUACUUUUGGAGCGCGCCUUUGGGCCACUAGCCGACCCUUAUCGAACGGGGCACGAGCGUCCACUCGGAUCACCCGUUAGCAACUCACUGGAGACACCAUGUUCGGCACCCUCUGAGGGCAACAUGGCGCUUUCCCUCCCUCCUCCUUGCGGAAAGGCGACGAAGGCGCGUAUGAAAAAAGCAGAGUCAGUCCUUGACCGUCCCCUCGCCCUGUGCAGAGGCUCGGGGGCUGCUCUCGCGAACCCGGCUCCGGCCAAACCGUUGACAGCGUCAACAUACCAGCCCGAGAACUCGGAACCUGACCAUGCACCCGGACUACGAUCAGAUCGCAUGAGGGAACAACCAGACUGGCUGAGGCAUCACGAAAGGCACUAAGACCUCGGAGGAGUCAAACCACUCCUCUGAGGCCUUGGGGCUACACCCGGCGGGUGCGCUCACGCGCACCCACCGGAACGAAGUGUAACCGAGAAAGGCCGGUCCCCUUGCAAAAAAGUGCGACAAAGCCUCCAAGCGAGUACCAACACUCCCUUUGAGGCUCGGGGGCUACUAUCGGGGACCAUAAUUAGGGGUACCCCCAAGACUCCUAAACUCGGCUGGUAACCACCAUCAGCACAAAGCUGCAAAGGCCUGAUGGGCGCAAUUCAGGUCAAGGCUCCGUCCACUCAAGGGACACGAUCUCGCCUCGCCCGAGUCCAGCCUCGGGCAGGAACAGUAGACCAAGGCAGAUUCACACCUCGCCCGAGGGCAUCCUCAAGUAACGGGCGCACCUUCGACUCGCCCGAGGCCCAGUUCGGGCAUGCUUCACAGUGAAGCAACCUUGGCCAGAUCGUCGCGCCAACCGACCACAUCGCAGGAGCAUUCAAUGCAAGGAUCGCCUGACACCUUAUCCUGACGCGGGCUCCUCAGUCGACAAGGCCGAAGUGACCGCAGUCACUUCGCCCCUCCAUUGACUGACCUGAUAGGAAAACAGCGUCCCCUGCACUGCUCCGACUGCUGUGCCACCCACCAGGGUGAGGCUGACAGCAGCCAAGUCCAGCCUCGGGCGCCAUAGGAAGCUCCGCCUCGCUCGACCCCAGGGCUCAGACUCAACCUCGACCUCGGACGACGGUCUCCGCCUCGUCCGACCCCAGGGCUCGGACUCAACCUUGACCUCAAACGACGGUCUCCGCCUCGCCCGACCCCAGGGCUUGGACUCAACCUCGACCUCGGACGACGGUCUCCGCCUCGCCCGACCCCAGAGCUCGGACUUAGCCUCGACCUCGGAGGAGCCUCCGCCUCGCCUGACCUUAGGCUCGGACCGACCACGUCGCAGGGGGUACAUCAUUACCCUACCCCUAGCUAGCUCAGGCUACGGGGAACAAGACCGGCAUCCCAUCUGGCUCACCUCGGUAAAACAAGUAAAUGAUGACACCCCGCGUGCUCCAUGACGACGGCGGUUCUCAGCCCCCUACGGAAGCAAGGAGACGUCAGCAAGGUCCCGACAGCCCCGACAGCUGUGCUUCUACAGGGUUCAAGCGCUCCUCCGACGGCCACGACAUCACAUGAACAGGGCACCAACACCUCUCCGACAGCCACGUUGGCAUGUACAUAGGACUCUGGCUCCUCUCUGCCGGACACGUUAGCACACUGCUACACCCCCCAUUGUACACCUGGGCCCUCUCCUUACGUCUAUAAAAGGAAGGUCCAGGGCCCUCGUACGAGAAGGUGGCCGCGCGGGAGGACGGGCUGACGAGCAGGCUCUCUCUCUCCCUUGCGAACGCUUGUAACCCCCUACUGCAAGCGCAUCCGCCCUGGGCGCAGGACAACACGAGCUGUGGUUCCCCUUAUUGUUUUCCCCCUUGUGUUCCAUCUCGCGCCGACCCAUCUGGGCUGGGACACGCAGCGACAAUUUACUCGUCGGUCCAGGGACCCCCCGGGGUCGAAACGCCGACACCAGUGUAGCACCAGACUAUCCGGUGUGCCAUGCGGAGCAAUGGCUAACAGCGCCAACGAUCGUCUACAAAAGGUGAACAGUGAGCUACAGUGCAUGGACAGUUCGCGUAGAAGUCAGAGCAGCGCCAGAAGGCGCACCGGACAGUGAACAGGACCUUUCCGGUGCACCACCGGACUGUCCGGUGGCCCCACAUGUCAGAGCUCCAACGGUCGAACCCUAACGGUUGAGUGACGUGGCUGGCGCACCGGACAGUGUCCAGUGGCGCACCAGACUGUCCGGUGCGACCUUCGACAGCAGCCUUCCCUAAUGGCCACUUUGGUGGUUGGGGCUAUAAAUACCCCCCCAACCACCACACUUCAAGGCAUCCAAGUUUUUAGCCAACACAUUCAAUACAAGAGCUAGUGCAUUCAAUACAAGACACAAAUAAAGUGAAUCAAAAUCUCUCUAAGUCCCAAUUCCACUCAAAGCAAUAGUGACUAGAAGAGAGAAUUUUGUCGUGUUCUUUUGAGCUCUUGCGCUUGGAUCGCUUUUCUUCUUCCCCAUUUCUUGUUCCCAAGUCAUUUGUAAUCAAAGCAAGAGACACCAAUUGUGUGGUGGUACUUGUGAGGACUAAGUGUCCCAAUUGAUUGAGAAGAGAAGCUCACUCGUUCUAGGUGACCGUUUGAGAGAGGGAAAGGGUUGAAAGAGACCCGGUCUUUGUGACCACCUCAACGGGGAGUAGGUUUGCAAGAACCGAACCUCGGUAAAACAAAUCACCGUGUCAUCCGCCUUAUUUGCUUGUGAUUUGUUUUUCGCCCACUCUUUCGGACUCGACUUUAUUUCUAACGCUAACCCCGGCUUGUAGUUGUGCUUAAACUUUAUAAAUUUCAGAUUUGCCUAUUCACCCCCCCUCUAGGCGACUUUCAAUUGGUAUCAGAGCCCGGUACUUCAUUAGAGCCUAACCGCUCAAAGUGAUGUCGGGAGCUCAUGCCAAGAAGGAGAUGGUGACCGGCGAGAAGCCCGCCACAAGCCAUGGGAAAGCUCCAUCGGGAGAGUCCGGCAACAAGAAAAGGGAGGAAUCACCUCCCCGCGUCAAGUCGCACCGGUGUGGCGACAAGAAGAAGAAAAUGAAGAAAGUGGUCUACUACGAAACCGAUUCUUCGUCGCCUUCCACCUCCGGCUCCGACACGUCGUCCGUCACUUCUAAGCGCCAUGAGCGCAAGAAGUUUAGUAAGAUCCCCUUACGCUAUCCUCGCAUUUCCAAACUGAGAGCACCUAGAGGGGGGGUGAAUAGGUGAUCCUGUGAAACUUGAAAACUUAAGCCACAAAACUUGGUUAAUCGUUAGCACAAUAAUUGCCAAGUGGCUAGAGAGGAGUCAAAACACAAUAACCACAAGAAAUCAAUCACAGAGAUGACACGGUGGUUAUCCCGUGGUUCGGCCAAGACCAACGCUUGCCUACUCCACGUUGUGGCGUCCCAACAGACGAGGGUUGCAAUCAACCCCUCUCAAGCGGUCCAAAGACCCACUUGAAUACCACGGUGUUUUGCUUGCUUUUUCUCAAUCCCGUUUGCGAGGAAUCUCCACAACUUGGAGCCUCUCGCCCUUACACUUUAAGAUCACAAAGAAACACGGAGCAAGGGAGGGAUUAGCAACGCACUCAAGAAAUCACAGCAACACCACGCACACAAGUCACAACGAGAGCUCACAAUACAACUCAAUGAGUUCACCACUCAACUAGAGCUCUAAUUGCUAUCGCAAAGAAUCAAAGGCGCGGAAUCGAUGUCUUGGUGCUUAGGAAUGUUGUAGGAAUGCUUGGUAUCCUCCUCCAUGCGCCUAGGGGUCCCUUUUAUAGCCCCAAGGCAGCUAGGAGCCAUUGAGAGCAAUCUAGGAAGGCUGAUCUUGCCUUCUAUCGACUGGCGCACCGGACAGUCCGGUGCACACCGGACAUGUCCGGUGCCCGAUUUCUUUCCAUAAAUGGCACAGUCGACCGUUGGCAGCCAGAGAGCCGUUGGCGCACCGGACAUGUUCGGUGCACACCGGACAGUCCGGUGCCCCCUUCUAGCCGUUGGCUUGGCCACGUGUCCCGCGCAGAUCGCGCGGCCGACCGUUGGCCCGGCCGACCGUUGGCUCACCGGACAGUCCGGUGCACACCGGACAGUCCGGUGAAUUAUAGCCGUACGUCGCCGGUGAAUUCCCGAGAGCGGCCACUUCGCUCGAGCCAGCCUGGCGCACCGAACACUGUCCGGUGCUCCCAGACUCAGCAGAGUCUUGGCUGCUCGAGCCAAGACAUUUACAAUUGGAUUUUUCCUGUUUCCAGCACUUAGACACAAUACAUUAGUCCAUAAAACAAUGUACUAAGUCUGAGAAACAUACCUUUAUCCUUGAUUUGUACUUUGUCCACCUUUUUACACUUAGGCACUUGUGUUGGACACUAAAUCACCAAAAUACUUAGAAAUGGCCCAAGGGCACAUUUCCCUUUCAAUCUCCCCCUUUUUGGUGAUUUAUGCCAACACAACAUAAAGCAAGUAGAACAAGUACAAAAUCAAUUCAACUAAGAACUCAAAAUUGUUUUGAUUCAAAUUUGACAUAUAUGGAUCACUCUAUGCCACCACUUGGUUUGUUUUUGUAAAUCAAACUCAAAUUUCUAUCUCUAAGUCAACCACACAUGUUAAGACAUAAAGAGAGUCAUUCCAAGAGAAAUUGAUUCAAGAUUUCAAAAACUCCCCUUUUUCCCAUAAUCAAUACUUCUCCCCACAAGAAGCCAACUUUUGACAAGAGAGACACUAAAAGAGUUGUGAUAAACCAAAAGCUUUAUUCUACUAUUUUCAAAAUCUCUCAAGUGGUAGCUGAUCCAUUUAUCGCUUUGGCCUUUAUUUUCUCCCCCUUUGGCAUCAAGCACCAAAACGGGAUCAAUCUUGGCCCUUUAACCCCAUUGCCUCACCAAAAUCUUCAGAUAAGAACACAAAGGCAAUAAGAGUACAUGAGAUGAACUUGGAAUAAGUUACCCUCUCAUCGGAGUGCAGUGGAAGUCUUUCAUGGUCCAAGUCCACCGUUUCCCUUUCAAACCUCCUUUGAGACUAAAACAAGUAAACUAAAGCAUAUGAUUAGUCUCAAAGGGUCAAGUUGUAGCACAGCUCCCCCUAAAUAUGUGCAUCACUUGCAAAAAGGACUUGUGAGGUCCAGGGAGUGUUUGUACAACUUGAGCACCACAAGUAAUCAACAAAAUGCAUAAGGAACAUGAUCAAAGGCAUAAAUACAUGUAUGCUAUAAAUCAAUCCAAGUUCCGUGAAUCUAGGACAUUUAGCUCACUACGCAGCCUGCAAAAGGUCUUUUCAUCUAAAGGCUUAGUGAAGAUAUCGACUAGCUGGUUCUCGGUGCUAACAUGAAACACUUCGAUAUCUCCCUUUUGCUGGUGGUCUCUCAAAAAGUGAUGCCGGAUGUCAAUGUGCUUUGUGCGGCUGUGCUCAACAGGAUUUUUCGCUAUUCAGAUAGCACUCUCAUUAUCACAUAGGAGUGGGACUUUGCUCAGAUUGUAGCCAAAGUCCCGGAGGGUUUGCCUCAUCCAAAGUAGUUGCGCGCAACACUGUCCUGCGGCAACAUACUCGGCCUCAGCGGUGGAUAGGGCAACGGAAGUUUGUUUCUUAGAGUUCCACGACACCAGGGACCUUCCUAAGAAUUGGCACGUCCCCGAUGUACUCUUCCUAUCGACCUUACAUCCAGCAUAGUCGGAAUCUGAGUACCCAAUCAAGUCAAAGUUAGACCCCUUUGGAUACCAGAUCCCGAAGCAAGGCGUAGCGACUAAAUAUCGAAGAAUUCGCUUCACAGCCACUAAGUGACACUCCUUAGGAUCGGAUUGAAAUCUAGCACACAUGCAUACGCUAAGCAUAAUAUCCGGUCUACUAGCACAUAAAUAAAGCAAAGAACCUAUCAUGGACCGGUAUGCUUUUUGAUCAACGGACUUACCUCCUUUGUUGAGGUCGGUGUGUCCAUUAGUUCCCAUCGGCGUCUUUGCGGGCUUGGCGUCCUUCAUCCCAAACCGCUUUAGCAAGUCUUGCGUGUACUUCGUUUGGGAGAUGAAAGUGCCGUCCUUGAGUUGCUUCACUUGGAACCCAAGGAAGUAGUUCAACUCGCCCAUCAUCGACAUCUCGAAUUUCUGCGUCAUAACCCUGCUAAACUCUUCACAAGACUUUUGAUUAGUAGAACCAAAUAUUAUGUCAUCGACAUAAAUUUGGCACACAAAAAGAUCACCAUCGCAAGUCUUAGUAAAAAGAGUUGGAUCGGCUUUCCCAACCUUGAAAGCAUUAGCAAUUAAAAAGUCUCUAAGGCAUUCAUACCAUGCUCUUGGGGCUUGCUUAAGUCCAUAGAGCGCCUUAGAGAGCUUACACACGUGGUCGGGGUACCGUUCAUCCUCGAAGCCAGGGGGUUGCUCCACGUACACCUCCUCCUUGAUCGGCCCGUUGAGGAAAGCGCUCUUCACAUCCAUUUGGUACAACCUGAAAGAAUGGUGAGCGGCAUAUGCUAGCAAGAUACGAAUUGAUUCUAGCCUAGCCACAGGAGCAAAAGUCUCCUCAAAGUCCAAACCUGCGACUUGGGCAUAACCUUUUGCCACAAGUCGAGCCUUGUUUCUCGUCACCACCCCGUGCUCGUCCUGUUUGUUGCGGAACACCCACUUGGUUCCCACAACAUUUUGCUUGGGACGAGGCACCAGUGUCCAAACUUCAUUGCGCUUGAAAUUGUUGAGUUCCUCCUGCAUGGCCAACACCCAGUCCGGAUCUAGCAAGGCCUCUUCUACCCUGAAAGGCUCAAUAGAAGAGGCCCGUGUUUUGCUUGCUUUUUCUCAAUCCCGUUUGCGAGGAAUCUCCACAACUUGGAGCCUCUCGCCCUUACACUUUAAGAUCACAAAGAAACACGGAGCAAGGGAGGGAUUAGCAACGCACUCAAGAAAUCACAGCAACACCACGCACACAAGUCACAACGAGAGCUAACAAUACAACUCAAUGAGUUCACCACUCAACUAGAGCUCUAAUUGCUAUCGCAAAGAAUCAAAGGCGAGGAAUCGAUGUCUUGGUGCUUAGGAAUGUUGUAGGAAUGCUUGGUAUCCUCCUCCAUGCGCCUAGGGGUCCCUUUUAUAGCCCCAAGGCAGCUAGGAGCCGUUGAGAGCAACCUAGGAAGGCUGAUCUUGCCUUCAAUCGACUGGCGCACCGGACAGUCCGGUGCACACCGGACAUGUCCGGUGCCCGAUUUCUUUCCAUAAAUGGCACAGUCGACCGUUGACAGCCAGAGAGCCGUUGGCGCACCGGACAUGUCCGGUGCCCCCUUCUAGCCGUUGGCUUGGCCACGUGUCCCGCGCAGAUCGUGCGGCCGACCGUUGGCUCGGCCGACCGUUGGCUCACCGGACAGUCCGGUGCACACCGGACAGUCCGGUGAAUUAUAGCCGUACGUCGCCGGUGAAUUCCCGAGAGCGGCCACUUCGCUCGAGCCAGCCUGGCGCACCGGACACUGUCCGGUGCACCACCAGACAGUCCGGUGCACCAAGACUCAGCAGAGUCUUGGCUGCUCGAGCCAAGACAUUUACAAUUGGAUUUUUCCUGUUUCUAGCACUUAGACACAAUACAUUAGUCCAUAAAACAAUGUACUAAGUCUGAGAAACAUACCUUUAUCCUUGAUUUGUACUUUGUCCACCUUUUUACACUUAGGCACUUGUGUUGGACACUAAAUCACCAAAAUACUUAGAAAUGGCCCAAGGGCACAUUUCCCUUUCACAAACGCACUCCUUUACUUUCCGUCCCACUAGGCAAACCACCAGUUUUUAACGGUGAGGAUUAUUGUAUGUGGAGUGAUAAAAUGAGGCACCAUCUAACCUCACUCCACACUAGCAUUUGGGACAUUGUUGAAUUUGGAGCGCAGGAACCAUCCGUGGGGGAUGAAGGCUAUGACUCGAAUGAGGUAGCCCAAAUUCGGCACUUCAACUCCCAAGCCACUACUAUACUCCUGAGAGCACCUAGAGGGGGGGGGGGUGAAUAGGUGAUCCUGUAAAAACUUGAAACUUAAUGCCACAAAACUUGAUUAGGAGUUAGCACAAUAAAGCCAAGUGGCUAGAAAGGAGUUCUUGCAAAACACAAUAACCACAAAGAUAUCAACACAGAGAGGCACAGUGGUUUAUCCCGUGGUUCGGCCAAGUCAACACUUGCCUACUCCACGUUGUGGCGUCCCAACGGACGAGGGUUGCAAUCAACCCCUCUCAAGUGAUCCAAUGAUCCACUUGAAUACCAUGGUGUUUCUUUUCCUUUCACUAUAUCCCGUUUGCGAGGAAUCUCCACAACUUGGAGUCUCUCGCCCUUACAAAAGAUGAUCACAAAUGAACAUGGAAGUAAGGAUGGGAUGAGCAACACACACAAGUCCACAGCAAAUACGCACACACAUGGUCAAGACUUGAGCUCUAAUGAAUAUCACAAAGUUCUCACUAGAACGGAGCUCAAAUCACUAAGAAAGUCAAACGAGUGCGUAAAUACGAAGUGUGAGUGAUCAAGAAUGGUCAAAGUGUGCUUGGUGUACUCCUCCAUGCGCCUAGGGGUCCCUUUUAUAGCCCCAAGGCAGCUAGGAGCCGUUGAGAGCAUUCCAGGAAGGCAAUUCUUGCCUUCUGUCGACUGGCGCAUCGGACAGUCCGGUGCACCACCGGACACUGUCCGGUGCGGAUUUCUUUCCUAUUUUGGCACAGCCGACCGUUGGCGAUUUGGAGCCGUUGGCGCACCGGACAGUCCGAUGCCCCCUUCAGACCGUUGGCCCGGCCACGCGUCACGCGCGGAUUGCGCGGCCGACCGUUGGCUUGGCCGACCGUUGGCUCACCGGACAGUCCGGUGCACACCGGACAGUCCGGUGAAUUUUAGCCGUACGCCGCCGACGAAUUCUCGAGAGCGGCCUUUUCACCAGAGCCAGCCUGGCGCACCGGACACUGUCUGGUGCACCACCGGACAGUCCGGUGCACCUAGACUGAGCAGAGUCUUGGCUGCUCGAGCCAAGUCUUUUCCAAUUGUCUUUUCUCUGAUUCUAGCACUUAGACAAAUAUGUUAGUACACAAAAACCAAUGUACUAAGUCUAGAAUCAUACCUUUGUAUUGAUUUGCACUUUGUCCACCCUUUGGCAUAUACUCAUUCCCUUAAUGUGUGUUGGGCACUUAAUCACCAAAAUCUUAUAGAAAUGGCCCAAGGGCACAUUUCCCUUUCAAUCUCCCCCUUUUUGGUGAUUUAUGCCAACACAACAAAAAGCAACUAAAAGAAGUGCAACAUCAAUGCACAUAAGAACACAAAUUUGUUUUGAUUCAAAUUUGGCAUAUUUGGAUCAUUCUUUGCCACCACUUGAUUUGUUUUUGCAAAUCAAACUCAAUUUCCUAUCUCUAAGUCAAAUUCACUUGUUGAGUCAUAGAGAAAGAUAUUCCAAGAGAAAUUGAUCACUAAUUCAAAAACUCCCCCCUAUUUCCCAUAAUCAAACAUUCCCAUAAUCAAACAUUCUCCCCACAAGAGACCAACUCUUGACAAAAAAGAGAUAAUAAGAAUUUUGACAAAUCAACAAGUUCUAACUCUACUAUUUUCAGAAUUCUCAAGUGGUAGCUGAUCCAUUUGUUGCUUUGGCCCUUAAUUUCUCCCCCUUUGGCAUCAAGCACCAAAACGGGAUCAUUUUUUGGCCUUUUAACCCCAUUGCCUCAUCAAAAUCUUCAACUAAGAGUAAAAAGGCAAUAAGAGUAUGAAGAUGAAAUUGGAGUUAGUUACUUUUUCAUCGGCGUGCAGUGGAAGUCUUUCAUGGUCCAAGUCCAACAUUCCCUUUCAAUCCACCUUUGAGACUAAAUCAAGCAAACUCAAGCACACAGUUAGUCUCAAAGGGUCAAGUUGUAGCACAUCUCCCCCUAAAUAUGUGCAUCACUUGCAAAUGGACUUGUGAGGUCCGGGGAGUGUUUGUACAACUUGAGCACCAUAAAUAAACAACAAAAUGCAUAAGGAUCAUGAUCAAGGCAUAAAACACAUGUAUGCUAUAAAUCAAUCCAGGUUCCGCGAAUCUAAGACAUUUAGCUCACUACGCAGCCUGCAAAAGGUCUUCUCAUCUAGAGGCUUGGUAAAGAUAUCGGCUAGCUAGUUCUCGAUGCUAACAUAAAACACUUCGAUAUCUCCCUUUUGCUGGUGGUCUCUCAAAAAGUGAUGUCGGAUGUCUAUGUGUUUUGUGCGGCUGUGUUCAACAGGAUUGUCCGCCAUGCGGAUAGCACUCUCAUUAUCACAUAGGAGUGGGACUUCGCUCAGAUUGUAGCCAAAGUCCCGGAGGGUUUGCCUCAUCCAAAGUAGUUGCGCGCAACACUGUCCUGCGGCAACAUACUCGGCCUCAGCGGUGGAUAGGGCAACAGAAGUUUGUUUCUUAGAGCUCCACGACACCAGGGACCUUCCUAAGAAUUGGCACGUCCCCAAUGUACUCUUCCUAUCGACCUUACAUCCAGCAUAGUCGGAGUCUGAAUAUCCAAUCAAGUCAAAGGUAGACCCCUUUGGAUACCAGAUCCCGAAGCAGGGCGUAGCGACUAAAUAUCUAAGAAUUCGCUUCACGGCCACUAAGUGACACUCCCUUGGAUCGGAUUGAAAUCUAGCACACAUGCAUACGCUAAGCAUAAUAUCCGGUCUACUAGCACAUAAAUAAAGUAAAGACCCUAUCAUAGACCGGUAUGCUUUUUGAUCAACGGACUUACCUCCUUUGUUGAGGUCGACGUGUCCGUCAGUUCCCAUUGGAGUCUUUGUGGGCUUGGCGUCCUUCAUCCCAAACCGCCUUAGCAAGUCUUGUGUGUACUUCGUUUGGGAGAUGAAGGUGUCGUCCUUGAGUUGCUUCACUUGGAACCCAAGGAAGUAGUUCAACUCGCCCAUCAUCGACAUCUCGAAUUUCUGCGUCAUCACCCUGCUAAACUCUUCACAAGACUUUUGGUUAGUAGAACCAAAUAUUAUGUCAUCGACAUAAAUUUGGCACAUAAAUAAGUCACCAUCACAAGUCUUAGUGAAUAAAGUUGGAUCGGCUUUCCCAACCUUGAAAGCAUUAGCAAUUAAAAAGUCUCUAAGGCAUUCAUACCAUGCUCUUGGGGCUUGCUUAAGUCCAUAGAGCGCCUUAGAGAGCUUACACACAUGGUCGGGGUACCGUUCAUCCUCAAAGCUAGGGGGUUGCUCCACGUACACCUCCUCCUUGAUUGGCCCGUUGAGGAAAGCGCUCUUCACAUCCAUUUGGAACAACCUGAAAGAAUGGUGAGCGGCAUAGCUAACAAAAUGCGAAUGGACUCUAGCCUAGCCACAGGAGCAAAAGUCUCCUCAAAGUCCAAACCUGCGACUUGGGCAUAACCUUUUGCCACAAGUCAUGCCUUGUUCCUUGUCACCACCCCGUGCUCGUCUUGUUUGUUGCAAAACACCCACUUGGUUCCCACAACGUUUUGCUUGGGACGAGGCACCAGUGUCCAAACUUCAUUUCGCUUGAAGUUGUUGAGCUCUUCCUGCAUGGCCAACACCCAGUCCGGAUCUAGCAAGGCCUCUUCUACCCUGAAAGGCUCAAUAGAAGAGACAAAAGAGUAAUGCUCACAAAAAUUAACUAAUCUAGAGCGAGUAGUUACUCCCUUGCUAAUGUCACCCAAAAUUUGGUCGACGGGAUGAUUCCUUUGAAUCGUUGCUCGAACUUGAGUUGGAGGUGCCGGUUGUGCUUCUUCCUCCAUAACAUGAUCAUCUUGUGCUCCCCCUUGAUCACGCGCCUCUUCUUGAUGAACCUGUUCAUCGUCUUGAGUUGGGGGAUGCACCAUUAUUGAGGAAGAAGGUUGAUCUUGCUCCUUUUGUUCCUGUGGUCACACAUCGCCAAUCGCCAUGGUACGUAUUGCGGCCGUUGGAACGUCUUCUUCAUCUACAUCAUCAAGAUCAACAACUUGCUCUCUUGGAGAGCCAUUAGUCUCAUCAAAUACAACGUCACUAGAGACUUCAACCAAACCCGAUGAUUUGUUGAAGACCCUAUACGCCUUUGUAUUUGAGUCAUAACCUAACAAAAACCCUUCUACAGCUUUGGGAGCAAAUUUUGAAUUUCUACCUUUCUUCACCAGAAUGUAGCAUUUACUCCCAAAAACUCGAAAAUAUGAAACGUUGGGUUUGUUAUCGGUUAGAAGCUCGUAUGAUGUCUUCUUGAGGAGGCGAUGAAGGUAGACCCGGUUUAUGGCGUGGCAAGCCGUGUUCACGGCUUCCGACCAAAACCGCUCGGGGGUCUUGAACUCUCCAAGCAUCGUCCUUGCCAUAUCGAUGAGCGUCCUGUUCUUCCUCUCUACCACACCAUUUUGCUGUGGUGUCUAGGGAGCGGAGAACUCGUGCUUGAUUCCUUCCUCCUCAAGGUACUCUUCUACUUGAAGAUUCUUGAACUCUGACCCGUUGUCGCUCCUUAUCUUCUUCACCUUGAGCUCAAACUCAUUUUGAGCUCUCCUUAGGAAGCGCUUGAGGGUCCCUUGGGUUUCAGAUUUGUCCUGCAAAAAGAAUACCCAAGUGAAGCAGGAAAAAUCAUCAACAAUUACUAAACCAUACUUACUUCCCCUAAUGCUGAGGUAGGCGACGGGUCCGAAGAGGUCCAUAUGCAGCAGCUCCAGGGGUCUUGAUGUGGUCAUCACAUUCUUGCUGUGAUGCAUACUUCCCACUUGUUUACCUGCUUGACAAGCUGCACAAGGUCUAUCUUUUUCGAAAUGCACAUUUGUUAGACCUAUCACAUGUUCUCCCUUUAGAAGUUUGUGAAGGUUCUUCAUCCCCACAUGUGCUAGACGACGAUGCCAUAACCAGCCCAUGCUAGUCUUAGCAAUUAAGCAUGCAUCUAGACCGGCCUCCUCUUUUGCAAAAUCAACUAAAUAAAGUUUGUUGUCUAAUACACCCUUAAAAGCUAAUGAACCAUCACUUCUUCUAAAGACAAACACAUCUACAUUUGUGAAUAAGCAAUUAUAUCCCAUAUUACAUAAUUGACUAACGGACAACAAAUUAUACCCGAGCGAUUCAACUAAAAACACAUUAGAGAUAGAAUGCUCGGAAGAAAUAGCUAUUUUUCCUAGUCCUUUAACCUUGCCUUGAUUCCCGUCACCGAAUAUGAUUGAGUCUUGGGAAUCUUUGUUCUUGACGUAGGAGGUGAACAUCUUCUUCUCCCCCGUCAUGUGGUUUGUGCAUCCGCUGUCGAUAAUCCAGCUUGAUCCCCCGGAUGCAUAAACCUGCAAGGCAAAUUAGGCUUGGGUCUUAGGUACGCAACUCUUGUUGGGUCCUACAAGGUUAGUAACAAUAGCCUUAGGGACCCAAAUGCAAGUCUUGUCUCCCUUGCAUUUGGCCCCCACCUUCUUAGCAAUCACCUUUUUAUUUUUGCAUGAAAGAACAAAUCUAGUAUUGCAUGCAAGAAAUACAGUGGUAGAUUCAUUACAAACUUUCCUAGGAGCAUGAACAAUAUUUUUCCUAGGCAUAUUUCUACCAUACACAUUAGCGGAACCUGAAGCAAUCAUGGCAUGUGAAACAAAAGCAUUAUAACUUCUAUUAUAAUGAACAUCCCUAGAAUGUCUCCUAUCAUGGUACAUGAAAGCAUGGUUCUUUUGAACACUAUUUGCCAUAGGGGCCUUCCCUUUCUCCUUGGCGGAGAUGGGAGCCUUAUGACUUGUCAAGUUCUUGGCUUCCCUCUUGAAGCCAAGCCCAUCCUUAAUUGAGGGGUGUCUACCAAUCGUUAGGCAUCCCUUGCAAAUUUUAGUUUAUCAAAUUCAUUUUUGCUAGUCUUAAGUUGAGCAUUAAGACUAGCCACUUCAUCAUUUAAUUUAGAAAUUGAAACUAGGUGUUCACUACAAGCAUCAAUAUUGGAAUCUUUACACCUAUUGCAAAUCAUAACAUGUUCUAUACAGGAGGUUGAUUUACUAGCUAUUUCUAACUUAGCAUUCAAGUCAUCAUUGAUACUCUUUAAGCUAGAAAUAGAUUCAUGGCAUGUAGACAAUUCAUAUGAAAGCAUUUCAUUUCUUUUAACUUCUAAAGCAAGAGAAUUUUGUGCACUUACAAAUUUAUCAUGCUCUUCAUAUAAAAGAUCUUCUUGAUUUUCUAAAAGUCUAUUUUUCUCAUUCAAUGCAUCAAUUAAUUCAUUGAUUUUAUCAAUUUUAGUUCUAUCUAACCCUUUGAAUAAACUAGCAUAGUCUACUUCAUCAUCGCUAGAUUCGUCAUCACUUGAAGAGGCAUAUGUAGUAGCAUUUCGAGUACUUAUCUUCUUCUCCUUUGCCAUGAGGCAGGUGUGAUGCUCGUUGGGGAAGAGAGACGAUUUGUUGAAGGCGGUGGCGGCGAGUCCUUCGUUGUCGGAGUCGGACGAAGAGCAAUCCUAAUCCCACUCCUUUCCAAGGUGUGCCUCGCCUUUAGCCUUCUUGUAGACCUUCUUGUUCUCUCUUUUCCCAUUCUUUCCUUGUUCCUGGUCACUAUCAUUAUCGGGACAGUUAGCUAUAAAGUGACCAAUCUUACCACACUUGAAGCAGGAGCGCUUUCCCUUCAUCUUGCUCUUUUUGGGAUGCUCCUUGCGACCCUUUAGUGCCGUCUUGAAGCGCUUGAUGAUGAGGGCCAUUUCUUCCUCAUUGAGCCCCACCGCCUCAACUUGUGCCACCUUGCUAGGUAGCGCCUCCUUGCUAUUUGUUGCCUUGAGAGCAAUGGCUUGAGGCUCAUGAAUUGGACCAUUCAAUGCCUCAUCGACGUAUCUUGCCUCCUUGAUCAUCAUCCGCCCGCUUACGAACUUUCCAAGUAUUUCUUCGGGUGACAUCUUGGUGUACCUAGGAUUUUCACAAAUAUUGUUUACAAGAUGUGGAUCAAGGACAGUGAAAGACCUUAGCAUUAGGCGGACGACGUCGUGGUCCGUCCAUCGCGUGCUUCCAUAGCUCCUUAUUUUGUUGACGAGGGUCUUGAGCUUGUUGUAUGUUUGGGUUAGCUCCUCCCCCUGAUCAUUGCGAACCUUCCUAGUUCGCCUUCCACCAAUUCCAUCUCGGUGAGCAUGGUGACGUCAUUCCCCUCAUGCGAGAUCUUGAGGGUGUCCCAAAUCUGCUUGGCGUUAUCCAAGCCGCUCACCUUAUGGUAUUCAUCCCUGCACAAUGAUGCUAAAAGAAUAGUAGUAGCUUGUGCAUUUUUGUGAAUUUGCUCAUUGAUAAAUAUGGGACUAUCCGUACUAUCAAAUUGCAUUCCAUUCUCUACUAUCUCACAUAUACUUGGAUGGAGAGAGAACAAGUGACUACACAUUUUGUGACUCCAAAAUCUGUAGUCCUCUCCAUCAAAGUGAGGAGGUUUGCCAAGUGGAAUGGAAAGCAAGUGAGCAUUUGAACUUUGCGGAAUACGAGAAUAAUCGAAAGAAAAGUUCGAGUUAACCGUUUUCUUUUUCUCCUCGUAUUCGUCGUCCUUUUGGGAAGAGGAAGACUCGUCGCUGUCAUAGUAGACUAUCUUCUUGAUCCGCCUCUUCUUCUUCACGUCCUUCUUCUUUUGACUCAAGCCAGAGUCAUUGGCUUUGUCAUCCCUCGGCUCGUUGAAGAUGGACUCCUUCUCCUUAUCGUUGACCACCAUCCCCUUUCCCUUAGGAUCCAUCUCUUCGGGCGAUUAGUCCCUUUGUGAAGAGAAUGGCUCCGAUACCAAUUGAGAGCACCUAGAGGGGGGGUGAAUAGGUGAUCCUAUAAAAACUUGAAACUUAAUGCCACAAAACUUGAUUAGGAGUUAGCACAAUAAAGCCAAGUGGCUAGAAAGGAGUUCUUGCAAAACACAAUAAUCACAAAGAUAUCAACACAGAGAGGCACAGUGGUUUAUCCCGUGGUUCGGCCAAGUCAACACUUGCCUACUCCACGUUGUGGCGUCCCAAUGGACGAGGGUUGCAAUCAACCCCUCUCAAGUGAUCCAACGAUCCACUUGAAUACCAUGGUGUUUCUUUUCCUUUCACUAUAUCCUGUUUGCGAGGAAUCUCCACAACUUGGAGUCUCUCGCCCUUACAAAAGAUGAUCACAAAUGAACACGGAAGUAAGGAUGGGAUGAGCAACACACACAAGUCCACAGCAAAUACGCACACACACGGUCAAGACUUGAGCUCUAAUGAAUAUCACAAAGUUCUCACUAGAACGGAGCUCAAAUCACUAAGAAAGUCAAACGAGUGCGUAAAGACGAAGUGUGAGUGAUCAAGAAUGCUCAAAGUGUGCUUGGUGUACUCCUCCAUGCGCCUAGGGGUCCCUUUUAUAGCCCCAAGGCAGCUAGGAGCCGUUGAGAGCAUUCCAGGAAGGCAAUUCUUGCCUUCUGUCGACUGGCGCACCGGACUGUCCGGUGCACCACCGGACACUGUCCGGUGCGGAUUUCUUUCCUAUUUUGGCGCAACCGACCGUUGGCGAUUUGGAGCCGUUGGCGCACUGGACACUGUCCGGUGCACACCGGACAGUCCGGUGCCCCCUUCAGACCGUUGGCCCAGCCACACGUCACACGCGGAUUGCGCGGCCGACCGUUGGCUUGGCCGACCGUUGGCUCACCGGACAGUCCGGUGAAUUUUAGCCAUACGCCGCCGACGAAUUCCCGAGAGCGGCCUUUUCACCAGAGCCAGCCUGGCGCACUGGACACUGUCCGGUGCACCUAGACUGAGCAGAGUCUUGGCUGCUCGAGUCAAGUCUUUUCCAAUUGUCUUUUCUCUGAUUCUAGCACUUAGACAAAUAUUUUAGUACACAAAAACCAAUGUACUAAGUCUAGAAUCAUAUCUUUGUAUUGAUUUGCACUUUGUCCACCCUUUGGCAUAUACUCAUUCCCUUAAUGUGUGUUGGGCACUUAAUCACCAAAAUCUUAUAGAAAUGGCCUAAGGGCACAUUUCCCUUUCAACUCCUCGCCUCUCUAAGUCGAGAGGAGUAUAAUAAGGUGCAAGGGUUGAAGAGUGCCAAAGAGAUUUGGGACGUGCUCAAGACCGCGCACGAAGGAGAUGAGGUUACCAAGAUCACCAAGCAGGAAACGAUCGAGGGGGAGCUCAGUCGAUUUAUGCUCAACCAAGGAGAGGAGCCACAAGCCAUGUACAACUGACUCAAGACCUUGGUGAACCAAGUGCGCAACCUCGGGAGACCAAAUGGGAUGAUCAUGAAAUGGUCAAGGUUAUUCUUAGAUCACUCGUUUUUCUUAACCCUACUCAAGUUCAAUUAAUUUGUGGUGAUCCUAGAUAUAAACUAAUGUCUCCCGAGGAAGUGAUAGGAAAGUUUGUGAUCUUUGAAUUGAUGAUCAAAGGCUCCAAACAAAUCAUCGAGCGAGGCGCCACCUCCACAUCCGAGGUGCAACCCGUUGCCUUCAAAGCAACGGAGGAGAAGAAAGAAGAGUCUACAUCAAGUAGGCUCCCCAUCGACACCUCCAAGCUCGAUAAUGAGGAGAUGGCGCUCAUCAUCAAGAGCUUCCGCCAAAUCCUCAAGCAAAGGAGGGGGAAGGAUUACAAGUCCCGCUCCAAGAAAGGUUGCUACAAGUGUGGUAAGCCCGGUCAUUUCAUUGCUAAAUGUCCAUUAUCAAGUGAUAGUGACAAGGGCGACGAUAAGAAGGGAAGAAGGAAGGAGAAGAAGUACUAUAAGAAGAAGGGCGGCGAUGCCCAUGUUUGCCGGGAGUGGGACUCCGAUGAGAGCUCCACCGACUCUUCCUCCGAUGAGGACACCACAAACAUCGCCGUCAACAAGGGUCUCCUCUUCCCCAACGUCGGCCACAAAUGCCUCAUGGCAAAAGACGGCAAAAAGAAGGUAAAAUCUAGAGCCUCCACUAAAUAUGCAACAUCCAGUGAUGAGGAUAACUCUAGUGAUGAUGAGGAUAAUUUACUUGCCCUUUUUGCCAACCUAAACAUGCAACAAAACGAAAAAUUAAAUGAGUUGAUAGGUUCUAUUCAUGAGAAGGAUGAACUCUUGGAUAGCCAAGAGGACUUCCUAAUUAAAGAAAAUAAGAAGCAUGUUAAGAUUAAGAAUGCUUAUGCUCAAGAGAUAGAAAAAUGUGAAAACUUGACUAGUGAGCUAAGCACUUGCCAUGAUAUUAUCUCAAACCUUAAAAAUUAAAAUGCAAAAUUAAUUGCUAAGGUUGAGAAGUUAGAUAUUUGUGAUGAUUCAAUUGUUAGUCUUAGAAAUGAUAAUGCUAGUUUGAUUACUAAGAUUGACAAGUUGAAUGCAUCACUCUCUAGCCUUAAAAUUGAGAAUGAAAAAUUAAUUGCUAAGGCUAAAGAUUUAAAUGUUUGAAAUAUUUCUAUUUCCAAUCUUAGAGAUGAGAUUGCUAUUUUACAUGCUAAUAUUGAUGAAUUAAAUGCUUGCAAACCCUCUACAUCUACCAUUGAGCAUGUUACUAUUUGUACCAGAUGUAGAGACAUUAAUGUUGAUGCUAUUCAUGAUGACCUAGCCUUAAUUAAACAACAAAAUGUUUUAUUCUUGUUAAAAGAGGUAGAAAAUCUAAAUUUGCUCCUAAGGUUGUAGAAGGUUUUUUACUUGGUUAUGACUCAAACACAAGGGCAUAUAGAGUCUUUAACAAGUCCACUGGACUAGUUGAAAUUUCUUGUGACAUUGUGUUUGAUGAGACUAAUGGCUCUCAAGUAGAGCAAGUUGAUCUUGAUGAGCUAGAUGAUAAAGAGGCUCCGUGCGUCGGGCUAAGGAACAUGUCCAUUGGGGAUGUGUGCCCUAAGGAAUCCGAAGAGCCUCCACAUGCACAAGAUCAACCAUCAUCUUCAAAUCAAGCAUCUCCACCAACCCAAGAUGAGGAUCAAGCUCAAGAUGAUGAAAAUGAAGAUCAAGAAGAGCCACCUCAAGAGGAAGACAAUGAUCAAGGGGGAGAUGCUAAUGAUCAAGACAAGGAAGAUGAUGAGGGUCCAAGACUGCCACACCCAAGAGUCCACCAAGCGAUACAACGAUAUCACCCCGUGAACUCCAUCCUCAGCGAUAUUCAUAAGGGGGUAACCACUCGAUCUCGUGUUGCUCAUUUUUGUGAACAUUACUCCUUUGUGUCUUCUAUUGAGCCAUACAGGGUGGAAGACGCAUUAAGGGAUUCGGAUUGGGUGUUGGCAAUGCAAGAGGAACUCAACAACUUCACGAGGAAUGAGGUAUGGCAUCUUGUUCCACGUCCUAACCAAAAUGUUGUAGGAACCAAAUGGGUUUUCCGCAACAAGAAAGAUGAGCAUGGUGUGGUGACAAGGAACAAAGCCCGACUUAUGGCCAAGGGAUAUUCACAAGUCGAAGAUUUGGAUUUCGGUGAAACCUAUGCACCCGUAGCUAGGCUUGAGUCAAUUCGUAUAUUACUUGCCUAUGCUACUUACCAUGGCUUUAAGCUUUAUCAAAUGGACGUGAAAAGUGCCUUCCUCAAUGGACCAAUCAAGGAAGACGUCUAUAUUGAGCAACCUCCCAGCUUUGAAGAUAGUGAGUACCCUAACCAUGUGUAUAAACUCUCUAAGGCGCUUUAUAGGCUCAAGCAAGCCCCAAGAGCAUGGUAUGAAUGCCUAAGAGAUUUUCUUAUCGCUAAUGGCUUCAAAGUCAGAAAAGCCGAUCCUACUCUCUUUACUAAAACAAUUGCAAAUGAUUUGUUUGUAUGCCAAAUUUAUGUUGAUGAUAUCAUAUUUGGGUCUACUAACAAAUCUACAUGUGAAGAGUUUAGUAGGAUCAUGGUUCAAAAAUUCGAGAUGUCUAUGAUGGGGGAGUUGAAGUAUUUUCUAGGAUUUCAAGUGAAGCAACUCCAAGAGGGCACCUUCAUCAGCCAAACGAAGUACAUUCAAGACAUACUCACCAAGUUUGGGAUGAAGGAUGCCAAGCCCAUCAAGACACCCAUGGGAACCAAUGGGCAUCUCGACCUCGACACGGGAGGUAAAUCUGUAGAUCAAAAGGUAUACCGGUCGAUGAUAGGAUCUCUACUCUAUUUAUGUGCAUCUCGACCGGACAUUAUGCUUUCCGUAUGCAUGUGUGCAAGAUUCCAAGUCGAUCCUAAGGAAGGUCACCUUAGGGCCGUAAAACGAAUCUUGAGAUAUUUAGUUCAUACUCCUAAGUUUGGUCUUUGGUACCCUAAGGGAUCCACUUUUGAUUUAAUAGGGUAUUCAGAUGCUGAUUGGGCAGGGUGUAAACAUGAUAGAAAGAGCACAUCAGGGACUUGUCAGUUCUUGGGAAGAUCCCUGGUGUCUUGGGCUCCAAAGAAACAAAAUUCUGUAGCUCUUUCUACCGCCGAAGCCGAGUACAUUGUCGUAGGUCAUUGUUGCGCGCAAUUGCUUUGGAUGAGGCAAACCCUUAGGGAAUAUGGUUACAAAUUAACCAAAGUUCCUCUCCUAUGUGAUAAUGAGAGUGCAUCCGCAUGGCGGAUAAUCCCGUUGAGCACAGUCGCACUAAGCACAUAGCCAUUCGGUAUCACUUUUUGAGAGAUCACCAACAAAGGGGGAUAUCGAGAUUGCAUAUGUUAGCACCAAAGAACAAUUAGCCGAUAUAUUUACCAAGCCAUUAGAUGAGAAAACUUUUACCAAACUUAGACAUGAGCUAAACAUUCUUGAUUCUAGGAAUUUUGAUUGAUAUUUUGCACACAUAGCUCAUUUAUAUACCUUUGAUCAUAUCUCUUUCAUGUGCUAUGACUAAUGUGUUUUUCAAGUGUAUUUCAUGCUAAGUCAUAGAUUGAAAGGGAAAUGGAGUCUUCGGCGAAGACAAGGCUUCCACUCCACUCCAUCGUAUUAUUCAUCCUUCGUCGUCACUCCACACCGCUCUCCAAUUUGGUAUAAUCUUCACUCAUAUAUUGUUUGCCAAAGGGAGAGAAAGUAAUGAGGGGCUUAUAUUUCACCCAAAGUAUCCGUUUUUGGCGAUUCAUGCCAAAGGGGGAGAAAGUAUUCGCCCAAAGCAAAAGGACCACACCACCACCAAUUUCAAAAAUGUAGUCUUUCAAGUUGUAUUAAAGAAUUCAAGUUGUAUUAAAGAAGUUUUUCAAUUGGUAUCUUAUUUUUGAUAUAAUUUCAAAUUGGUAUGACCUCUUUCAAAAUUAAUAUCUAAAACCCUCUUGAACACUAAGAGGAGAAUUUCAUUAAGGGGGAGUUUUGUUUAGGAAAAACAUUUGAAACAGUGGGAGAAAAUUUCAAAUCUUAAAAUGCUUCUCGAAAUCUUAUUUAUAUACCUUUGACUAUUUGCAAAAAGACUUUGAAAAGAAUUUCCAAAAGAUUUUGCAAAAACAAAACAAGUGGUGCAAGCAUGGUCCAAAAUGUUAAAAUGAAGAAAGCAAUCCAUGCAUAUCUUAUGAAAUGUAAAUUGGUUUAAUUCCAAGCAACCUUUGCACUUACAUUAUGCAAACUAGUAUAAUUCUGCACUUAUAUAUUUGCUUUGGUUUGUGUUGGCAUCAAUCACCAAAAAGGGGGAGAUUGAAAGGGAAAUAUGGUCAAACCUUUUCCUAAAUGAUUUUGGUGGUUGAAUUGCCCAACACAAAUAAUUGGACUAACUAGUUUGCUCUAGAUUAUAAGUUCUACAGGUGCCAAAGGUUCAACACAAACCAAUAAAAAGUCCAAGAAAGGGUUCAAAAAAAAGAGCAAAAGACAACCGAAGGCUGCCAUGGUUUGGCGCACCGGACAGUGUCCGGUGCACUAGGGUGGAUCAACUCCAACUUGCUAGCUUUGGGUUUUCGGGGAGCCUCUCCUCUAUAAUUCACCGGACUGUCCGGUGUGCCAUGCGGAGCAACGGCUAACAGCACCAACAGUCAUCUGUAAAAGGUGAAGAGUGAGCUACAGUGUGUGAACAGUUCACGCAGAAGUCAGAGCAGCGCCAGAAGGCGCACCGGACAGUGAACAGGACCGGUCCGGUGCACCACCGGACUGUCCGGUGGCCCCACAUGUCAGAGCUCCAACGGUCGAACCCUAACGGUUGGGUGAUGUGGCUGGCGCACCGGACCCUUCGACAGCAGCCUUCCCUAACGGCCACUUUGGUGGUUGGGGCUAUAAAUACCCCCAACCACCACACUUCAAGGCAUCCAAGUUUUCAGCCAACACAUUCAAUACAAGAUCUAGUGCAUUCAAUACAAGACACAAAUAGAGUGAAUAAAAAUCUCUCUAAGUCCCAAUUCCACUCAAAGCAAUAGUGACUAGAAGAGAGAAUUUUGUCGUGUUCUUUUGAGCUCUUGCGCUUGGAUCGCUUUUCUUCUUCCCCAUUUCUUGUUCCCAAGUCAUUUGUAAUCAAAGCAAGAGACACCAAUUGUGUGGUGGUCCUUGUGAGGACUAAGUGUCCCAAUUAAUUGAGAAGAGAAGCUCACUCGGUCUAGGUGACCGUUUGACAGAGGGAAAGGGUUGAAAGAGACCCGGUCUUUGUGACCACCUCAACGGGGAGUAGGUUUGCAAGAACCGAACCUCGUUAAAACAAAUCACCGUGUCAUCCACCUUAUUUGCUUGUGAUUUGUUUUUUGCCCUCUCUUUCGGACUCGACUUUAUUUCUAACGCUAACCCUGGCUUGUAGUUGUGCUUAAACUUUAUAAAUUUCAGAUUUGCCUAUUCACCCCCCCUCUAGGCGACUUUCAGGUGGCACAUCUGUACCCAUGAGUCACGAUUCCCUUCUAGCCCGGGUUAGCUAGACCCGUAUUCACUUCCGAGGUGAAUGGCUAGGGUCUCACUACGAGGCUUUUCCCUAGAGUUCUCAUUAUGCAAAUGCUGGAAAUGGUCAACUGCAUAAGGUACACCUAACGUAACCAAUUUAUAGUCUAGACUACAGGGUAAAGCUUUGGGAACUAUGCCCGUAUCCAAUCUGCCUGAGCCGAAACUAUAAGCGCUUGCAAGAUGCCCCCGUUCCGGUCGACCAUGACUGUAACGCCCCGAAUUUUGCAGUUGAAUUUUUUCUUUUCUUUACUCGCCAAAAUUCGGGCGUUACCUUUUCUUUUUCUUUUUCCCUUCGCUAAACCUUGACCUUUUCCAAAGUUCUAGCGGGAUUCGGUUUGGAAUUCCCGUGUAAGAAAAACCCUAAAUACUUUAUGUUGUUUGAUGCACCAUGCCGAACCUUGCAUUUCUUUUGAUUGCUUUGAAAGCGCAAUUGCAUUCAUGUAGAAAGAUCGGAUUUCGAAAAUGAGGAGAAGAUCUUUUCUUUCUUUUUUCUCUCUCUCUUUCUCUCUCCUCUUUUUCUCUCUCUCCCGCGCCGUGGGCCGACCCCGGCCGGCCCAGCCGCCCCUGGCGCCCCCUCUUGGGCCCAAAAAGGCCCAGCCGCCCCCCCCCCUCAUCCCCCCUUUUUUCCCCAAACCCUCUCCCUCUCCCUCUCAUUUUCUCUCAUUUUCUCUCCCCCACCCUAAGCCGCCGCCGCCUCUACCCCCUGCCCUAAGCCGCCGCCGCCCCCUGCUCGGCCGCCGCUCCCCGCCGUCGGCCAACCCCGCCGGUGAGCCCCCCCCCCUCCUCCCUCUCUCCCUCCUCCCUCCCUCUCCCCUCUCCCCUCCUCCCUCCCCUUGGCAGCCCAGCCGCCCGGCCCCCUGGCCGCGCGCCCUGGCCGGCCGCUGCCGCCCCCUGGCCGCGCGCCCUGGCCGGCCGCUGCCGCGCCCUGGCCGCGCCCAGCCGGCCGCUGCCGCGCCCUGGCCGGUCCCGGCCGCCCCCAGCCCGCCCUGGCCGCGCCCCCUGCGCAGGGCCGGUUCAACCGCCCCUAGGGCCGGUUCAACCGCCCCUAGGGCCGGUUCAACCGCCCCCCCCUCUGUUUUUUUUAUUUUUUUAUUUUAUUUUAUUUACUUUCUGUGAUCAUAGCUAUUUUAUUUUAGGUAAGCUAAUCAUUGUUCAUGCCAUUGAAAUAGGAAGUUUAAUUUAAAAUUCCGUUAUGCUAGUUGAUUCAUGUAGUUAAUUGUUUACCUCGUGCAAUGUUGAUCAACUUAAAAUGAUUAGGUUUCCAUUAGUGUAUAUGUAACAGAAUUCUUUUGUUAAGAACCAAUUGUAAUUGAUCGUUAGUGCAUAAGAUUUAACCCCCUGCGAGACCCUUUCCUGUUUCUUUCUAACCAUAACAAAUGCGAUAUCGAAUGUCAUACUUGAUGCAUACUCACUUUAUUUGUUCCCUUGUAUGGUGUACUGUUCUUUUGUAUUAAAUGUGGAUGGAUGUAUGUAUGUUUGCAAUCGCAUAGAGAACGAUCCGGUCGAAGAGCCCGAGGAAUUCGCAGGAGAAGCCCCUGAGCAGCAGUCAGGUGGUGGAGGCAAGUGUCCUUUGACCUAUCUCUGUCCUAUUCAUUAUUUAAUUCACCUCCCGCAUUACACCUUUAUACCUAAGGAUUGACUAGCUUUUGUUAUCCAUGUCCUUGUUUACCUAUUUGGGUUGGAUUAUUACUGUUUAGCCUUAUGCUAUUGCUCAACUCUAAUCAAUGAACAUGAUGAGAUUAUCUAUGAUACGCUGUUUUCCCUUCUCUUAUUAUGAUGUUGUACUUGUGGUAUUCAAGGGGGCUCGAGCGGUUUCUCGAGUGCCUCUCCGUAAGGACCUGUUCUAUGGAUGACCGCCCGGGAAAACAGUGCAACCAUGAGGGUGGAAUGGGAUGCCCUUAGCUGAAUAAUUAGAGGAUCCGGGGUGUAGUUCACUUAGCUGUCGUGCCGUCAAUGGGGCUCGGUGUAUGCGGCUCGCUCUGCCAAGUUUGGGUUCGCCCCUUGGGGAGGAGUGCGGUGCAUUUAGGAAACCUAACGGGUGGCUACAGCCCCGGGGAAUCUUUGUAAAGGCUACGUAGUGAAACCCUGCCUAUUCACCUUGGUAGUGUUUAAGGGUUUGAUCGGCCCGAGGCAAGAGGGAAUCACGGCUUGUGGGUAAAGUGCACAACCUCUGCAGAGUGUUAUGAAACUGAUAUAUCAGCCGUGCUCGCGGUUAUGAGCGGCCAAGGGAGCUCCAGUGAUUAGUGGUACUUGAUAAGAGACCUUUUGGUUUACAGGUGGCAAUGAGAUUGAUGGUUUUGGUUAUGACUAUGGUGCUGGUAAGUGGUAUUCUUUCCGUUUGGAAAGGGUACAUCGGGUUAAUAACUUGGGUUAAUGCUAAAACUUGGCUUUCUACUAGUAAAUAAUAAUCUGACCAACUAAAAGCAACUGCUUGACUUAUCCCCACAUAAAGCUAGUCCACUACAGCCAAACAGGAUACUUGCUGAGUAUGUUGAUGUGUACUCACCCUUGCUCUACACACCAAACCCCCCCCCCAGGUUGUCAGCAUUGCAACCACUGCUCAGGCGAAGAUGAAGCUGUGGAAGGAGACUUCCAGGAGUUCCAAGACUACGACGAGUUCUAGGUGUGGGUUAGCGGCAACCCCCAGUCGGCUGCCUGUGAAGGCCGCGUUAUCUACGUUUCUUUUCCGCACUUUGAUUUAUUGUAAGAACUAUAUGGACGUCUCAGACGUAUGAUGUAAUCGACUAUUUCCCUUAUUAAUACUAUUUUGAGCACUGUGUGAUGAUGUCCAUAUUAUGUAACUGCUGUGUACGUGAAUAACUGAUCCUGGCACGUACAUGGUUCGCAUUCGGUUUGCCUUCUAAAACCGGGUGUGACAUAAGUGGUAUCAAAGUCGUGCUGAUUGUAGGACCGCUAACCUAGAGUAGAAUGGCCGUUCUAAGGACUAUAGACCUCUGUCUCUGCCUUGACUUUGAUAUCCCUUCAAAAGUUGGUCAUAUCGACCAAACCUAUGUUCUACUAUAUAUUAUACCUUGCUGAAAACCAUGUUUUAUUCUAAUCCUUCAUCUAUUUAUGAUUCAUUACUUGCUGGUCAUAUUAAUUCUGUUCUCACCCUUUUGCUUGCGAUGUCUUUUGUAGAUGGCUCGACUUAGACACACUGCACGAAAGUCAGUCAUCCCCUUCUUACCCUCCCGCCUUGCUGAGCGUCCGCUUCGCCGUCCCGUGGCCGGACAGUCCAGCCACUUGGAGAGACUACACCACCGCCUGCAUGAGGAGCAGGAGCGUCGACGACAGGAGCAGCAGAGCUCUUCCUUCUCGCUCCACCAGGAGAUAGAGUCUGUGAGGAGCUGCUCCCCUGUGCUUCCUCUGGAGCCGCCCCCUGCACCACCACUGGGCACCCCAGCUUCUGGAGUAGCUGCUGGAGGAGACCCAGACGACGGAGAUGGCGACGACAGCUCGAGCCACGACACCGACUUCUCUACUAACCUUGAGCCGGAAGGAUGGGUUGCUUGACCCAUCACUCGCGACGCUGCUCGCGGGUGUCACUUCCACGAUGCGCUCGACACCCUGCUACGUCGGGCAUUUGACCGGCAUACUUGGUCCGUCGAGUAUCGCUGUGUGGUCUACCAGCAUAGUCGCGGGGUCUACCCGGACCGCUGGGAGGCGACUUGCUUGGUGCGCUGCCCGGAGAACAGUCUCCAGGGUGCAGAGGCCUGUUCAGAGCACUAUUCUAUUUCUGAGCGGGACUCAGCUGAGGCAGCCAUGCAAGAUGCUGCACGGCGUGCUCUUUCGCACUACUGCUCGGUUUUCGAUGGGGCAGCUGACGGUCUUGACCUGAAGUAUUACCCCCGCCGUCCAUCUGGCAGCACAGGAGGCGUGAUUGUCUCACCUGUCGGUGAGGGCAAUCCUAGGUUGAGCAGCACAGUCAACCUAGCCGCCGUGCUAAACACGGAGCUGGACCAUGCAUUAGACGAGCUGAGUAGGGCUCGUGCUGAGAUCGCCCUGCUGCGGGCUGAGCGCGCGGAACGUCGUCACUUGGAUGGUGGUUCCCCCGCUCCCGUUGGGACUCAGCACCCGUACCGCUCACCUCAGCGUGGACACCAGUCUUAUGGCAAUCCCGACUGCAAGACCAAGAUAACUCUAGAACCAUAGAUCGUUAGAGUUGGAUCUUGUAAUUAAUACGAAAAAUAUACGUAGAAGCUUCAGUCUUAGCGUUAGUCUCAGUCUUAGUUAGUCUUAGUUAGACAGGGUAGUUUGCUAUAUCCUGUGCAUUUAUGUUUGUCAUGAUGAACUAUGAUUGGUUUGGAUCUUUGUAAUGAUUGCCACCAGAGUGUGGGUAUCCCCUGCAUUUUGGUUUACCUAUUAUGUUAAUAAAGUUAGUUAUAUAGUUGGGAAACCUUUUAUUCCACUUUCCUUUCUAUCUGAGAAGUUGUGUGGUCUGUGUUGGAGAUCAGUGAAGAUGCUCAUCUGUUCAGUGCUGUUGAAGAAUUCUAUACUCUUCUCUUAUGCUGCAAGAUUUGCCAGAUCAGUUCUGAUGUGUGGUUGCAUUCUGCAGAUGUCAGAGAAUAGGCGCAGAGGAGGAAGGCGUGCUCAGCAGGAGCGAGCCGCUCAACAGGAGGAGGCGCCCCAGCAGCAGCAGCUGCCACCCCCGCCCCCGAUGUCCAUCGAGCAGAUGUUUCUGAUGCAGACUCAGGCAGUUCAAGCCAUCGGUCAGACUUUGGCCGCCAUUCAGCAGCAGCAGCAGCAACAGCAGCAAGCACCACCUCAGCCUCAGAUGCCUCAGAUGCCCAGAGACAAGCGUGCUGAAUUCAUGAGAGGUCAUCCACCAACGUUCGCUCACUCUUCUGACCCUAUGGAUGCUGAAGAUUGGCUGCGCACUGUGGAGCGGGAGUUGCAUACCGCUCAGUGCGAUGACAGGGAGAAAGUUCUGUAUGGUCCCCGUCUGUUGAGAGGAGCAGCCCAGUCAUGGUGGGAGUCUUACCUCGCCACCCAUGCCCACCCUGACACCAUCACCUGGGAAGAAUUCAGAGGUAGCUUUCGUCAGUACCAUGUUCCUGCAGGUCUGAUGACAGUGAAGAAAGAGGAGUUCCUGGCUCUCAAGCAAGGGCCAUUGUCGGUCAGUGAGUACCGAGACAGGUUUCUGCAACUGUCUCGUUAUGCUCCUGAAGAUGUCAAUACCGACGCCAAGCGACAGUACCGUUUUCUGAGAGGCUUGGUUGACCCUCUGCAGUAUCAGCUGAUGAACCACACCUUCCCGACAUUCCAGCACCUGAUUGAUAGAGCAAUCAUGACGGAGAGAAAGCGCAAGGAGAUGGAAGAUCGUAAGCGCAAGAUCAGUGGACCGCAGUCUGGAAGCAGCAGUCGUCCUCGUUUCUCAGGCAAUCAACCUCAGCAGUUCAGGCAGAACCAGCGUCCACCUCAGCAGCAUCAGCAGUUUCAAAGGCAGUAUCCUCAGAAUCAGUACCAGAACCGUCAGAGCAAUCAGUCAGGAGGUCAGUUUCAAAGGCAGAAUCAGCAGGCCCCUCGUCUUCCUGCCCCAGCAAACCAGCAGAACAGUCAGGCAGCACCAGCUCAGGUUGGAAACAGGGCAUGUUUCCACUGUGGAGAGCAAGGCCACUGGGUGAUGCAAUGUCCGAAGAAGGCAGCCCAGCAGCAGUCAGGCCCCAAUGCCCCAGCAAAGCAGAAUGUGUCUCAGCCUGGAGCAGGCAAUCGCUCUCAGCCGCGUUACAAUCAUGGGAGACUGAACCACUUGGAGGCGGAAGCAGUUCAGGAGACCCCCGACAUGAUAGUAGGUAUGUUCCCAGUCGACUCCCAUAUUGCAGAAGUGUUAUUUGAUACUGGAGCAACGCAUUCUUUCAUUACUGCAUCAUGGGUAGAAGCACAUAAUCUUCCAACUACUACCAUGUCAACCCCCAUUCAAAUUGACUCAGCCGGUGGUAGAAUUCGAGCCGAUAGCAUUUGUUUGAAUAUAAGUGUGAAAAUAAGGGGGAUAGCAUUUCCCGCCAACCUUAUAGUAAUGGGUACUCAGGGAAUAGAUGUCAUCCUGGGGAUGAAUUGGUUAGAUAAGUAUCAGGCAGUUAUCAGUUGUGAUAAAAGGACAAUCAAGUUGGUGUCCCCAGUAGGAAAGGAAGUGGUGACCGAACUAGUCCCGCCUGAGCCAAAGAAAGGAGGUUGUUAUCAGAUGGUUGUCGAUAGCAGUGAAGCAGAUCCAAUUGAGAGUAUCAAGGUUGUGUCUGAAUUCCCAGAUGUGUUUCCAAAGGACUUACCGGGUAUGCCACCAGAGCGGAAAGUUGAGUUUGCUAUAGAGCUUCUUCCUGGAACCGCCCCUAUCUUCAAGAGAGCUUACAGAAUAUCUGGACCAGAGUUGGUUGAGCUUAAGAAGCAAAUUGAUGAGCUGUCAGAGAAAGGUUACAUUCGGCCAAGCACCUCGCCUUGGGCCGCCCCUGUCCUAUUUGUGGAGAAGAAAGAUGGCACCAAGAGGAUGUGUAUUGAUUAUCGAGCUUUGAAUGAGGUCACGAUCAAGAACAAGUAUCCCUUGCCCAGAAUAGAAGAUCUGUUCGACCAGUUGAGAGGAGCCAGUGUGUUCUCCAAGAUUGAUCUGAGGUCAGGUUAUCAUCAGCUCAGGAUCCGACCUUCGGACAUUCCGGAGACGGCAUUCAUUUCCAAGUAUGGGUUGUAUGAGUUCACAGUGAUGUCUUUUGGUUUGACCAAUGCGCCAGCAUUCUUCAUGAACUUGAUGAACAGUGUAUUCAUGGAUUACCUUGAUAAGUUUGUGGUGGUAUUCAUUGAUGACAUUCUGGUUUAUUCUCAAAGCGAAGAAGAGCACGCAGAUCAUUUGAGGAUGGUGUUGCAGAGAUUGCGAGAGCACCAGUUGUACGCAAAGUUGAGCAAAUGUGAGUUCUGGAUCAGUGAAGUCCUGUUCUUGGGUCACGUAAUCAACAAAGAAGGAUUGGCUGUGGAUCCGAAGAAAGUGGCGGACAUUUUGAACUGGAAAGCGCCAACAGAUGCUAGAGGAAUCAAGAGCUUCAUUGGAAUGGCCGGAUAUUAUCGGCGAUUCAUUGAAGGGUUUUCGAAGAUUGCGAAACCAAUGACAGCGUUGCUAGGCAACAAAGUUGAGUUCAAGUGGACCCAGAAAUGUCAAGAGGCCUUUGAAGCGCUGAAAGAGAAGUUGACUACAGCGCCUGUCCUAGUCUUGCCCGAUGUGCACAAGCCCUUUUCGGUGUAUUGUGAUGCUUGUUACACAGGUUUGGGAUGUGUGUUGAUGCAAGAGGGAAGAGUUGUGGCUUACUCGUCCCGACAGCUGAAGGUUCAUGAGAAGAACUACCCAAUCCAUGACCUAGAGUUGGCAGCAGUGGUUCACGCACUGAAGACAUGGAGGCACUAUCUGUAUGGACAGAAAUGCGAUGUUUACACAGACCACAAGAGUCUGAAGUACAUAUUCACUCAGUCAGAGUUGAACAUGAGGCAACGAAGAUGGUUAGAGCUGAUCAAAGACUAUGAGUUGGAGAUUCAUUACCAUCCAGGCAAAGCAAACGUAGUGGCAGAUGCUUUAAGCAGAAAAAGUCAAGUCAAUCUGAUGGUUGCUCGUCCGAUGCCUUAUGAGUUGGCCAAGGAGUUCGACAGGUUGAGUCUCGGAUUUCUGAACAAUUCGCGAGGAGUCACAGUUGAGUUGGAACCUACCUUGGAGCGUGAAAUCAAAGGAGCGCAAAAGAAUGAUGAGAAAAUCAGUGAGAUCCGGCGACUGAUUCUAGAAGGCAAAGGCAAAGAUUUUCGAGAAGAUGCAGAAGGCGUGAUAUGGUUCAAAGACCGCUUAUGUGUUCCCAAUGUCCAGUCCAUUCGGGAGUUGAUUCUUAAGGAAGCUCAUGAGACAGCUUAUUCGAUUCACCCUGGCAGUGAGAAGAUGUAUCAGGAUCUGAAGAGGAAAUUCUGGUGGUACGGAAUGAAGAGGGAAAUCGCAGAGCAUGUGGCUAUGUGUGAUAGUUGUCGAAGAAUUAAGGCAGAACACCAGAGACCUGCUGGAUUGUUGCAACCGUUGCAGAUCCCUCAGUGGAAAUGGGAUGAAAUUGGUAUGGAUUUCAUAGUCGGAUUGCCUCGCACUCGAGCCGGCUACGAUUCUAUUUGGGUAGUGGUGGACCGUUUGACCAAGUCAGCCCACUUCAUACCUGUCAAGACCAGCUACAACAGUGCAGUAUUGGCAGAGUUGUACAUGUCUCGGAUCGUUUGUCUUCAUGGUGUGCCAAAGAAGAUAGUGUCAGACAGAGGAACACAGUUCACCUCUCAUUUCUGGCAGCAGUUGCAUGAAGCCUUGGGCACACAUCUGAAUUUCAGUUCAGCUUAUCACCCGUAGACAGAUGGUCAGACUGAAAGAACCAAUCAAAUUCUUGAAGACAUGUUGAGAGCCUGUGCGUUGCAAGAUCAGUCCGGAUGGGACAAGCGAUUGCCUUAUGCAGAGUUUUCCUAUAACAACAGUUACCAGGCCAGUUUGAAGAUGUCACCAUUUCAGGCGCUCUAUGGAAGGAGUUGCAGAACUCCGUUGCAAUGGGAUCAGCCUGGAGAGAAGCAAGUGUUUGGGCCAGACAUUUUGCUUGAAGCCGAAGAGAACAUCAAGAUGGUUCGAGAGAAUCUGAAGAUAGCGCAAUCGAGGCAGCGAAGCUAUGCAGACACAAGAAGAAGAGAGCUGAGUUUUGAAGUCGGAGAUUUUGUCUAUCUGAAAGUGUCACCGAUCAGAGGAGUCAGAAGAUUCGGAGUGAAAGGCAAGCUAGCACCCCGCUACAUUGGUCCGUAUCAGAUUCUUGCAAGACGUGGAGAAGUGGCCUAUCAGCUCAGUUUGCCCGAGAAUUUGUCUGCUGUGCAUGAUGUCUUUCAUGUGUCUCAGUUGAAGAAGUGCUUGCGUGUGCCAGAAGAGCAGUUGCCAGUGGAAGGUCUUGAAGUCCAGGAGGACUUGACCUAUGUUGAGAAGCCAGCUCAGAUCCUUGAGAUUGCAGACAGAGUCACCCGAAGGAAGACCAUCAGAAUGUGCAAAGUCAGAUGGAAUCACCACUCUGAGGAAGAAGCAACCUGGGAGCGUGAAGAUGAUCUGAUGGCCAAGUACCCAGAGCUCUUUGCUAGCCAGCCCUGAAUCUCGAGGGCGAGAUUCUUUUAAGGGGGAUAGGUUUGUAACGCCCCGAAUUUUGCAGUUGAAUUUUUUCUUUUCUUUACUCGCCAAAAUUCGGGCGUUACCUUUUCUUUUUCUUUUUCCCUUCGCUAAACCUUGACCUUUUCCAAAGUUCUAGCGGGAUUCGGUUUGGAAUUCCCGUGUAAGAAAAACCCUAAAUACUUUAUGUUGUUUGAUGCACCAUGCCGAACCUUGCAUUUCUUUUGAUUGCUUUGAAAGCGCAAUUGCAUUCAUGUAGAAAGAUCGGAUUUCGAAAAUGAGGAGAAGAUCUUUUCUUUCUUUUUUCUCUCUCUCUUUCUCUCUCCUCUUUUUCUCUCUCUCCCGCGCCGUGGGCCGACCCCGGCCGGCCCAGCCGCCCCUGGCGCCCCCUCUUGGGCUCAAAAAGGCCCAGCCGCCCCCCCCCCCCCUCAUCCCCCCUUUUUUCCCCAAACCCUCUCCCUCUCCCUCUCAUUUUCUCUCAUUUUCUCUCCCCCACCCUAAGCCGCCGCCGCCUCUACCCCCUGCCCUAAGCCGCCACCGCCCCCUGCUCGGCCGCCGCUCCCCGCCGUCGGCCAACCCCGCCGGUGAGCCCCCCCCCCCCCCCCUCCUCCCUCUCUCCCUCCUCCCUCCCUCUCCCCUCUCCCCUCUCCCCUCCUCCCUCCCCUUGGCAGCCCAGCCGCCCGGCCCCCUGGCCGCGCGCCCUGGCCGGCCGCUGCCGCCCCCUGGCCGCGCGCCCUGGCCGGCCGCUGCCGCGCCCUGGCCGGUCCCGGCCGCCCCCAGCCCGCCCUGGCCGCGCCCCCUGCGCAGGGCCGGUUCAACCGCCCCUAGGGCCGGUUCAACCGCCCCCCCUCUGUUUUUUUUAUUUUUUUUAUUUUAUUUUAUUUACUUUCUGUGAUCAUAGCUAUUUUAUUUUAGGUAAGCUAAUCAUUGUUUAUGCCAUUGAAAUAGGAAGUUUAAUUUAAAAUUCCGUUAUGCUAGUUGAUUCAUGUAGUUAAUUGUUUACCUCGUGCAAUGUUGAUCAACUUAAAAUGAUUAGGUUUCCAUUAGUGUAUAUGUAACAGAAUUCUUUUGUUAAGAACCAAUUGUAAUUGAUCGUUAGUGCAUAAGAUUUAACCCCCUGCGAGACCCUUUCCCGUUUCUUUCUAACCAUAACAAAUGCGAUAUCGAAUGUCAUACUUGAUGCAUACUCACUUUAUUUGUUCCCUUGUAUGGUGUACUGUUCUUUUGUAUUAAAUGUGGAUGGAUGUAUGUAUGUUUGCAAUCGCAUAGAGAACGAUCCGGUCGAAGAGCCCGAGGAAUUCGCAGGAGAAGCCCCUGAGCAGCAGUCGGGUGGUGGAGGCAAGUGUCCUUUGACCUAUCUCUGUCCUAUUCAUUAUUUAAUUCACCUCCCGCAUUACACCUUUAUACCUAAGGAUUGACUAGCUUUUGUUAUCCAUGUCCUUGUUUACCUAUUUGGGUUGGAUUAUUACUGUUUAGCCUUAUGCUAUUGCUCAACUCUAAUCAAUGAACAUGAUGAGAUUAUCUAUGAUACGCUGUUUUCCCUUCUCUUAUUAUGAUGUUGUACUUGUGGUAUUCAAGGGGGCUCGAGCGGUUUCUCGAGUGCCUCUCCGUAAGGACCUGUUCUAUGGAUGACCGCCCGGGAAAACAGUGCAACCAUGAGGGUGGAAUGGGAUGCCCUUAGCUGAAUAAUUAGAGGAUCCGGGGUGUAGUUCACUUAGCUGUCGUGCCGUCAAUGGGGCUCGGUGUAUGCGGCUCGCUCUGCCAAGUUUGGGUUCGCCCCUUGGGGAGGAGUGCGGUGCAUUUAGGAAACCUAACGGGUGGCUACAGCCCCGGGGAAUCUUUGUAAAGGCUACGUAGUGAAACCCUGCCUAUUCACCUUGGUAGUGUUUAAGGGUUUGAUCGGCCCGAGGCAAGAGGGAAUCACGGCUUGUGGGUAAAGUGCACAACCUCUGCAGAGUGUUAUGAAACUGAUAUAUCAGCCGUGCUCGCGGUUAUGAGCGGCCAAGGGAGCUCCAGUGAUUAGUGGUACUUGAUAAGAGACCUUUUGGUUUACAGGUGGCAAUGAGAUUGAUGGUUUUGGUUAUGACUAUGGUGCUGGUAAGUGGUAUUCUUUCCGUUUGGAAAGGGUACAUCGGGUUAAUAACUUGGGUUAAUGCUAAAACUUGGCUUUCUACUAGUAAAUAAUAAUCUGACCAACUAAAAGCAACUGCUUGACUUAUCCCCACAUAAAGCUAGUCCACUACAGCCAAACAGGAUACUUGCUGAGUAUGUUGAUGUGUACUCACCCUUGCUCUACACACCAAACCCCCCCCAGGUUGUCAGCAUUGCAACCACUGCUCAGGCGAAGAUGAAGCUGUGGAAGGAGACUUCCAGGAGUUCCAAGACUACGACGAGUUCUAGGUGUGGGUUAGCGGCAACCCCCAAUCGGCUGCCUGUGAAGGCCGCGUUAUCUACGUUUCUUUUCCGCACUUUGAUUUAUUGUAAGAACUAUAUGGACGUCUCAGACGUAUGAUGUAAUCGACUAUUUCCCUUAUUAAUACUAUUUUGAGCACUGUGUGAUGAUGUCCAUAUUAUGUAACUGCUGUGUACGUGAAUAACUGAUCCUGGCACGUACAUGGUUCGCAUUCGGUUUGCCUUCUAAAACCGGGUGUGACAAUGACCAACACCCAACAUAAGACUUCCCUAGUUAUUUAGCCAAGGGCGUUCCAUACCACCCUCAUGGUAGCACUGUUUUCCCGGGUGGUCACUCCAUGUUCCAGUUAAUAUGCAAUAAUCUUGUUUAACCAUCGGGUUAACAACAAUAAUGUAAACUUACCAUUUGGAACAUUAGUAUCAUACAGGAGUGACUGCAUAAAUUUAAAGUUGUAGCAAUAGCAUAGCUACUUGAUUAGAUCAUAAUCCCGGUUUAAACAAGGAGUAAGGUUGGAAAUGUUAGGUGUAUCUAAAUAGGUAACCCAUCAAAUUAUACAUAUAUAUCCAAGAAUAAACUUUAUUAAAUGUAUUGUUUGGGAUCAAAUAGAGUAUGCAGAGGGAGAAGUCCACUUGCCUUGCUUAUAGAAAACUUGAGGUUCUUCCACGGAUAGGAAUAGAUCUUGAUUCUUAACUACUAGAUCAACCACUGAAUAUCACACAAACAAACAAGAAGAAACAAACACCACUCAAUAACAUACAACAUUCACUAUACGCCAAGCUAAAAGAAAGCUUAACGAAAAGAGCAUUCGUUUUUCAAAAACGUCGCAAGUAAUGGUUAUAAUAAGGGGGUAUUCUUUUCAAAAAUGUGUGAUCUAUACUUUAUAAAACAAGACAUGAGCUUAAAAAUAUCUUAAUUAAAAUAUACAAGUAUUAGGUUCACCAAAUUAAUCUUUUAUAAAAUGUUAUAUGUGAUAUGUCUAAGAUUAAGGGUUUAUAAGAUGAUAAAACACGUUAUAACAAUAUUAAACCUUUUUAACCUUUUAGAAAAGAUAUAAGUUAUAUAUCUAAGGUUAAUGGGCUACGAAACACGUUAUUAAUUUUGGAAUCAUUAUGUAACAUCUUAUAAAUCAUUGUUAAACAUUCACUUAUGAUAAACUAAGAUAUAAGUCUAAAUAGGUUUUAUGUGAAAAGAUCAUUAUUAUUAAACACCUAUUUUAUGAAAAACUAGGUUAUAGGCCCUUAAGUGGAUUGUCGUGUAAAAGAUAAUGAACAAAUAACUAUCUUUUAAUUUCAUUAGAAAACACAUAGCCUAUAUUAUUAUAUUUGAAGUCAAUAUAUAAAGUAACAUUUUAAGUUAUAAAAGUGUCGGGGACCAUAAUUAGGGGUACCCCCAAGACUCCUAAUCUCAGCUGGUAACCCCCAUCAGCACAAAGCUACAAAGGCCUGAUGGGUGCGAUUAAGUCAAGGCUCGGUCCACUCAAGGGACACGACCUCGCCUCGCCCGAGCCCAGUCUCGGGCAAGGGCAGCCGACCCUGGAGGAUUCAUGUCUCGCCCGAAGACCCCCUCAAGCGACAAACACACCUUCGGCUCGCCCGAGGCCCAAUCUUUGCCAAGAAGCAACCUUGGCCAGAUCGCCACGCCAACCGACCGUAUCGCAGGAGCAUUUAAUGCAAAGGUGGCCUGACACCUUAUCUUGACACGCGCCCCUCAGUCGACAGAGCCGAAGUGACCGCAGUCACUUCGUCGCUCCACUGACCGACCUGACAAGAGGACAGCGCCGCCUGCGUCGCUCUGACUGCUGUGCCGCUCGAUAGAGUGAGGCGAACAGCAGCCAAGUCCGGCCUCGGGCGCCAUAGGAAGCUCCGCCUCGCCCGACCCCAGGGCUCGGACCCGGCCUCGGCCCCGGAAGACGAUGAACUCUGCCUCGCCCGACCCCAGGGCUCGGACUCGGCCUUGGCUCCGGAAGACGACGAACUCCGCCUCGCCCGACCCUAGGGCUCGGACUCAGCCCUAGCCUCAGCCGACGGUCUCCUCCUCGCCCGACCUGGGGCUCGGACUUGACCUCGACCUCGGAAGACAGACUCGACCUCGACCUCGGAGGAGCCUCCGCCUCGCCCGACCUAGGGCUCAGACUGACCACGUCACAAGGGGGGCCAUCAUUACCCUACCCCUAGCUAGCUCAGGCUACGGGGAACAAGACCGGCGUCCCAUCUGGCUCGCCCCGGUAAACAAAUAAUGAUGGCGCCCUGCGUGCUCCAUGACGACGGCGGCUCUCAGCCCCUUACGGAAGCAAGGAGACGUCAGCAAGGACUCGACAGCCCCAACUGCUGUCCUUCCGCAAGGCUCCAACGCUCCUCCGACGGCCACGACAUCACAUGAACAGGGUGCCAAAACCUCUCUAGCUGCCACGACGGCAUGUACUUAGGGCGCUAGCUCCUCUAUGCUAGACAUGUUAGCACAUUGCUACACUCCCCAUUGUACACCUGGACCCUCUCCUUACGCCUAUAAAAGGAAGGUCCAGGGCUCCCUUACGAGGAGGUUGGCCGCGCGGAGAGGACGGGACGGCGCGCGCAGGCCUCUCGCUCCCUCCCGCGCGGACGCUUGUAACCCCCUACUGCAAGCGCACCCGACCUGGGCGCGGGACAAACACGAAGGUCGCGGGUUUCCCCUUUACGCAUGUCUCCUUGUUUCCCCCCUUCGCGCUCCAUCUCGCGCCGACCCAUCUGGGCUGGGGCACGCGGCGAUAGUUUACUCGUCGGUCCAGGGACCCCCCAGGGUCGGAACGCCGACAGUUGGCGUGCCAGGUAGGGGCCUGCUGCGUGUUGACGAACAGCUUCCCGUCAAGCUCCAGAUGGGCAGUCUCCAGCAACCUCUCCAGCCCGGGAUGGUGCUCCGUUUCAGGAGUCUUGAGUUCAUGUCCCUCGACGGCAGCUACGACAUGAUACUCCUUCCUCCGCCGCACGACAGCGACAAUGGCGGUCGAUAACCCGCCCGCCGGCGGCGGAAUCGACGACGUCUUCCCCACGUGGCAGAAGAACAACAUUCGGGUUUGUCCCGUCGCCUCCCCCGCCGACGGAGGAGGAGGCGGGGCAACCAAGGCCAAGCAGGAGGCGGCACCUCAUCGGCUGUCGAGCGAAUCGACGGCGCCGGCGCCCCAACGGGGGACACGUCGGGCGUCGACCUCGCGUCUGAGACGAAGACGAGUGUCGUUUCCCCGCAACACGCCAACUCCAAGUGGACGGACGAUGCCAGCACACUCGCAAAGGGCUUGCUGGGCGUCACCCUCGUACCCGAGAUGAUGGUGCAGUCUGCCCCUGACGCGACUUCGUCACCGCCCGUCGACCAGGAGGUACCGACCGAUUCCCAUCUCGUGCCUUUUAGAUUCAGCCUCGACCCACCAAACGACUUCGCUUCGGUGGAAGCCUUCAUAGAGGCAUGUCCAAACCCUCCAGGGUACGGUAUGCGGUCACCCCGGGACCGGCUGACAGCCGUCUCGACCUGUGGGCCCUCGGGUUCCGAGGAAGAUGACGAGCCUGACUUUUGUUGGGAUUUCUUUGGACUUGGUAACCCCAGUGCCAUGCGGGACUUCAUGACCGCAUGCGACUACUGCCUUUCUGACUGUUCCGACGGUAGCCGCAGCCUCGGCGACGAGGACUACGGCCCAAGUCGUGAAUGUUUCCACGUCGAUCUAGGGGGUCCCGGCGAAGGCAACCAUCUUGGUAUACCAGAAAACGGUGAUGCCCCUAGGCCUGCGCCUCGCGUUGACAUCCUUCGGGAGCUAGCUGUGGUCCCAGUCCCUACGGGGGGUCAGGACGCACAGCUCGAGCAAAUCCACGAGAUGCAGGCCAGGCUCAACGAGGGAGCAGGAACACUUGAGCCGUUCCGCCGGGACAUCGGGCAGGAAUGGGCAGGCCAAGCCCCGGUCGGAGAAGCAUGUCAUCUACCCUAGGGCAUCCAGCACCGCAUCGCUGACGAUGUCAGGGCAAGGCCACCACCGGCUUCCAGUGGGGUCGGCCAGAACCUGGCUGCAGCAGCGAUACUUCUCCGCGCGAUGCCGGAGCCAUCAACCACCGAAGGGCGGCGUAUCCAGGGAGAGCUCAAGAAUCUUCUGGAGGAUGCCGCGGUCCGACGGGCCGAAAGCUCUGCCUCCCGAAGGCAGGGAUACCCCUCGGAGCAUCGCACCGCGACUUCCCGAUUCAUGUGGGAAGCCUCGGUCCACACCGGGCGCACGCGCAACACAGCGCCUGUGGCCCCGGGUCGCCUCGGCAACGAGCACCAUCACCGCAACCGUCAAGCCCACCUCGACGAGAAGGUGCGCCGAGGCUACCACCCCAGGCGUGGGGGACGCUACGACAGCGGGGAGGAUCGGAGUCCCUCGCCCGAACCACCCGGUCCACAGGCUUUCAGCCGGGCCAUACGACGGGCGCCGUUCUCGACCCGGUUCUGAACCCCGACUACUAUCACGAAGUACUCGGGGGAGACGAGGCCGGAACUGUGGCUCGCGGACUACCGGCUGGCCUGCCACCUGGGUGGAACGGACGAUGACAACCUCAUCAUCCGCAACCUCCCCCUGUUCCUCUCCGACACCGCUCGAGCCUGGCUGGAGCACCUGCCUCCCGGGCAGAUCUCCAACUGGGACGACCUGGUCCAAGCCUUCGCCGGUAAAUUCCAGGGCAUGUACGUGCGCUCUGGGAACUCCUGGGAUCUCUGAAGCUGUCGCCAGCAGCCGGGAGAGUCUCUCCGGGACUACAUCCGGCGAUUCUCGAAGCAGCGCACCGAGCUGCCCAACGUCACCGACUCGGAUGUCAUCGGCGCGUUCCUCGCCGGCACCACCUGCCGCGACCUGGUGAGCAAGCUAGGUCGCAAGACCCCCACCAGGGCAAGCGAGCUGAUGGACAUCGCCACCAAGUUCGCCUCUGGCCAGGAGGCGGUUGAGGCCAUCUUCCGGAAGGACAAGCAGCCCUAGGGCCGCCCGCCGGAAGAUGUCCCCGAGGCGUCUACUCAGCGCGGCACCAAGAAGAAGGGCAAGAAGAAGUCGCAAGCGAAACGCGACGCCGCCGACGCGGACCUUAUCGCCGCUGCUGAGUACAAGAACCCUCAGAAACCUCCCGGAGGCGCCAACCUCUUCGACAAAAUGCUCAAGGAACCGUGCCCUAUCAUCAGGGGCCCGUCAAGCACACCCUUGAGGAGUGCGUCAUGCUUCGGCGCCACUUUCACAAGGCCAGGCCACCUGCGGAAGGUGGCAGGGCCCACAACAACGGCAAGAGGGAGGAUCACAAGGCAGAGGAGUUCCCCGAGGUCCACGACUGCUUCAUGAUCUACGGUGGGCAAGUGGCGAACGCCUCGGCUCGGCACCGCAAGCAAGAGCGUCGGGAGGUCUGUUCGGUAAAGGUGGCGGCGCCAGUCUACCUAGACUGGUCCGACAAGCCCAUCACCUUCGACCAGGGCGACCACCCCAACCGCGUGCCGAGCCCGGGGAAAUACCCGCUCGUUGUCGACCCCGUCAUCGGCAACGUCAGGCUCACCAAGGUCCUCAUGGACGGAGGUAGCAGCCUCAACAUCAUCUACGCUGAGACCCUCGGGCUCCUGCGGAUCGAUCUAUCCUCGGUCCGGGCAGGCGCGGCGCCUUUCCACGGGAUCAUCCCCGGGAAACGCGUCCAGCCCCUCGGACAACUCGAUCUACCCAUCUGCUUUGGGACUCCCUCCAACUUCCGAAGGGAAACCCUCACGUUCGAGGUGGUCAGGUUCCGAGCAACCUACCAUGCAUUGCUGGGGAGGCCAUGCUACGCCAAGUUCAUGGCCGUCCCCAACUACACCUACCUCAAGCUCAAGAUGUCGGGCCCCAACGGGGUCAUCACCAUCGGCCCCACGUACCGACACACGUACGAAUGCGACGUGGAGUGCGUGGAGUACGCCGAGGCCCUCGCCGAAUCCGAAUCCCUCAUCGCCGACCUGGAGAGCCUCUCCAAGGAGGCGCCAGACGUGAAGAGCCAUGCCGGCAACUUCGAGCUAGCGGAGAAGGUUAAGUCUGUCCCUCUCGAUCCCAGCAACGACGCCUCCAAGCAGAUCCGGAUCGGCUCCGAGCUCGACCCCAAAUAGGAAGCAGUGCUCGUCGACUUUCUCCGCGCAAACGCCGACGUUUUCGCGUGGAGUCCCUCAGACAUGCCCAGGAUACUGAGGGAUGUCGCCGAGCACUCGCUGGAUAUCCGAGCUAGAGCCCGACCCAUGAAGCAGCCUCUGCGCCGAUUCAACGAAGAAAAGUGCAGAGCCAUAGGCGAGGAGAUCCACAAGCUGAUGGCUGCAGGGUUCAUCAAAGAGGUAUUCCAUCCCAAAUGGCUUGCCAACCCUGUGCUUGUGAGAAAGAAAGGAGGGAAAUGGCGGAUGUGUGUAGACUACACUGGUCUAAACAAAGCAUGUCCGAAGGUUCCCUACCCUCUGCCUCGCAUCGAUCAAAUCGUGGAUUCCACUGCUGGGUGCGAAACCUUGUCUUUCCUCGAUGCCUACUCAGGGUAUCACCAAAUCAGGAUGAAAGAGUCCGACCAGCUCGCGACUUCUUUCAUAACACCUUUUGGCAUGUACUGCUAUGUUACUAUGCCAUUUGGUCUGAGGAAUGCGGGUGCAACGUACCAAAGGUGUAUGAACCACGUGUUCGGCGAACACAUUGGUCGAACGGUCGAGGCUUACGUCGAUGACAUCGUAGUCAAGACGGGGAAAGCCUCCGACCUCCUUUCCGACCUUGAAACGACAUUCCGGUGUCUCAAGGCGAAAGGCGUAAAACUCAACCCCGAGAAGUGUGUCUUCGGAGUACCCCGAGGCAUGCUCUUGGGGUUCAUCGUCUCCGAGUGGGGCAUCGAGGCCAACCCGGAGAAAAUCGUGGCCAUCGCCAGCAUGGGGCCCAUCAAGGACUUGAAAGGCGUACAGAGGGUCAUGGGAUGCCUUGCGGCUCUGAGUCGCUUCAUCUCGCGCCUCGGCGAAAGAGGCCUACCUCUGUACCGCCUCUUAAGGAAGGCCGAGUGCUUCACUUGGACCCCUGAGGCUGAGGAAGCCCUCAAGAACCUGAAGGCGCUCCUCACGAACGCGCCCAUCUUGGUGCCCCCCGCUGCCGGAGAAGCCCUCUUGAUCUACGUCGCCGCUACCACUCAGGUGGUCAGCGCCGCGAUCGUGGUUGAGAGACGAGAAGAGGGGCAUGCAUUGCCCGUCCAGAGGCCAGUCUACUUCAUCAGUGAGGUACUGUCCGAGACCAAGAUCCGCUACCCACAAAUUCAGAAGCUGUUGUACGCGGUGAUCCUGACGCGGCGGAAGUUGCGACACUACUUCGAGUCUCAUCCGGUGACUGUGGUGUCAUCCUUCCCCUGGGGGAGAUCAUCCAGUGCCGAGAGGCCUCGGGUAGGAUUGCAAAGUGGGCGGUGGAAAUCAUGGGAGAGACAGUCUCGUUCGCCCCUCGGAAGGCCAUCAAGUCCCAAGUCUUGGCGGACUUUGUGGCUGAAUGGGUCGACACCCAGCUUCCAGCAGCUCCGAUCCAACUAGAACUCUGGACCAUGUUUUUCGACGGGUCGCUGAUGAAAACAGGGGCAGGCGCGGGCCUGCUCUUCAUCUCGCCCCUCGGGAAGCACCUACGCUACGUGCUACGCCUCCACUUCCCGGCGUCCAACAAUGUGGCCGAGUACGAGGCUCUAGUCAACGGGUUGCGCAUCGCCAUCGAGCUAGGGGUCUGACGCCUCGACGCUCGCGGUGACUCGCAGCUCAUCAUUGAUCAAGUCAUGAAGAACUCCCACUGCCGCGACCCGAAGAUGGAAGCCUACUGCGAUGAGGUUCGGCACCUGGAGGACAAGUUCUACGGGCUCGAGCUCAACCACAUCGCCCGACGACACCACGAGACUGCGGAUGAGCUGGCUAAGAUAGCCUUGGGGCAAACAACGGUUCCCCGGACGUCUUCUCCCGAGACCUACAUCAACCCUCAGUCAAGACCGACGACACGCCCGAGCCCGAGAAGGCCUCGGCCCAGCCCGAGGCACCCUCGGCCCCCGAGGGUGAGGCACUGCGCGUCGAGGAAGAGCGGAGCGGGGUCACGCCUAAUCGAAACUGGCAGACCCCAUACCUACAAUAUCUCCACCGAGGAGAGCUACCCCUCGACAGAACCAAGGCUCGGCGAUUGGCGCGGCGCGCCAAAUCGUUCGUCUUGCUGGGGGACGGGAAGGAGCUCUACCACUGCAGCCCCUCAGGCAUCCUCCAGCGAUGCAUAUCCAUCGCCGAAGGCCAGCAGCUCUUACAAGAAAUACACUCGAGGGCUUGCGGUCAUCACGCAGCGCCUCGAGCCCUUGUCGGAAACGCCUUCCGACAAGGUUUCUACUGGUCGACCGUGGUGGCCGACGCCACUAGAAUUGUCCGCACCUGCCAAGCGUGUCAAUUCUAUGCAAGGCAGACCCACCUGCCCGCUCAGGCUCUGCAGAUAAUACCCAUCACCUGGUCGUUUGCUGUGUGGGGCCUGGACCUCGUCGGUCCCUUGCAGAAGGCACUCGUGGGCUACACGCACCUACUGGUCGCCAUCGACAAAUUCUCCAAGUGGAUCGAGGUCCGGCCCCUAAACAGCAUCAGGUCCAAACAGGCGGUGGCGUUCUUCACCAACAUCAUACAUCGCUUUGGGGUCCCGAACUCCAUCAUCAUCGACAACGGCACCCAGUUCACCGGCAAAAAGUUCCUGGACUUCUGCGAGGAUCAUCACAUCCGGGUGGACUGGGCCGCCGUGGCUCACCCCAUGACGAAUGGGCAAGUAGAGCGUGCCAACGGCAUGAUUCUGCAAGGACUCAAGCCACGGAUCUACAACGACCUCAACAAGUUCGGCAAGCGAUGGAUGAAGGAGCUCCCCUCGGUGGUCUGGAGUCUGAGGACAACGUCGAGCCGAGCCACGAGCUUCACACCGUUCUUUCUAGUCUAUGGGGCCGCCAUCUUGCCCACAGACUUAGAAUACGGUUCCCCGAGGGCGAGGGCCUACGACGACCAAAGCAAUCGAGCUAACCGAGAAGACUCACUGGACCAGCUGGAAGAGGCUCGGGACAUGGCCUUACUACACUCGGCGCGGUAUCAGCAGUCCCUGCGACGCUGCCACGCCCGAGGGGUUCGGUCCCCAGACCUCCAGGUGGGCGACUUGGUGCUUCGGCUGCAACAAGACGCCCGAGGGUGGCACAAGCUCACGCCUCCCUGGGAAGGGCCGUUCGUCAUCGCUAAGGUUCUGAAGCCCGGGACAUACAAGCUGGCCAACAGUCAAGGCGAGGUCUACAGCAACGCUUGGAACAUCCGACAGCUACGUCGCUUCUACCCUUAAGAUGCUUUCAAGUUGUUCAUACACCUCGUUCACACACAAAGUCUAACCAUCAAGGAAGGGUCAGCCUUGCCUCGGCAAAGCCCGACCCUCCCUCGGGGGCUAGAAGGGGGGAACCCCCUCUGCGUCAAAAUUUCCCUCGGAAAAAGUCUUUUCUGCAAGAACGUCUUUCGUGCUUUCUGACUACUUCGAAAGUGGGAUCCUGAAAACGAUGGAGUACACAUAAGCAGCCAAGGCCUACCGAGCCGAGGGACUCCUACGCCUCCGGGAUACGGAUACCUCACUCGUCACCUUCUGCGAUAAGUAACUCACGCUCGGAUAAGCGUUUCCGCUGACCGAACAAGUCUUAAUGCUCGGAAACCCUUCUGCCAAAGCGAUUUUUUGGGCCUUCUCGACUACAUCGUUAGCAGAAUCCUACGGACGAGUAAGAGUACACGUAAGUGGCAAGGCUGACCGAACCGAGGGACUCCUACGCCUCCGGGAUACGGAUACCUCACUCAUCACCUUCCGUGAAAAGUAACUCUCGCUCGGACAAACAAUUCUGUUACCGACAAAUAAGUCCUGAUACUUGAAACAAGGGGGAAAAGAAAUACAGCUUUACAACACAACGACAGUAUGUUUGGGCCUCGGCGGCCGCAGAAAACAUACGGGCACUACAAGAUAAACCUGCAGGCUCGGACCUUGGCGGAGGGGGAGCAGCAGCACCCUCGGCGUCAACCACACCUUCGGCGAAGUCCGACCGAGCCUCGGACGGCAACGCGGUCGGAGGAUCUCUGCUCCGAAGGAUGACAUCAGCACCUCGUCCGGGCCAUCACCGCCAGGGUCUCCUCCAGGAAUCCGGCCCGAGCAGACGGCUCGGCCGGCCCGAAGCCUCAGCCAGCCGUGCCCCGAGGAUAUCAGCCCGGCUCAUGGCCUUGGCAACUCAACUCCGGCGCCGGUCCCACCGGUGGACGGUCCGGUCAGGCUCCGGCCGAUGAAGCCCUCUUUUCGAGCCAACUCUGCCUCUGUCCACACUGACACCGCUGCCUCCGGCUUCGGCUCAUCGAAGAGCGGCCGAGGGUUCCUUUAACCAAGCAAGAGAAGCCUCGGGCAGCAAGGCCGACCAAGCCGAGGGACUCCUACGCCUCCGGGAUACGGAUACCUCACUCGUCACCUUCGCACGAGGCAACUCACGCUUGGUGAAGCGGUUCAGAUAGCCGACAGGCGAGUCCUAGUGCUCGAAAUGAGGAAAAAACACGACUCCGUGCCGAAAAUACAUACAUGUUCAGGCCUCGACAGCCAUAAUGAACAGACACCGGCAUUCAAGGUGCCAUUACAAACGGAACUCCGGUUCCACCUCCGCAGGUACGAACAACCCCCCACGAUUGGAGGGCCUGUGGAGCAACAGAAGGCCGAUGGAUGGCUCGCCGUCGCCCGCUCCAGCAGCAGCGACAACGACUUCUGCUCCGAGCGGCCGAAUAGCAGCAGCGAUGACCUCAGGGCGGAUGCUGCUGCCAUAAGGCCCUCACCCACGUCCCCACUCGAGGGGCAAGGACGAGUAGAAGGCCGUAGAGUUGGAGGUCAGUCCGCGGGCGGCACCGACUAUCUCGUCGGCGAAGAAACCUCUUCCGACUGUCGCGGCGGAAGGUGGCACCGGAAGCAGCGCCGAAGCCACUCGGACCGAAGAGCCGGACACGCAGCAGCUGCCAGCGCCACGAACGGCAAACGCCUUUCCCCCCAAUCGCUAAGGGAAGGAGCGGGCCGCUGCCCGCGUGGAGACCGACCCCAACUCGGCGCACUCCCCUCCCCAGCACUGAUGAUGAACAUCCUUGAAGCUGAGGGAGGGGCAGAGGCCGCAGCCCGGCUUGCUUCUCCCCACCCAGGAGCUGGUGGUCACCGUCUUGGGUGACCACCGGCGAGGGGAUGCAGCGGGGCUGGCUGAUGAAAAUCCUUGAAGCCAAACGAUGGCUGAAAGGUACCAACUUCCGCAAAGUUGCGUUCCUCCAACGACGACGAGGCGGAAGAACCGCGGGCGCCCCCCAUCCGGGGGCUCGGAAGGUGGAAAGACGUGAUGCAUAAGGGGAGCGUGAAGACAUGGUUGCCUUUCAAGGGGGUCACCCUCCUUUUAAAGGCAACUCUCCCCACUUGCGUCCUCAGCCGUCGCGGGCUGAGUCUUCUCCAACACGCUCCAAGGUCCUCCCCCUACGACACAGGGGCUGGGUCCCACGCGUCGCGCAAGCCGGCCCAAGACAGAAGGAGCCAAAACCGCCGCGCGUGGUGCGCGUAACUGCCCGGUGGUUACGAGCAUUCCUCCACUUUCGCCUAGACCAGCGGGUGAAAGGGCGGACCGCCAUGCAGGCAGCAUGCAACCGCACCAAGGGGGUGCACCCUUUCGACUUCGACGCGUCCAGCAUGGAAGCCCAGGCCCACACGUCAUGUAACCGGCGCGCCGGUUACUACGUGCAAGAAACCGCACCGCCACUUGCGCCACUACCGUGCCUCCUCGACUGUGGAACCAGUACCGCGACUCGAGGCAACCCUGCGCAUGACCCAACGGUGCCAACAAGCACAUCGGCCACGGGUCAGUCAGCCGCGGGAGAAGGCGUGACGGCCGAUACGGCCAGAAAUGGGCCGGCAGUAAUGGUGGUGGCAGGCGGGCGGAAGCAGCGGUCAAGUCGUUAGCAAGCUCACGUCCCCUCCUGGGACAGCGAGAGAACCCUCUCCCACGGCGUGAAGACGACGCGCCCGUGUUCCGUCCCUCGAACGGCUCGCGCACACGCAACGGCUGCCCCACGAACCACUCGUCCCGUCGCAUUAACUCCGCGGCAGGGCAGGCGGCACCUUUGGCAGGCGAAGCAGGCGACACUUCGCCUCCGCUAUAAUGACCGCAUCAAAAAAGGUGUGCCACGUCGUUCGAUUUCGUAUCCUUUUUCUCUUUCUCUCUCUUACAACAGGGACCGGGAAAGGGGAUAUUCCGAAAGGGAUCCUUCUCCGUGAAGGAAGCGGGCCCCAAGCCCCCCUACUGAUCAGAGGUUCAAAGGCUGGCCCCUCAGAAGGGUUCAACAGCCGCCUCAGAGCACUCGGGCUCCGCGCCCACUACUAGUCAGAGGUUCGAAGGUCGGCCCCUCGAAAGGGUUCAACGGCCGCCUCAGGCCACUCGGGCUCCGCGCCCACUACUGAUCAGGGGUUCGUAGGCUGGCCCCCAAAGGGUUCGACAGUCGCCUCAGACGCAGAGCGAAGGAUGACCCUGGGUACGUUCGAUACAUAACCAAGGCUCGGGCUAUGCUCCCAAGGUACCCCAGGACAUUUCCGAGACCAACGGGAACGAUCUUGUAAUGGAAUCCCACCAGAGGGAGGCCUCGAGCCCUCAGACCCCGUCAAAAGGGGAUCGGGUCCGGCAAAUCACCCGCAGGUACUUUUGGAGCGCGCCUCCGGGCCACUAGCCGACCCCUAACGAAUGGGGCACGGGCGUCCACUCGGAUUACCCGUUAGCAGCUCACUGGAGACACCAUGUUCGGCGCCCUCCAAGGGCAACAUGGCGCUCUCCCCCCCCCCCUCCUCCUUGCGGAAAGGCGACGCAGGGGCGUAUGUAAAAAAGUCGAGUCUGUCCUUGACAGUUCUCUCACUCUGUGCGGAGGCUCGGGGGCUGCUCUCGCAAACCCGGCUCCGGCCAAACCGUUGACAGCGUCAACAUACCAGCCCGAGAACUUGAGACUCGACUGUGCACCCGGGCUACGGCCAGUUCGCAUGAGGGAACAACCAGACCGGCCGAAGCAUCACGAAACGCAUUAAGACCUCGAAGGAGUCACACCACUCCUCCGAGGCCUCGGGGGCUACACCUGGCGGGUGCGCUCGCGCGCACCCACCGGAACAAAACGCAACCGAGAAAGGUUGGUCCCCUUGCAAAAAAGUGUGACAAAAGCCUCCAAGCGAGUAUUAACACUCCCUUCGAGGCUCGGGGGCUACUGUCGGGGACCAUAAUUAGGGGUACCCCCAAGACUCCUAAUCUCAGCUGGUAACCCCCAUCAGCACAAAGCUGCAAAGGCCUGAUGGGUGCGAUUAAGUCAAGGCUCGGUCCACUCAAGGGACACGACCUCGCCUCGCCCGAGCCCAGUCUCGGGCAAGGGCAGCCGACCCCGGAGGAUUCAUGUCUCGCCCGAAGACCCCCCUCAAGCGACAGACACACCUUCGGCUCGCCCGAGGCCCAGUCUUCGCCAAGAAGCAACCUUGGCCAGAUCGUCAUGCCAACCGACCGUAUCGCAGGAGCAUUUAAUGCAAAGGUGGCCUGACACCUUAUCCUGACACGCGCCCCUCAGUCGACAGAGCCGAAGUGACCGCAGUCACUUCGCCGCUCCACUGACCGGCCUGACAAGAGGACAGCGCCGUCUGCAUCGCUCCGACUGCUGUGCCGCUCGACAGAGUGAGGCGGACAGCAGCCAAGUCCGGCCUCGGGCGGCAUAGGAAGCUCCGCCUCGCCCGACCCCAGGGCUCGGACCCGGCCUUGGCCCCGGAAGACGACGAACUCCGCCUCGCCCGACCCCAGGGCUCGGACUUGGCUCCGGAAGACGACGAACUCCGCCUCGUCCGACCCCAGGGCUCGGACUCAGCCCUGGCCUCAGCCGACGGUCUCCGCCUCGCCCGACCCGGGGCUCGGACUCGACCUCGACCUCGGAGGAGCCUCCGCCCCGCCCGACCCAGGGCUCGGACCAACCACGUCACAGGGGGGCCAUCAUUACCCUAUCCCUAGCUAGCUCAGGCUACGGGGAACAAGACCGGCGUCCCAUCUGGCUCGCCCCGAUAAACAAAUAAUGAUGGCGCCCCGCGUGCUCCAUGACGACGGCGGCUCUCAGCCCCUUACGGAAGCAAGGAGAUGUCAGCAAGGACUCGACAGCCCCAACAGUUGUCCUUCCGCAAGGCUCCAACGCUCCUCCGACGGCCACGACAUCACAUGAAUAGGGUGCCAAAACCUCUCUAGCUGCCACGACGGCAUGUACUUAGGGCGCUAGCUCCUCUCUGCUAGACACGUUAGCACAUUGCUACACUCCCCAUUGUACACCUGGACCCUCUCCUUACGCCUAUAAAAGGAAGGUCCAGGGCUCCCUUACGAGGAGGUUGGCCGCGCGGAGAGGACGGGACGGUGCGCGCAGGCCUCUCGCUCCCUCCCGCACGGACGCUUGUAACCCCCUACUGCAAGCGCACCCGACCUGGGUGUGGGACAAACACGAAGGCCGCGGGUUUCCCCUUUACGCCUGUCUCCUUGUUUCCCCCCUUCGCGCUUCGUCUCGCGCCGACCCAUCUGGGCUGGGGCACGCGACGACAGUUUACUCGUCGGUCCAGGGACCCCCGGGGUCGGAACGCCGACAAAAAGAACUUAAACUCUUAUUACUUUAUUUUAUCCUUUAGAAAAAGCUAAGUGAUUCGUAUAUAAGGUGGACUAAAUUCUAUGAAAUCAUUAAUCAUGCCAUAAAUCUAGUUAAGAACAAAUUGACUAUAGGUUUGAUUAAUAAAUUAUGAUAAAAGAUUAUUAAUAAAUUAUGAUAAAGGAUAAUUAAUCUAUUAAUUAUCUUUAAUUCUAUUGUAGGAACAAAUGAUCUAAUUCAUUAGAAAGGAAAUUAUGUAUAAACUAUCAUUUUAGUUUAUAAAAGCAAUGACCCUUGUUAUCUUUUAAUUAGGAAAAUAUAAAUAAUCUAUUAAUUGGACAUAUAUUUAUCUUCUAUUUUUAUUAAGAAACAUAUGGUCUACACAUUCUUUUAAGUUUCUAUUUAAUAUGGCUAUACUUAAACAUCUAUAACGAACCUUGUUAAAUAUGAUAUCUAUCAAAAGGUCAUUUUAAACUAGAAACAAGUUAUCUAAUUCUUUAGUAAGAAACCUAUGUUUACCGAUAUAACUAUCAAUUUCUUUAUUAGAAAAGUUAUAUGACAUGUUUUUAUUGUAAAGCAUGUAAUUAUGGAUACUUAAUAUGAGACUAAAUGAGUUUUAUGUGAAGGGAUAAAAAAUGAUUAUCAUUCUAUUAGGAAAACACUAAAUCUAUAUUUGUUGAGAAAACUACAUUCAAAUCGAUAGGUCCUCAUUUUAAAGAUAUGUACACAAAUUCUAUUAUUUUAGUAUCUUUAGAAAACUCUAUUCUUCCUGUUUUCUCCUUUCUUUUCUAAAUAGAAUUUAUACGUAUAACUAAAAAUUGUUUAUUUAUAAUUCUUUUGAUAUUAAUAUACUAAGAAUUAAUUGUAAAUUACCAAAUGGGACUUUUAAUAACAUAUUUAUGGUUAUUAUGACAUAGAUAAAUAUCUUACUAAUUCUAAGUAAUUAAGUGUUAUACUUAUGAAUACAUUUAUCAUAAAUAGUAAAAUCUAUAUUUCCAUUUGAUUGAAAUUACGUGCCUUAGUAUUUAUUCUAUUUCUUCAUGCAAAUAAAUUUACACUUAAAAUACUACUAACAAUUAUCGUUCCACACACUAAAGCGAAAUCAAAUUUGUAAACGUUUUCUAGUAUGAAAAUCAUCGUGGUAGUGAAUAGUGACGGUAUUCAUUUUUAAAAUUAUAAAAUCAUACAUAUUCAAAUUAUUGUCGCGGGGUUCGAUUUUGGCUACACGUAUACAUCGAAAUCUCUAAAAUCAUACACGUGAAUCGCCAAAUUGCAUCAUCUCAAUAUUACAACGAUAAUUCACAAGAUUCGUAAAUUAAUUCAAACAUGAUUUCAAAAAUGAAUUCAAAUUGUUUUGGAUUGUCUUCAACCUUGGGUGAACGGACGACGACGAACGGGCUCGAGCGCGCGACUAGGCGAUGGCUUGGCAUGGCGGGAUCAACGAGGCUUGGACGGGGUUUGGGCACGUCUCCGGCGAGGCACGACGGCGAGCUCCGGCGGCGAGCAGGGUGCUGCUCCGGCUUCGGUCCACAACGGCGACGGCAGUGAGCUCCGGCGGCGAGGGAGAGAACGAGGAGUGUGAUAGAGAGAGAGCUCGGGCAGGGAGAGGGAGAGGGCUCGGGCGUCGGUUUUUAUAGGGAGGGAGAGGCGCCGAGGGGGAGGUGGCCGGCCAUGGCACCAUUGAUGGCCAUCAAUGGGGGGUCGCCAUAAUGGGGUGGAAAUGGAGGGAGAGGGAGAGGGAGAGGGAGAAACGGUUGUCUUGAAGCUCCAUUAACUCAAAGACGAACGGUCGCGGGACUUGGGGGAGUUAGGUUUUUUUCUUUUUUCUAUUUUCUUUUCUAAUUUCAAAAACAUAUUUUAAAUAACCCUAAAAUUUAUAAUAAUUAAAUCAAAAUUAUUUUUAAAUAAAUUAUUUAUUUUUGUACUAAUUAUUAUAUUAUUUAUUUGGAUUUUUAUUUAAAAAGAAAUGUUAUUCAAUAACCAAAAUCACUUAUGAGCAAUAAAAAAUCAUUCCAAAUGCAAAUAAUGACAAACACAUAAAAGAAAAUUCAUUACCAUAAAUAUCAUUAAUAACGAAAUGUAAUAUUUUUAUUUGAUGAUUUUUAUGGUGUUAUAUAAAUCAACCAGUUUUUGGAAUGAUUGUUGGUGUGGGAAUAUUCCUCUCUCGGUAAGAUUUAAAAUACUGCAUGAUUUAUCUCUUGACAAAGAGAUAAGCAUAGAAAAGGUGCUGAGUACGAACUCUGAAUCCUUAAUCUUUAGGAGGCUAGUGGGAACUGGUGCUGACAAUCUUAAGGAUAUGAUAUCCUCAUAUGAGGACAUGUGCCUUAAUGAUUCAAGAGAUAAUGUUAUUUGGUUACUGGAUAAAAAGGAUAUUCUGUCAAAUCCCUUUACUUCUACUGUCGAAGUAAUUUGGGUCGGGUGCCUUAUAUGUUCAUCUGGAAAGCUAAAAUCCCCCAAAGGAUAAAGGUUUUCCUUUGUCUUCUUGUGAGAGACAGGAUUCUAUCCAAGGCAAAUCUUAGCAAAAAGAAUUGGCAAGGAAAUAUUAAUUGCACUUGGUGUGAUUGCCUAGAAACUACGGAACACUUCUUUGACUAUCAGAUAGCGAAAUUCACUAGGAGAGUGGUGCAGGCGGUACUACAUCUCAUCUAUAUUCCCAAGAACCCUAGUGAGAUGUUUAGCCGCUGGCUCCAUCUCUUCAAUAAGCGAGACAGGAAUUUGUUAAAAAUGGGAUGUAGUGAAGUUCUUUGGACUCUUUGGAAAAUAAGAAAUGAAGCUUGCGUUGAAGAUAAAAGAGUAGUCAAUACGUUAGAUAUCUUUAUAUUGUGUUGUUUUUGGAUGAACUCAUGGAUUUUAUUACAGAAAAAACGGCAAGAAAGAUGUUGGAGGAAAGAAACAACCAUAUCAGAAAAACGGCUAGUGAUUUCUUCAUUCAAGCUCGAGGGUGGUCUCGAGGAGGCUGGAGGAAAGAAACAACCAUAUCAGAAAAAAGGUGGUCUCGAGGAGGUUGGCGCACUGAUUGAAUGCCUGAGGAUCCUUUUUGGCGAAGAUGCUUCUUUCUAAUCUUGAACCUAGACUCUUAUGGUUCUUAUAUCAAGAUGUUGGUCUGUAAUAAUGUCUUUAUUAAACCACUUUUCCUAUCUUAAUCGUCUUUUAAUGGCAACAGUUUUUUUGAGUCAGGUCUGAUGCAAGCUAUAGCUAGAUUAGAUGUUGGGCUUUUGUUGCCAGUGGCAUGCUGCGACUAAGACAAUAUUAAUGUGUGUCGGUGGUAGAACAUCAUGUUUCCUGUUUCUUAAUGAAAUAGGGGGAUUUUCCUUUUCGUCAAAAAAAAGAGUGAAAAUGCAUAUAGAAAUAUGACGAGCCAAUUCCUCAGCCAAAAAACAUUAUCCAUGCAACAUCAUACAGGUUCGACUAACGGUAAACAGUCAUCCACAUAGAGCAAAAUUAAAGCUCGUCUUGACAAACACAGAAAACAGCAACACCACCCAGAGAGGACUAGCUUCAUGAUGGCCACCCGACAAGAGCCAGCAAAUGGCACGCAGAAGAGACGCCUACAGCCUCCUUCCCCUCCUACCGCCCUUUCUGCGAGUGCUGUCCGUGGGGACCGGGGUAACGUCCUCUGCACAUAGCACAAACGCUGCAUCAGUAUACAGAACCAAAGCAUUAUGAAACAAAGCAGGGCUAACUAGCACAGGCAAGCCAGCCCUUGAAAGAUCCAGGAUCUCCUUACCAAUGCGUCCGAUUUUCAUCCCGGAACGAGCAAGCGCCCUGAGGGCAGACUGGGCACCAGGUCCAGGGGUCUUGGUCUUGUUGCCUCCGG
RNAcentral lists this long non-coding RNA (141349 nucleotides) under Zea mays. Its description in RNAcentral is "long non-coding RNA (ZMAY_LNC003855)". Lineage: Eukaryota; Viridiplantae; Streptophyta; Magnoliopsida; Poales; Poaceae. The record is from RNAcentral.